UUGAAAUAAACCUUCGAUUAAGCUAGAUCCCCUUUGUUUAGACUAAUAUAACAAUGUUAUCUUCUACUUUGAAGAAUAGUUGUCUCAAUUUUUGACUGCAAGUCACCCCUGAUAAUAUGAUGCCCUCCCCCUUUCUAUGAUGUUGUUCUGGUUUUCUUGAUAAUAACAUUAGAUUAAGUACCUAGCCUACUUCAAGCAUUCUUUAACUCAUUCUGCACCUAUGGAUUUGCCAAACUUGCAAACAUCCUUUGCCAAUUUUUAGCAUGUGACUGCUGCUGUGCUGAGUAUGAAACCUGUUUAUCAGCUUCAUUAAACUAGUUCUUGCUUGAGUUUUCUGAUGCAUUUAAGUGUCUGCUUGUUGACUCAAUUUGGUUAUGUCUGUUUAAAUCAAUUCCUGCUUUUCUCAAUUUUGGUUUUUCUCUUCUGUCACUCAAACUCUUUGAAUCCCAUUCUUAGUCAAUGCUGCCUAAAUUAUGUCAUUUGGCCUUCCUAGUGUGAGCACUGCUCGGGGUUCAUUAGAGACUCUUAUGAACUCUGACACACUAGGAUUUGGUCCCUAAUCCCUCCUUGAACUAUUUUGGUUAACCACCCUAGUGUGAGCACUGCCCUGGGUUCUUGAAGCCUUUGGAAACUCUGACACACUAGGGCCUUGGUUCUAUAUGCUCAACCUUGUCAUGUGCUCACUGGGUGAAUUACUCAACUAUUGGUUGUUUUGUAUCUAUGAAUAUGUAACUUCGGGGCUGUUGUGAAUUGUGAGAAUGAAGGUCUGGCCUGUCCAGGUGUAUUUGGGCCUGCUGUAAGCUCCCUAUACCUAUAUCUACUCUGUAAUUUACUAUAUUCGUUCUGGGUCUGUAAUAAUUAUUGUAAUAAUAUUUGGGGUAUUAGUGAAAUUGGGAAAGGGAGUUUUAUCUUAUACUUGCAACAAGUUGGGUAGAAAUCCUGCAUAUAGGUUCGAUAAUGUGUUAUUGUAUGUCGUGUAUUAGAAAUCAUGCCUAUAGGUAUCUUAUUAUGUCCAGUCAUUGUAUGUUAGCAAUCCUGCCUAUAGGUCCAAUACUUGGUUUCAAUUGUGUUCUUUUUCUGCUUGUUAGAAACCCUGCCUAUAAGAAAUAGUGUGAUUCAAUGUGCAUGCAAAGUUCUGUUUACAUGUUGCCCUACCCGUGAAAUAUAGAAAUCAUGUCUAUAGGGUCUAAAAUCAGAUUAAUUGUAGAAAGCAUGCCUAUAGGUCUGAAUCUAUUCAAUUAUCAUUUUGCCCGUUUGUUCAGAAGGUUUCAAACACUGUGUUAUUAUCCUCACUAGAAAACAUGCCUAUAGGAUCAAAACAAGUGAUUCUGAAUAUGCUUCUGUGAUUGCCACUAUUUAUUAUUGUGUAAAAUAUCUAGACAUCAUGCCAGUAGGUUUAAUCUCAUUAUGUUAAAAUCAGUAGGCAAAUCAUGUAGGUUUUGGUAAUCGUAUUAAGGAAUGACUUUUGUGUAUAACUGUCUGCCCAUUAAUUCAGCAUCACAUAGAGACCCUGCCUAUAGGAUUCUGUAACUUUAAUUAAUUAAAAUCUGCCAAUGUUAAUCAGUUUGGCGUACAUUUGUUGUCUAAAUGCGGACUAACAUGAGCCCUUACUUGCUUAUAUGUGAAAGUCCUAAACUAUUUUGUAUGUCGCUUAGUAUUUUUCUUUUUGAGCAACCUAAGUUAAAGUCUAGAACCACCCUAAAAUAAAGGUCCAAAUACCUCCUGGACCAUAGGCAUGGGACGAGUAGUGCACGCAUAGAGCACGAUUUAGAAUUGAUUAGUGCGCUUUAGGUAAACAACUUAAAGAUAGUAAUCAGGUAAUAGGAGAUGAUAGUCUGUGCCCGCUGAAUAAUAUGAGUAACACCCCUUCUUGAGGGAGUUACAAAAUAUUAUUUAUGUUGUACGGGGUGAUCCUUUAGGCUAAAAAAACUUAGGACCCCUACCUCUGUUUAAAGUCAAUCGUUUAUUUUACUUGCCCAAAUCGUUUCCCUUCCCUUAGACUAAUUCAUAUAAUUCGAGUUCGGUCGGGACCCACCGUUGUGGACCUCGAGAAGUGCCUAACACCUUUCCCUCAAGGUAAUUUGAGCCCUUACCUGAUCUUUGGUGACGCAACUGGUUAAUCCAGAGUUAUUUACAAAUAGGUGCCCUAACGCACCUCAACCCCUUAGGGGGCGACUCUCUCUUUUAAUACCCUUCCUUAAAUGAGUUGUCACGUGUCGAAACCCGAUUUCACGAGAAAAAGGAGCGCGACAGCAUGGCGACUCUACUGGGGAUAUCUUUAGGCUCUUACCAUAAUGAACUUGGUCUAUAUGAAUUAGUCUCUCUCGAUAAACGUGUCUUUAUUAUUUUGCUGAUACUUGAACAUCCCCCUCCCAUUCUCCCUUUUAUUGCUACAUGCACACCCUCUUCCCUAUUUCCCCUUUAUAUGAACUUACAUGCAACUCUUCGCUUAAUCUGGUUGCAAUAUGCAUCCCCUCCGUUAUUUCCUAAUCAUGUUCACUGGCUCCAACUUUUUAAAUUUUGUCUUUCCAAAUCCUUACCUCUUUAUUUGCUUUAUCAUAAUUUUUUCCAUUAUACGAACUAACUUCUUCCCUGUUUUUCUUUCUUUUCUGUCUUUACAUUUAUUAAAUACUGCAUUUAUCGCUUUAUCUUGCAAAAUACUUGACAACGUGUUGUUUUAUCUUUGCAUAAUUGCAUACUCUACAUUAUAUUCCACUCGUGCACAAUUAAUAUCAUAGCGGCACUUGAUGAGUGUCCGCGCCCUUCCUAUAUUACCCUUUUUAAAUUUGGAGAGGCUUAUUUACGGCAAAACUAGUCGAUCACCGGUGCAAUCGACGGUUCCGUGCCUUUCCCUCUCAAGUUGUCCACUUGAGGGUACCGGUCUAGACUCUUAUAGAAAUCCCUACUCUGAUAUUAAAUGUGCAUGCAUCAUGUCUAUACCUAGCAUGGGUUAGAACGAUGUCCGCAUAAUAACCCUCUAAGGCAAGCCUUGUCCAAAGCCUAUCGGGAUUUCCAUAAUCCCAACGGGCACCAUCAUGAUUUGUGCAUUAUUUGGAGAAAACGUGCCGAUAUGCUAAUCAUUAAUAUGUAAAUAGUCGAAUCCGGAGGGAGAGAUGGCUAACUUUAUCUGUUUUGUAGAAAUGAGGCACAAAGUCCCCUGGUUCGGCAUGGUCCGAAGUAUCUCACCUCUGUUGCUCGAUUGGUGGUAAAUUCUCUCACCAAGUGACAAAAACCAUGUGAAAAGAGUCCUCGAAAAUUUACCUUCUUUGGUGGACACUCAACCAAACAAUGUACUGAUCAGACUUGGACUCAUUGAAGAAAGCACUUGAGGUGAAGACCAAUGAGCGAUUGCGACAACUACGGACCCCUUAACUAGGUUUUUUACUAAUACUAACUAAUAGGCUUUCAGAAGCUUUUCCACACAAAGAGGGGAGGAUGAAUUUAUCCAGUUAAGGCAUUCUUNNNNNNNNNNNNNNNNNNNNNNNNACGGAAAGCAUGGGAGAAAGAUGCACAAACGAAAAAGGGCUAAAAAAAAAAGGACGAAGUAAUUUCGUAUAUAAAGAUAUGGGUUUGAAGCCGCUACUAUGUUCUGGGAUGAAAAGAGGGAUGUUUUCCAUUUUGGUAAUAUAGAGAUGACUCCCCUUCUUGAGGAAAUAGGAGGCUUUACUGGGCCUCUCUGAGAUAGCCCUGGUCUGUUGGUACCAGAAAAUCGUACUUCUCGAGGGUUUCUGAAAAUGAUGGGUUUUAGAAAGAAUGAUGAGUUAGUUUGCCUGAAGAAGUCUUAUAUAACUUUUGACUUCCUUUACGAGCGUUAUGGGCACAACACGUCCUACUGUAUCUGUCAUGAUGAGUUUUCCAUCACUUCUCUGGGCUGGACUCAUCGCCGGGUUUUUGUGCUCAGUGUCUGUUUUCUGGGAAUGCUAGUAUUCCCAAUACAAGGAGAAAGGAUCCACACUCGUUUAGCUAUGGUUACCAAGACCUUAAUGGAAGGAAUUGAGGGACAGACUUACACUAUCGUCCCAAUGAUCGUGGCAGAGAUAUACCGAGCCUUGGACCGUUGUAAGAAGGGAUUUAGGCAUUUUGAGGGUUAUAAUUUGUUGCUGCAAAUAUGGCUGUUGGAACACCUUCAAAGAGGACAGUACAGUCAAGAAUUUCUGCGGCGGCCAUGGAAUGACCACAUAGAUUUUCACCAUCCUAAAAGAAUGACUUUCAUCCCAGACAGGUUCGCACAACCAGAAAACGCUGUGGAUUGGGUACACUUCUUUAGGAAUUUGACUGACGACAAGGUCCAUUGGAUGUUCGAGUGGUUCACUACUAGCGAGUUCAUAAUCAGGUCAAGAGAAGUCCCUCACUUAGUGAUCAUUGGAUUAAGGGGUAUCUAUCCUUAUGCUCCUAUCAGGGUCAUGAGGCAGGCUGGGAGGAAACAAGUCAUACCACGAGUUUCCAAGAUAGUUCACUACAAAGCAGACUUCCAGGGUGAUGCCAUUCCAUUCAAGUGUGAGGCACAACACAUGUGGCGUCUAAAGAUCAUUGUGGAAAAUAAUACCAUCGAGUCAGAUCGAUACCACGCCAGUCAUGUGUAUUUCUACCCAUCAUGGUUGGAUGAUGACAUAGCAGGAGAAGUCAAGCCAGGGAUUGAUCAGGAAACAGGGUCAUAGACGACGCUGCUGAAGCACAAGUAAAAUAUAGGAGGUUACGCAAAAAGAUCUUUGAGUCUGAGGCCAGACCCUUAGAACAGCACAAAGUGGACAUGGAAGCAAUCAACGAAUGGAGAGGAUUCGCUACAAAAUCAACAGAAAAGUUGGAGUAUUUAGAGCAGGGUCUGAUAGAGCUUGAAGUGAAGAUGAGGAAAAGGAUCAUGGAUUGUCAGAAUGCAGAGGGCAAUGAAGGAGGACAUCUAGCAAGGGCAUAUCUGCUGCUGGACAUGCGCGACCAGGGGAAUCUAAUCGACGGGGCUAAGAAGGCCAAGCUUGGAGAAGGUCCCUCUGGGACCGAAUAGAUUAGAAUUGAUGUUUACUUGUUUUUCUUGAGUUGUUUUAGAAUUUGAUUGUAAUAAGACAAAUGCCACUAUUAACUCCUUUUGAUUAUUGUUGUUUUAGAGAUUUGGUCUAUUUAUCACAUUAAUGAAAUGAUGCAAUUAUUGGCAUUAAGUUUCUCCAAAUCUACAUGUCGCUAGGCCUACCUCGGGCACAAUGAGGUCCCCAAGUUAGGACGCGAAUUUAUAAUUCUGCAAUACGUGUUUAAAUAUUGCAAAUAUCCUUUCAAAACUCCCUACUGACUUGUUUACCUUUUUGCUUCUCUUUGUUUUGAUUAUUCACAUCCCCUAAGGUUGGUUCGUGCAUACUGGCAUCGUCAGCAUACCAUACCAGAUCAAGAGGUGCUCCAUCUCCUCCUCCUCCAAGUGAUCCUAAAAGUAAGGGAAAAGAUAAGAAGGAUGACAUGAGUGGUAUCAGGAAAGACAACGCUACACAUGCAGAAAAUGUUGAGACUUCAGAUGGUCGGAGUACCCCGACACAGAAUGAUUUGGUUCUACGAUUGGAGCAGAAAAUAUUGGAGUUACAAGGGGAACUUGAGCAGGUCGCAACUUGGCAAACCUCUCCCUCACCUUAAACGUCCCAGAUAUCAACCAACAGAACGCCCAAAACCCAGCACCUCCUCAAAACAUACCAAACCAGCAUCCACAAAAUCCUUCCACACCUCAUCAAUACGCCACGCCUCCCCAAAAUCCUAAUCCUCCACCAGUACCAACUCCUCAUCAGCACCAACCUCAUCCAACCCAAAACCCACAAACCACUACCUACCAUACUCCUCAAAACACGCCACAACCUACCCCCGAUCCACAAAACUCAACCAAUGAUCACCACUACACCCAAAUCCCCGGUAUCCAUCAAAACAACCACAUAUACGUAGAACUCUACCUCACCCUGCACAACAAACCCCAUACACACCAGAAUCUGCCGAGAAGGACCUGCUCAUCAAGAAUAUGGCAGAGGAACUUAAGAAGCUCACAAGUCAUGUUCAAGGCGUCGAAGGGGGUAAAGACAUUAAGGGUUUGAACUAUGAAGAUCUUUGUAUUCGGCCGGACGUAGAACUGCCAGAGGGUUACAAACCUCCCAAGUUCGAGAUAUUCGACGGAACAUGUGACCCAAAGGUGCAUCUAAGGACAUACUGUGACAAGCUCGUAGGAGUCGGAAAAGAUGAAAGAAUUUGCAUGAAGUUAUUUUUGAGGAGCCUCACUGGAGACGCCCUAUCUUGGUAUAUCAGUCAAAAUCCAAAGAAGUGGGUUAACUGAGUAAGCAUGGCGUCAGAUUUCGUGGAUCGGUUCAGAUUCAAUACGGAGAAUGCACCAGAUGUCUUCUAAAUCCAGAAUCUAAAGAAGAAGCUGACAGAGACUUUCCGCGAAUAUGCUACGAGGUGGAGAUCGGAAGCUACAAAAGUAAGGCCGGCAUUGGAAGAAGAGCAGAUGAACAAAUUCUUUGUCCGGGCCCAAGAUCCGCAAUACUAUGAGAGGUUAAUGGUUAUUGAAAAUCACAAAUUCUCCGACAUUAUCAAAUUGGGAGAAAGAAUUGAAGAAGGAAUUAAAAGCGGGAUGGUAACCAAUUUUGAGGCAUUACAAGCCACUAACAAGGCCUUGCAGUCAGGAGGCAUAUCCAAGAAGAAGGAAGUAGGGGCCGUGAUGGUGGCCCAAGGUCCGAAAUCUCCUCUUACAUACCAAACACCUCCACCCACAUAUCAACCUUCACCUCCCAGAUAUCGGCAACCCGCCACCACCUACCACACUUAUAACACCUAACCAGUAUAUUACCACUCACCGCCAGCUCGCCAAAACUAUCAGAAACCCAGACCAAACUUCAGCCGCAGGCAGCCCAGAAAAUACACCCCUAUUUCUGAACCUAUCGAUCAGUUAUAUGAAAGGCUGAAAGUUGCUGGUUAUGUCACUCCUAUUCCCAUUGUUACCAUGGAAAACUCCUCUCAAUGGGUCAAUCCAAAUAAAACAUGUGCCUACCACUCCGGCAUGAAGGGUCAUACCAUUGAUGAAUGCCGCACUCUGAAAGACAAGAUCCAGCCACUAAUCGAUACCAAGGUUAUAUAAUCAAAGGAGGCUGCACCUAACGUUUGCAACAAUUCCCUCCCGGAUCACAGGGGCGAGGGGGUGAAUGUGAAAGAGACUGAUGAAGAAUGGGACCCGGUAGGGUCAAUCGGCUUAUUCGAGAAGGGGAUGAUCCUAAGAAACCUGCAGUCACUCUCACUCCUAUUGUGGUACAGAUACAGCCACCAGUAGAAGUUGAGGUAGCCGCACUCACUCAGUUCGAGGUGGAAGUAACAACACCUGCAGUUGCACCUGCUCCGUUUGAAGUAGAAGUGACCACACCCUUCACUAUGACGGUGGCACCCGCACCAUCCUUCAAUUACAAAGCCAUACCCUGGGACUAUGUUGCAGAAGCUAGGAGGAAAGGAAAAGCAAAAAUGGAAGAAGCUGGUGCCGCACAAGGGUUGACCAUUACUGGUAGAGUUUACACACCUGAGCAUCUAGAGGGAACAAGUAAAGAUGUUGCUUCCAAGCAGCCUAUCAUUGAAACCGUCCUGGAUGAUAUUUGGAGAAAAGUGCAAGCAAGAGAAUACUCUGUAGUGGACCAUCUGAACAAAACCCCUGCUCAGAUAUCUAUUUUAUCAUUACUGUAGAAUUCUGAAGCACAUAGGAAUGCCUUGAUGAGGUAUUGAACGAAGCUUACAUGCCCAACAAUAUCACUAGUGGGGAAAUGGCUAACAUGGUAGGACAAGUACUGGAGAGCCAUAAGAUCACUUUCCAUGAAGACAAAUUGCUGCCGGAAGGAAUAAGCCAUAUCAGGGCACUGCAUAUCACGGUACAAUGUGAAGAUAAAUUCAUUGCCAGGGUUUUGAUAGAUGGAGCUUCCAGUCUCAACAUCUGUCCAUUGACGACUUUGAAGAGAUUGGGCAAAGGAUUGCAUAAAAUACGGGCAGGAACCAUGAACGUAAAAACAUUCGACGGAUCUCAAAGGGCCACGAACGGGGAAACCAAUCUUUGCUUACAAAUGGGCCCGACUUGGUUUGAUGUUGAAUUACAAGUACUCGACAUAUCCGCCUCAUACAACUUAUUGCUGGGACGACCUUGGAUACACGCCGCUAAGGCUGUGGCUUCCACUUUGCACCAGGCUGUAAAGUUUGAAUGGAACCAUCAGGAGGUGAUCAUUCAUGGAGGCGGGAGUAAUCCUAUUUAUACUAAUCAGACUGUUCCAGUCGUGGAAAAUAGAAGGAAAUUGGGUGGAGAGUCUUAUCAUCGCAUCAAGUGCGACAAUGCAAUUGAAAAGGACAAGUGGUGGAGCUGCAAAAUAGAGAGCAUACUGGCAUGGGCAGGAUAUGAACCCGGUAAAGGGCUCGGGAAAAAUCUCCAAGGUAUUGCCAAACCAAUACAGCUAAAACGUCACGGCACGACCUUUGGAUUGGGAUAUCAGUACACCUGGCAUGAGUACUAGAAUUGGUCGCCACCAUGGCACGAGCCUUACUACCCCCUUGAACAGCCAAUACCGCAUCUGAGCCAAUCCUUCCAUCAAGCUGAUAUGAUGUGGGGAUCCGAGGAGGACGAAGUGCUCGCUGGUUUGAGGAAUUUAUUUCUAGAAGAGAGAGACAUGGAUUGGAGUGUAAUAGUUGAGGAGGAGGAGGAGGAAGGCCUCGUCAUCCAGACGGUAGAGAAGGGAGCUGUCCUCAGAAACUGGAAAGCCACACCAUCAAGGGCCCGCCGAGUCCUGGGGUAGUGUGGCUGCUAGUGUCAUUUAUUUUGAAAACAAUUCUUCUUGAGCAUUUUGUUUUAAAACAUUUUAUUUUUCAGUAUUUCGUUUUGGAAAACGUUGUUUGAAUCAUUAAAAUCGCUUUGUUUAACUUUAAUAUUUAUCGAUGGCUGAAUGUUUUAUUAUUUAUUACUAUUUUCUAUAUCUUUCUCUCUACAACAUUACUAUUUCUUACCUUGAUGAACCAACUACUGUGACAUGUAAUGAGACAACACAACAUAAGGAUAGUGACUCGGAAGAAAUAGAAGAAGAAGAUGUAAUACCUGAGGAAAUUGUCAGAGAAGUUGAGAAUUUUGAGAAUAAGCCUAAGUCCAACCUGGACGAAACUGAGAUAGUCAACCUGGGAGAUUCUGAAACAAUCAAAGAAACUCACAUAAGCAUUCAUUUGUCACAUCAGAGAAGGAGGAGUACAUUCAUUUCCUGAAAGAGUAUGAAGACAUUUUCGCAUGGUCGUAUGAUGAUAUGACCGGAUUGAGCACAUCCAUAGUGGCUUAUAAAUUACCUACCAAUCCAAUGUGUCCAUCAGUAAAGCAGAAGCUCAGAAAGUUCAAGCCGGAUAUGAGUCUGAAAAUUAAAGAAGAAGUCACCAAGCAAAUCGAAGCUAAGGUCCACAGGGUAGUUGAAUAUCCGACUUGGUUGGCCAACAUUGUGCCGGUUCCGAAGAAAGACGGGAUAGUCAGGGUGUGUGUCGACUAUCGGGAUUUAAACAGAGCAAGUCCCAAAGAUGAUUUCCUACUACCAAAUAUACACAUACUGAUCGACAAUUGCGCCAAGCAUGAACUCCAAUCCUUUGUAGAUUGCUUCCCGGGUUAUCAUCAGAUCUGGAUGGAUGAAGAAGAUGCCGAGAAAACAACUUUCAUCACGCCAUGGGGAGUGUACUAUUACAAAAUGAUGUUGUUUGGUCUAAAGAAUGCUGGGUCCACCUACAUUAGGGCCAUGACAACUAUUUUCCAUGACAUGAUACAUAAGGAGAUAGAAGUAUAUGUGGACGACGUCAUCAUCAAAUCCAAGAAGGCUGCAGAUCACAUAACAGAUUUAAGAAAGUUCUUUGACCGGCUACAGAGGUACAAUUUGAAACUGAAUCCCGCAAAAUGUUUCUUUGGAGUUCGUGAUGGAAAAUUUCUAAGAUUCAUCGUCAGCCGCCGAGGAAUUGAGUUAGACCCAUCAAAGGUCAAGGCCAUCCAGGACAUACCUCCGCCAAAGAACAAGAAAAACGUAAUGAGUUUCUUGGGACGUCUCAAUUACAUCAGCCUCUUCAUAGCACAAUCAACCAUGAUAUGUGAGCCGAUUUUCAAAAUGUUAAAGAAGGAUGCCGCCACCGGUUGGGCUGAAGACUGUCACAAGGCUUUCGACAGAAUCAAAGAAUACUUACCCACACCACCAGUCCUAGUCCCGCCAGAGCCUGGUAGACCACUGUUGCUCUAUCUCUCCAUAUUAGAUGGGGCUUUCGGUUGUGUCUUAGGACAACAUGACGAUACAAGGAGAAACGAACAGGCCAUAUAUUAUCUGAGAAAGAAGUUUACACCCUACGAAGCACGGUAUUCUCUGCUGGAACGCACUUGCUGUGCUCUGACAUGGAUAGCCCAAAAACUGAGGCACUACUUCUGUGCCAAUACCACAUAUCUCAUAUCAAGGAUGGAUCUUUGAAGUACAUCUUCCAGAAGCCUAUGCCUACAGGAAAGAUGGCCAAAUGGCAGAUAUUGUUGAGUGAAUUUGACAUCAUAUUUGUCAGAAGGCAGUUAAGGGACAAACGUUAGCAUAUCAUCUUACAGAAAACCCCGUAGGAGGAGAAUACGAACCAUUAAAAACGUAUUUUCCUAAUGAAGAAGUAUCAUUCAUAGGAGAGGAUAUUGCUAAAGCCUAUGACGGGUGGAGAGUGUUCUUCGAUGGAGCUGCAAAUUUCAAAGGAGUAAGUAUCGGAGCCGUUUUGGUGUCGGAAACUGGUCAACAUUACCCGGUGUCUGUAAAACUCAGAUUCCCAUGUACCAACAAUAUGGCAGAGUAUGAAACUUGCAUAUUAGGGCUUAAUUUGGUUGUUGACGUGAAUAUCCCGAAAUUGCUGGUAAUCGAUGAUUCAGACCUGCUGGUACACCAGGUACAAGGAGAAUGGGCUACAAAGAACACUAAGAUACUUCCAUAUCUGCAUCACGUACAAGAGAUGAUGAAGAGAUUCACGAAGAUAGAGUUCAGGCAUGGCCCCAGAAUCCAGAAUGAGUUCGCAAACGCAUUGGCCACUUUGUCCUCCAUGAUACAACACCCGGACAAGAAUUUCAUCGAUCCCAUUCCGGUAAGAAUUCAUAAUCAGCCGGCUUACUGUGCUCAUGUUGAAGAAGAAACAGAUGGAAAUCCAUGGUUUCACGAUAUCAAGGAUUAUUUGGAAAAAGGAGAAUGCCCAGAGCAUGCAAAUCAUACUCAGAAACGCACACUCUGGAGAUUGUCCAACCAUUUCUUCCAAAGCGGAGGAAUUCUGUAUAGAAGAACUGCAGAUCUAGGGCUAUUACGGUGUGUUGACGCCAAGGAAGCCUCCAAAUUGCUUGAAGAGAUACACACUGGAACCUGCGGCCCUUAUAUGAAUGGUUUCGUCCUAGCCAAGAAGAUACUUAGAGCCGGAUACUUUUGGAUGACUAUGGAGACAGACUGCAUCAGGUAUGUCCAGAAAUGUCAAUAAUGCUAGAUACACGUAGAUAUGAUACGGGUAUCGCCCAAUGAACUCAAUGCAACAAGUGCACCUUGGCCUUUUGCCGCUUGGGGAAUGGAUGUCAUUGGACCAAUCGAUCCCACCGCUUCGAACGGGCACAUGUUCAUUCUAGUAGCCAUAGACUACUUCACAAAAUGGGUUGAAGCUGCAUCUUACAAAGUCGUAACCAAGAAAGUCAUCGCAGAUUUUGUCAGAGAUUGUAUUGUUUGCUGAUUCAGGGUAACAAAAUCCAUCAUCACCGAUAAUGCCGCCAAUCUCAACAGUGACCUAAUGAAAGUUAUGUGCGAGACCUUCAAAAUCAAACAUAAAAACUCCACAGCAUACCAGCCCCAAAUGAAUGGAGUCGUGGAGGCCGCCAACAAGAAUAUUAAGAAGAUACUAAGGAAGAUGUUAAAGAAUCACAAACAAUGCACGAGAAGUUACCAUUUGCCUUAUUAGGAUACCAUACCACAGUCCGCAUAUCAACCGGGGCAACUCCUUACCUAUUGGUCUACGGUACUUAAGCUGUCAUCCGCGCCGAGGUGGAAAUUCCUUCCUUGAGAAUUAUACAAGAAGCUAAACUCAGUGAUGCAGAAUGGAUAAGGAGCCGCUAUGAACAAUUAGCUCUCAUUGACGGGAAAAGAAUGAAUGCAGUGUGUCAUGGUCAGCUCUAUCAGAAUAGAAUGUCCAGAGCUUUCAACAAAAGGGUCAAACCUAGACAGUUCGCACUAGGGCAGCUGGUGCUGAAACGAAUCUUUCCACAUCAAGAUGAAGCCAAAGGAAAAUUCUCACCCAACUGGCAAGGACCCUACAUGGUUCACAGAGUACUAACAGGAGGAGCACUCAUACUCACAGAAAUGGAUGGACAAAUUUGGCAAAAGCCUAUCAACUCAGAUGCAGUCAAAAGAUAUUAUGUUUAAACUGUUUACAUUUCUUCAUAUGAUAUCACUGAACUACGCUUGAACCUGAUUCCCGUUUAAGAAGGGAUACGUAGGCAGCCCUAUAGGUUCGGUCACAAUACAAUAAAAUUUUCAUUUUUCCUACAAUUAGAAACAGGGGCAGAAUUUUUAGGAGGACCCUCAAAAUUCCGGAGCAAGUUCAGCCAACGGCACCAUAUGCGGAACACCCAGAAAUUCGUCUAGAUAACUGGGGCAGAAUUUUGAGAAGGAUGCUCAAAAUUCUAUGACAAGAAGAUCGCGGUGUCUCUGAUAGUGUCACAGUUACUGGUUCACCUAAUUAUUUUAAAAUUACAUAUUGCUAUGUUUUGAAUAACUAUGCACGCAUAUUUUUCAAAAACUUUAUUUUUAGCCAGAUGCUACCCAUGGUAACUCGAGCAGGAUUUCAAUGCGGAGCAGAGAAAAGCAAGCAGGCGAAGGCACUAACCAGCCUUCCCCGCAAAACUCACAAUUUUUCUUUGGAUGCAGGAACAAGGAAUAUUCAAAAAUACGCGCACCUUAGAAUCACUAUCUUCAUAACAACAAAGCUACCGAACUCAUCUCCAGCUAAGAAAUACCCUGCUAUCAUUUAUUAUCUAUUCAUUGCAUGAGACUAAGCAUUGUCUCGAAUCUUGCAUGAGGCUAAGCCCUGCCUCCUCAACUGCAUAAGGCUAAGCUCUGCCUUCCCAUUACAUGAGACUAAGCAUUGUCUCGAAUCUUGCAUGAGGCUAAGCCCUGCCUCCUCAACUGCAUAAGGCUAAGCUCUACCUUCCCAUUGCAUGAGACUAAGCAUUGUUGAUCGGCUCCAACCCUACACCACUAGAUAAUGGCGAGGAGGGGUCGAUGCAGUUUUACCCGAUAGGUCGGGAUCGAUAUACACAGGGAGUUAAUAUUGGUUGGGAGUUGGGUUUCUACCUAAUCUAGCUAUGCGUCUUGUCUUUAAUUGCACUUCUAAUCAUGGUUGGGAUUGUCUCUAUUAUAAUUUGAAAACUAUUAAUUGCUGAAAAUAAUCUAAGUACAAUAUUUUUGUAGGAGUUUUUCAAAUGAUAAAAAGCACUAGGGAAGUGACUUACACCUAGGCGAGUAUCUAAUGGGGUCUAAAAUCUAGGACUAGCUUGUUAUGAUUGGGGUCAUGAUAUAAUCUUUACACAUAAUUACUCACUCUAUACCUCUCGGUAAUUUGAGUGACUUUGUCCGGUUUGGCUUUCUCAAGCCUAAAUGGGUGUUCAAACAAUGCAAGUGAAAUUGGCUCAAGUCGAGUAUUACUAUCUUUAGGUUUAACCCUUUAAUUGGGGCUAUCAAUCUCUUGAAUUCACCCAAUUGCUUGUUAGCCCACCUUACCUAGACUUGGGCUCUCUUUCUCAAGAAGUGCCUAAAUCAAAAAGGCAUGAAUCAGUGUUUGCAACCACCAAUUCUACAAUUAAAGCAUGAAACAAGCUAAAUAUCACUAACCCAUAACAAUUAAGCCCUAAACUUGAAGACCCAUUAAAUACCCACACUAGGGUCGGGUCACAACCCUAGCUAAUGGGUUUAGCUAUCAACGAUGGAGAUGUAAUAUAAGCCAUAAAAGUCAAAUACAAGAAGAAAAUCUAAAAAUAUAAGGUAAAGCUACUCUAAAAUUACUCAAAACAGUAAAAUACAGUUGUUCAUGUGUUCCUUAAAAUCAGACUUAACCUAAAAAUGUGAAAAAGAUCUAUUUAUACACAGCUAAAAUUACUGGACAAAAAUACCCCUACGGAGGUUCCGCUGACAGCGUAAUACUGGGCACGUCCACGCUUAGCCAUUCGCGGCCGCGCAAUAACGAGUGCGGUUCGCUUUUUUAUACAUUUGGAUCUGGACUGGAGUUUGUUUCGCGGACCGCUUAAAUCCAGUCGCGUCCGCGUUUGCGUCUAUCACAGCCGCGUAAAAUGUUCGCGGACCGCGUUCCUCAGUUUAGCUUUACUUGCAAACUCUCUGAACCCCUUAUCUCGCUCCCAGCGGAAUUUCCACCGCUUCCGCAUCAAGUGACUUCGCGGCCGUGUAAUUUAGACGCGGGCCACGCUCUUUGUUUGAACCAAGAUUGCAAGGCCUGUGAACCUCGCUCCUCACUGUCAGCAUAAUUUCACUCGCGGCAGUGCCACUGGUUUCGCGGCCGCGCUUUUGUAGUGCGGUCAGCGAUGGUGUUUUCUCAAAAUUUCAGCUUCCCUGAUCCUCUAUCUCGUCGACCGCAGAAUAUUAUCUGCCUCAGUGGUGAACCCUACGCAGCCGCACUUUUCCAUCGCGGUCAGCGGUUCAGUUUCAGCCUUUGGCUUGGGCAAGUUUGACUCUUCAUGAGCUUAUUUUGGCUUCUUUGCCUCAUUUUGACCAAAACCCGCAAGCAAGCACCUUAAGUUAGCUUUCAGGAAUACCUUAACGCAUUUUUGACCCAAAACCUAAGCAAAAGAGAGCAAAUAGUAGGCUAAAAUCCCUAGUUAUCAACUCCCCCAAACUUAAGCCUUUGCUUGUCCUCAAGCAAACAAGGUAAUUCUCACCUCUGCAAGAAAAAGAAAGGAAAAUUUUAGCUGUCCUAAUAUGACUUCAUCAAGCAUCAAUUGGGACUAAUAAUUACCCUCAACACAAAUGCAUUAUCAACAAUAUUAUGUUAUGACUUUUUGAGUUUCAUAGGUCUAAUGUGACACAAGAGCAUCAAGAGUUGACUCAAUUCAUCAAGGAAACUCGCACUCUCAGGUAGGUCAAUGUGGAUCCCAGACUCCUUCUCCUCUACUCUCCAUGAGCUCAUCUCCUCUUAUAGAAUGUGACACUCAAAACCAGGAUUGUAAAGAAGUGCGCUCAUCACUCUUAAAAGAAUGUCACAAGUCCGGCUCUAUGUACCAUAGGCUUGCCCCUCAUGUAAAUCACCAAUAAUGUAAUCUCACCACUAUAGGGCUUUAGCGGGGUGUAAUGAAGGCUUUUUGGAUCAAGGUCGGACAUAAUGAACUAUGAUGGUAUCAUCUUUCCUUAAGCACUCCAUUUUUUUCAAUUUGGCUCAUGCUUUCUUGACUCUUUGAGUCAUUUUCUUCUUCCUCGGGGGAACUAGAAAGACACAUUGUCACUCUUUCUUGACUCUUUAAGCACUCCAUUGUUUUCUUGAAUCCUUUCAACCUUUGCUUUUCUUUUGACAUGCUUCUUUUUGGCUUUUCAUCCUUUUCUUUUCCUUUCUUUUUCAUCAAUUCCUUUUGUUCUUUGAACCUUUCAUCACCUUGUAAUUCCUCGUCUCUCCCCAAACUUAUGUUUUUGCAUAUUGUUCAUCAUGAAUGCUAAGAAAAGAUUGGGUGCCAAGAGAGGGUCAUUAUAGAACGGAUGAAGGCUUGUAAUGUGGUUAUUUAAUGAAAACGUCUUAGGCUCAAAGGGGUUGACUAAGGAUAUUAUACUGGUAGGCUAUGGAGUCUUCAAAAUUCAACUGGGACCAAGAAGAGCCUAUAAUCACUUCUCAAGUCAAGCUACACUUAGAAUUUUGCCUAGAAAAAUAUUCUGGGCAAGUUCUAGACUUGUUGGCACAAGAUUUGGACUUUGCAAUUCAAAACCUCACCUCUCAUGCUACUGGAUUGUUAAAGAGAGUAUAGUAGAGGGCCCAUAACAACCCUAGAUAAGCUUGAAGAUCACAUAUGGCUAACAGAAACCACUUGAUGAUAGUUUUAGUCAACUCAAGAAUCUAAAGGUCACAACUAGAGCUAAUCUUGUCGACAAACUUAUCUCUAACCAUGAGGUCGAAGGUAAAUGUGCUAGUGCCAAAUGAAGCUUACUUGAGUCACUUUUAUUCAUUACUACUAUAUAUCAAAACAAAAAGAAAAACUGACACAAUCCCUUAAGAAGGUUUCACGCCAUCCAUCGUUGGGAAGAGCCACCCGGUUCACACAAAUUCCACCUUUGGAAAGAACCGUGGCAUUAAGAAAACCAAAGACUUAUUGAUCACGAAAAAAUGUAAAAAGAAGCUACUAAAGAAAAUAAGAAGCUAAGCUAUUAAGGAAAAUUACAUAAGAAGUUAUAAAGGAUGUUUAUAAUUAUUCUGAUAGGGAGCGCCUGUGAAAAACCCUCGUUGUUCCAAUAAGGUCAACAUGACAUUUGUAAUCUGAAAAUUGCCCGCCCGGAUUCGGGGUGGGACAUUGCACUGGCGUAACCUUAAUUGGGAAGCACCCAAUGAUCUGCCCGUGGAGGAGGUAGGGGAGGGUCUGGAAUAUUGUCAUUGGCCUGGCAACCUCUUCUUUGAGCUUGAGGUGCUAGAUGUGCAUCAUCCUCACCAUUAUCAUCUACCUCCUCCCCCGGGAAAACAUUGCCGAAAGGAUCAGCCAUUUUGUACCUAAAGUAAUUAACACACAAAAGUUAGUUAAAAUAGAAGGAAAGAAAAACAAUACACAUAACUAGUCAGAUAGAUAGCCAAAACCGUUUAACUCCCCGGCAACGGCGCCAAAAAGUGAUCGGUUCCAACCCUACACCACUAUAUAAUGGCGAGGAGUGGUCGAUGCAGUUUUACCCGAUAUGUCGGGAUCGAUAUUCACAAGGAGUUAAUAUUGGUUUGGAGUUGGGUUUCUACCUAAUCUAGCUAUGCGUGUUGUCUUUAAUUGCACUUCUAAUCAUGGUUGGGAUUAUCUCUAUUCUAAUUUGAAAACUAUUAAUUGCUGAAAAUAAUGUAAGUACAACGUUUUUGUAGGAGUUUUUCAAAUGAUAAAAAGCACUAGGGAAGUGACUUACACCUAGGCGAGUAUCUAAUGGGGUCUAAAAUCUAGGACUAGCUUGUUAUUAUUGGGGUCAUGAUAUAAUCUUUACACAUAAUUACUCACUCUAUACCUCUCGGUAAUUUGAGUGACUUUGUCCGAUUUGGCUUUCUCAAGCCUAAAUGGGUGUUCAAACAAUGCAAGUGAAAUUGGCUCAAGUCGGGUAUUACUAUCUCUAGGUUUAACCCUUUAAUCGGGGCUAUCAAUCUCUUGAAUUCACCCCAAUUCCUUGUUAGCCCACCUUACCUAGACUUGGGCUCUCUUUCUCAAGAAGAGCCUAAGUCAAAAAGCAUGAAUCAGUAUUUGCAACUACCAAUUCUACAAUUAAAGCAUGAAACAAGCUAAAUAUCACUAACCCAUAACAAUUAAGCCCUAAACUUGAAGACCCGUUAAAUACCGACACUAGGGUUGGGUCACAACCCUAGCUAAUAGUUUUAGCUACUCAUAAUAAUGAAAGGAAUCAAAGAUGGAGAUGUAAUAUAAGCCAUAAAAGUCAAAUACAAGAAGAAAAUCUAAAGAUAUAAGCUAAAGCUACUUUACAAUUACUCAAAACAGUAAAAUACGGUUGUUCACGUGUUCCUUAAAAUCAGACUUAACCUAAAAAUGUGAAAAAGAUCUAUUUAUACACAGCUAAAAUUACUGGACAAAAAUACCCCUACGGAGGUUCCGCUGACAGCGUAAUACUGGGCGCGUCCGCGCUUAGCCAUUCACGGCCGCACAAUAACGAACGCAGUCCACUUUUUUCUACAUUUGGAUCUGGACUGGAGUUUGUUUUGCGGACCGCUUAAAUCCAGUCGCGUCCGCGUUUGCUUCUAUCGUGGCCGCGUAAAAUGUUCGCGGACCGUGCUCCUGAGCUUAGCUUUACUUGCAAACUCUCUGAACCCCUUAUCUCGCUCCCAGCGUAAUUUCCACCGCUUCCGCGUCAGGUGACUUCACGGGCGCGUAAAUUAGACACGAGCCGCAUUCUUUGUUUGAACCAAGAUUGCAAGGCCUCUGAACCUCGCUCCUCGCUGUCAGCGUAAUUUCACUCACGGCCGCGCCACUGGUUUUGCGGCCGUGCUUUUGUAGCGUGGUCAGCGAUGGUGUUUUCUCAAAAUUGCAGCUUCUCUGAACCUUUAUCUCGCCGACUGCGGAAUAUUAUCCACCUCAGCGGUGAACCCUACGCGGUUGCGCUUUUCCACCGCAGUCAACGGUUCAGUUUUAGCCUUUGGCUUGUGCAAGUUUGACUCUUCAUGAGCUUAUUUUGGCUUCUUUGCCUCAUUUUGACCAAAACCUGCAAGCAAGCACCUUAAGUUAGCUUUCGAGAAUACCUUAACGCAUUUUUGACCCAAAACCUAAGCAAAAGAGAGCAAAUAGUUGGCUAAAAUCCGUAGUUAUCAAUUGUCUCGAAUCUUGNNNNNNNNNNNNNNNNNNNNNNNNNNCUAAGCUCUUCCUUCCCAUUGUAUGAGACUAAGCAUUGUCUCCAAUCUUGUAUGAGGCUAAGACAUGCCUCCUUAAUUGCAUAAGGCUAGGCUUUGCCUUCCCAUUGCAUGAGACUAAGCAUUGUCUCCAAUCUUGCAUAAGGCUAAGCCCCGCCUCCUCAACUGCAUAAGGCUAAGCUCUACCUUCCCAUUGCAUGAAUCUAAGCAUUGUCUCCAAUCUUGCAUAAGGCUAAGCCUUGCAUCCUUAACUGCAUAAGGCUAAGCUCUGCCUUCCCCGCACGAGACUAAGCAUUGUCUCUCCUUGCAUAACCACGAAUGCUGCACUAUUAAAAAUGUUGCAAUAUUCUCUUCUCUCAGGGCUAAGCUAUGCCCCCGAUCUUACACAAGACUAAGCUUUGUCUUGUUUCAAGCAUCAUGUCUUUGCAUCUCAUGGGCUGAAACAUAGCCAAACUUUCCAAAGGCGUCAUAGUCCGAAGGCAUCAUCUUCAUAGCCGGAAGACACCAUGCCAUGGCCGAGGAUCUUUCAAUAUUGCACAUCAUUAUUCAAAGGCAUCAUGGUUAAGAGGCACCAUCUUGAUAGCCCGAGAACAUCAUUUCAUCGCUUGCGAAUCCCCUAUCUCACAAUUAAUAGCCCAGGAUGUCAUGGUCUAAGGACGUCAUCCUCACCGUCCAAAGAUAACCCACAUGGUCCAAAGGAAAUUUGUAUCAUGUUUAAAUUCAUGCAAUACUCUAUAUGUAUUUGUAUGCAUCGUAUUUUGAGUCUGCACGUGAUCCAAGAAGUAACCGUUCUCCUAACGGGAGCAAUCUUCACUCCAGUUUCCUUUCAACGUUCAUAUCCUUCAAUCAUUUUAAACGUAACCGAUCACCGUCUGUUACCCAUUCCCAUCCGAUAACCAGUCAAAUAUCCGCAACCGUCCGUUACCCAUUCCCAAUACUAAUAUUGUCCUAUCCAGAAUAUUUUGCCUGUUCUUAUAAUAACUCCAUCGGUUUAUUCUAUCGUUGGAUCCAGAACUACACAUGGCCUGAUUCCUAUAAAACCAGGGAUAUGUAGGUAGCUCAGAAACCAGGGUCCGGCCAAUAUUUUUCAAUUCACCGCAUUNNNNNNNNNNNNNNNNNNNNNNNNNNNNNNNNNNNNNNNNNNNNNNNNNNNNNNNNNNNNNNNNNNNNNNNNNNNNNNNNNNNNNNNNNNNNNNNNNNNNNNNNNNNNNNNNNNNNNNNNNNNNNNNNNNNNNNNNNNNNNNNNNNNNNNNNNNNNNNNNNNNNNNNNNNNNNNNNNNNNNNNNNNNNNNNNNNNNNNNNNNNNNNNNNNNNNNNNNNNNNNNNNNNNNNNNNNNNNNNNNNNNNNNNNNNNNNNNNNNNNNNNNNNNNNNNNNNNNNNNNNNNNNNNNNNNNNNNNNNNNNNNNNNNNNNNNNNNNNNNNNNNNNNNNNNNNNNNNNNNNNNNNNNNNNNNNNNNNNNNNNNNNNNNNNNNNNNNNNNNNNNNNNNNNNNNNNNNNNNNNNNNNNNNNNNNNNNNNNNNNNNNNNNNNNNNNNNNNNNNNNNNNNNNNNNNNNNNNNNNNNNNNNNNNNNNNNNNNNNNNNNNNNNNNNNNNNNNNNNNNNNNNNNNNNNNNNNNNNNNNNNNNNNNNNNNNNNNNNNNNNNNNNNNNNNNNNNNNNNNNNNNNNNNNNNNNNNNNNNNNNNNNNNNNNNNNNNNNNNNNNNNNNNNNNNNNNNNNNNNNNNNNNNNNNNNNNNNNNNNNNNNNNNNNNNNNNNNNNNNNNNNNNNNNNNNNNNNNNNNNNNNNNNNNNNNNNNNNNNNNNNNNNNNNNNNNNNNNNNNNNNNNNNNNNNNNNNNNNNNNNNNNNNNNNNNNNNNNNNNNNNNNNNNNNNNNNNNNNNNNNNNNNNNNNNNNNNNNNNNNNNNNNNNNNNNNNNNNNNNNNNNNNNNNNNNNNNNNNNNNNNNNNNNNNNNNNNNNNNNNNNNNNNNNNNNNNNNNNNNNNNNNNNNNNNNNNNNNNNNNNNNNNNNNNNNNNNNNNNNNNNNNNNNNNNNNNNNNNNNNNNNNNNNNNNNNNNNNNNNNNNNNNNNNNNNNNNNNNNNNNNNNNNNNNNNNNNNNNNNNNNNNNNNNNNNNNNNNNNNNNNNNNNNNNNNNNNNNNNNNNNNNNNNNNNNNNNNNNNNNNNNNNNNNNNNNACUUUCAAAAUAGUACAUAUACAUCAUCAUUUGAUUUACAAACAUACACAAGUAUUUUUCAUAAUUUUUCAUGAUUUUUAAAAGCUUUAAAUCAAUUUAUUUCUGCUUAUAAAUAUCCAAUAAUUACCCUCCAAAUUAUUUUAUGAUGAUUCAAUCAUCUAAACUUAUGACUUAUACCAAUAUGAGGUUUUAAAUAUUUUCAAUGCGUUGAUCAUAAUUACAUUUGUAUAGUUUAGAGCUAAAUUGAAUAUUUUGCAAUAAUAGCCCAUAUGCAUAUAUAAUUACAUUAUCUACACAAACAAUGAAUUUUUAUAUUUUUAUAAUGUUAAGUAAUCAUUUUAAAUUAUUUUUAUGCACAAAUAAUAUUUUUUUUAUUUAUUACCUAUUUUUAUAAAUUAUAUUUUGCUAAAUAUUGUGUAUUUAAAUAAUGGCCUAAUUUUAAACCUAUUUUUCGGACCUAAUACACCAACCCAAUACCCCUGGUCCAAAACCCAUUAGCCCAGUCACCAUACCCACUUAAAUACCCGACCCAAUCCAUUUUAAAUCAUGGUCGUUGAUCUCUGAGAUCAACGGCCCAUAUUUAUUUCCUGAUUUAAUUAACCUAACCCACCCCAAACCCUAAAUCAUUCUUACCACCUCGCCACCCUAGAACUCUCUCGUCUCUCAUCUCGCAUGAACCCUAGCCUCUGUUCGAUCAAACCCCCCAAAUCAGACCCCAGAACGGAAUCCACCAUGGAUUACCUUACCUUAUUUGCAUAUCCUCACUACUGGCCACUCGCAUAUGAUCCUAUUUAGUUGCUUGCCUAAUAUGGCAAGCAAAUCUUGCCAAAAUCGAACCAAAUCAGUUCAAGUCUCUGAUUUCUGUGGCUAUUCUGCCUAUAUUCAUCAUUGAUUCUUUGUGAGUAACGAGCAUGUUCAUAUCUUUCUGUCAUUCUUACUUACCCCAAAUUAGGGUUAUCAAACCCUUUCAAUCGGACCUAAAUAGGUCUGAUUUUUUAACACUAUUCUGCUUCCAUUCAUCCUAUCUCGUAUGAUUGUUUUACCUUAAUUGGUAUUAUCACUGAUUUUGUACUUUCCCUAAACUAGGGUUUGAAUUUUCUUUUCCUUUUCUUACUGAUUCUAGUGAAUCUUUCCUUUCUGUGUUCGAUUACCUUCUUUCUUUACAUUUUUCCUGACUUUUACUUUAAUAUUUUGCUUAAAUAUUCUGAAUAAUUUUUGUUUUGGUAUUAUUUGUGUCUCCCUUAAUAUUUGCUUAAAUAUUCUGAAUAAUUUCUUUGUUUUGGUAUUAUUUGUGUUUCCUUUAAUACCUGCCCGAUAUUCUGAAUAAUUUUAUGUUUUUAUGCUUCCCUAAUUUUAACUGCCCUAACAUUAUGAACGAUUUUAUUCUUAGUAUUAUGUGUUUCUGCCUUAAAUAUUCUGAAUAAUUUUAAGUACUUCCUUAACUCGCUAUAUCCCUUAAUUUAUUCCCUAAAUUACCUAUAACUGAUUCUGCAAAUAUUUUCUUGCAUAUUACUGAUUUUUUUCCAUGUUUAUAUAUUGAUUUCUAUCACUAUAUAUACUCUUCCCCCAUUCCCUUUAGAGGAGCUUGGACUUUCUGAACUUACUACAACCUUACUAGACCUAAAGUUACUCUAUAUUCUGUCUUUGGCCGGCUGGAAGCCAAUGCCACUUGAUUCUGAGCUAUUGCUAUACUUCUUCUGCGCAUUUUCUUCGCUUAAUUGGUGAGUCACUUGACAUCUGCACUUUCAUUCUUUCGUAUAUCCCUGAUUUCCACAUAUGAUUAGCACCGAAUCCAUGAUCCAAUAUGCAUGUGAGUGAUGUUUAGGCAUUAUCUUUACCAGUUUUGUAUGUCUUAGUUCCUUUAACACUUAAUUGCUCCUAAUGUUACUUUUUCUGAAGUUGUUUGAACUUCUUUAAGGUCUAUCCAGUUAGGGUAUCAACCCUUAAGUGCCAAUGAACAUGUCUAUCCCCUUACCCUAAAUCCCUGUAGUGAAUGCCUCACAUCUGUGACUCUUGUUGCUAGUUGUAAUAUGCCUCUUUGCUAUUAUGUCAACAUGAUCACUCGAUCCCCACACCCCUCUGAUGUUGUUUGUAAUGACUGUCUCAUCAUGCUUGAAUUGCUACUUUGAAAUAAACCUUUGUUUAGACCAAUAUAACAAUGUUAUCUGCUACUUUGAAGAAUAGCUGUCUCAAUUUGUGACUGCAAGUCACCCCUGAUAAUUUGAUGCCCUCCCCCUUUCUAUGAUGUUGUUUUGGUUUUCUUGAUAAUAACAUUAGGUUAAGUACUUGGCCUACUUCAAGCAUGCUUUAACUCAUUCUGCACCUAUGGCUUUGCCAAACUUGCAAACAUGCUUUGCCAAUUUUUAGCAUGUAACUGUUGUUGUGCUGAGUAUGAAACCUAUUUAUCAGCUUCAUUAAACUAGUUCUUGCUUGCAUUUUGUGAUGCAUUUAAGUGUCUGCUUGUUGACUCAAUUUGGUUAUGUCUAUUUAAAUCAAUUCAUGUUUUUCUCAAUUUUGGUCUUUCUCUUCUGUCACUAAAACUCUUUAAAUCCCAUUCUUAGCCAAUGCUGCCUAAAUUCUGUCCUUUGGCCUUUCUAGUGUGAGCACUGCUCGGAGUUCAUUAGAGACCUUUGUGAACUCUGACACACUAGGAUUUGGUCCCUAAUCCCUCCUUGAACUAUCUUGGUUAACCACCCUAGUGUGAGCACUGCCCUGGGUUCUUGAAGCCCUUGGGAACUCUGACACACUAGGGCCUUGGUUCUAUAUGCUCAACCUUGUCAUGUGCUCACUCGGUGAAUUACUCAACUAUUGGCUAUUUUGUAUCUAUGAAUAUGUAACUUUGGGGCUGUUGUGAAUUGUGAGAAUGAAGGUCUGGCCUGUCCGGGUGUAUUUGGGCCUGCUGUAGGCUCCCUAUAGCUAUAUCUACUCUGUAAUUUACUAUAUUCGUUCUGGGUCUGUAAUAAUUAUUGUAACAAUAUUUGGGGUAUUAGUGAAACUGGGAAAGAGAUUUUUAUCUUAUACUUGCAACAAGUUGGGUAGAAAUUCUGCCUAUAGGUUUGAUAAUGUGUUAUUGUAUGUCGUGUGUUAGAAAUCAUGCCUAUAGGUAUCUUAUCAUGUUCAGUCAUUGUAUGUUAGCAAUCCUGCCUAUAGGUCCAAUACUUGGUUCAAUUGUGUUCUUUUUCUGCUUGUUAGAAACCCUGCCUAUAAGAAAUAGUGUGAUUCAAUGUGCAUACAAAGUUUUGUUUACAUGUUGCCCUACUCGCGAAUUAUAGAAAUCAUGUCUAUAGGGUCUAAAAUCGGAUUAAUUGUAGAAAGCAUGCCUAUAGGUCUGAAUCCGUUCAAUUAUCAUUUUGCCCGUUUGUUCAGGAGUUUUCAAUCACUGUGUUAUUAUCCUCACUAGAAAACAUGCCUAUAGGGUCAAAACAAGUAAUUUUGAAUAUGCCUCUGUGAUUGCCACUAUUUAUUAUUGCGUAAAAUACCUAGACAUCAUGCCAGUAGGUUUAAUCUCAUUAUGCUAAAAUUAGUAGGCAAAUCAUGUAGGUUUUGGUAAUCGUAUUAAGGAAUGACUUUUGUGUAUAACUGUCUGCCCAUUAAUUCAGUAUCACAUAGAGACGUUGCCUAUAGGAUUUUGCAACUUUAAUUAAUUAAAAUUUGUCAAUAUUAAUCAGUUUGGCGUACAUUUGUUGUCUAAAUGCGGAGCCUAACUUGAGCCCUUACUUGCUUAUAUGUGAAAUUCCUAAACUGUUUUGUAUGUCGCUUAGUAUUGUCCCUUUUGAGCAACUUAAGUUAAAGUCUAGAAUCACCCUAAAAUAAAGGUCCAAAUGCCUCCUGGACCAUAGGCAGGGGACGGGUAGUGCACGCAUAGAGCACGAUUUAGAAUUGAACUUUAGGUAAACAACUUAAAGAUAGUAAUCAGGUAGCAGGAGAUGAUAGUCUGUGCCCGCUGAAUAAUAUGAGUAACACCCCAUCUUGAAGGAGUUACGAAAUAUUAUUUAUGUUGUACGGGGUGAUCCUUUAGGCUAAAAAACUUAGGACCCCCACCUCUGUUUAAAGUCAAUCAUUUAUUUUACUGCCCAAAUCGUUUCCAUUCCCUUAGACUAAUUCAUAUAAUUCGAGUUCGGCCAGGACCUACCGUUGUGGACCUCGAGGAGUGCCUAACACCUUCUCCUCAAGGUAAUUUGAGCCCUUACCCGAUCUUUGGUGACGCAACUGGUUAAUCCAGAGUUAUUUGCAAAUAGGUGCCCUAACGCAUCUUAACCCGUUAGGUGGCGACUCUCUAUUUUAAUACACUUCCUUAAAAGAGUUGUCACGUGUCGAAACCCGAUUUUACGAGAAAAAAGGGCGCGACAUCAAGUUGGUAUCAGAGCUCUAGGUUCAUAGGUAUUUUGAGUCACAAGAAGGUUUAGUAGAGUCUCGCGGAUCGGUACCGAGACAUCUGUACUUAUCUUCAAGAGGCUAUGGAACUGUUAGGAAAGCUUCACUUCUUUGAUUCCUUAUCGUGCAAAUUUGUUGACUUCAAAAUUCUAAAUCUCUACCUUUCUAUUCUGUCACAUAUAGUGAGGACAAGCACAGCUGGAUCUGAUGAUCAGACAUUCGUGCCCACUGCUAGAGCCGCAAAAGGCUGGGGCCGGGGUAGAGGCCAAGGACAGGCACGUGGUGUAGCUAGAGCACCUGUAUGAGAUGCUAAUGAGGAGCCACCAGUAGCUCCAGUUGGGGGGCAGGCACCCGAGAUGCCUGUUACUACCCUUGUUCUUCGGGAGACCCUCGCCAAGUGUUUGAGCAUGUUUGGCACUCUAGCAAAGGUAGGGUUGAUUCCACUUGCUCUUUCCACACCCCAGGCUGGGGGAGGAGCACAGACUCCCGCAGCCCAUACCCCAGAGUAGCAGGUCCAGGUUGACCAGGUCCCAGAGGUCAUACCAGUUUAGCCGGUUGUCCUAGUUUAGCCCGGGUUACGGUAGCAGCAUCUGAGUAGGAACAUAUCUUGCUCAAGAGGUACAAGAAGUACCAUCCUUCUACAUUCAGUGGCCUAGCUACAAAGGACGCACAGGGUUUUCUUGAUGAGUGCCUUCGUAUCCUCCGUACUAUGGGUAUUGUGGAGUCGAGUGGGGUUGCUUUCACUAUGUUCCAGUUUAACAGAGUGACUUAUUAGUGGUGGCAAGCAUACGAGUUGGGUAGGGGUCGAGGCAGCUGCACUCACAUGGGCUCAGAUUUCAGAGAUGUUCAUGAGAGAGUUUGUUCCCCAGAGCCUUUAUGAUGCAUGGCGCACGGAGUCUGAGCAGCUGCGCCAGGGUGCUAUGACCGUAUCAAAGUAUGUUGUCAAGUUCAGUGAGUUGUCCAGACAUGCACCAGCCUUAGUCUCCACAGUCAUAGAGCGAGUGUCGAUUUAUCAAGGGGCUCAACCAUGGUAUUAGAUUCAGCAUGGCUCGAGAGUUAGAAACGGAUACCCUGUACCAACAGGUUAUAAAGAUCGCUCGAAGAUUGGAGGGUAUGUACGGCCAGGAGAGAGAGGAGAGGGAGUCCAAGAGGCCUCGAGAUUCUAGCACAUAUAGCGGUGCCCUAUUACAUCUCAUGUUUUUCGUACGUUAAAGUUUCGUCUUCAGUUAAUUGACGUAGACUCGCGGAUGAGAUUUUUUUGAGAUUAUAAGCAUUAUGCUAUUUCAAACACGUGAUGAGUAAAUUCGUGAAGGAGAAAAGGUAAGCUAAUAGAAGAAAAUGAGUUUUGUCGAAGUUUGGCAAUUUGAAAUAAAAUUCGGUCCAAACUAUAAUACCUGGUAUUUAUGGACUAGUGUCAUAUAAGGUACUACAUGACCAUGAUAUUAAGGUGUACAAGGUAUGUUAAAAGUGAGUAGUAUUUUAAGUACGUGGAGAUAAUUUUUAAUUAUAUAGGUAAUUGGUUAAUUAUUGGGUAAUAGGAUAUUACCUAAUUAAUUGGGGAUAUAUUGUAUAAGAAUUAAAAUGGCAUUAUGUGGCAGCCCCCCCUCCCAAUUCAUAUUAAGUGACUCAUAAUCUAGAUUGAAGGUGGCCAACUAAAAGUUAUACACAUGACACUUACGUGUAAAGACAUAAAUGAGAAGUUUGGCAUUUUGGCUUUAUUUGGCCUUAAGAUAAUCAAGUAAGUAAUCUUAUCAUUUUCUUCCUAUUUCAAAAAUUGCAAAACAGACGUUAGAAAUUCCUACAAGGAUUCAUAACAUCUUCAAAUAAGAAUUCAUAACAUCUUCAAAGAGAAUUCAUAACAUCUUCAACCAAUUCCUACAAAAUUCCAACGAGAUUUUUUUAGCACCUUAGCAACUUGAGAUUUUGCAAUUCUAAGGGAGUACGGUGCAACCUUUUUCAAGAAUAUCAUACGGAUUUUUUCUUACUCCAAAUAUGUUAAGGCUAAACCCUUCCUUCAUUUUGGCAUGAUCUCGUAAUUAUAUGAGUUUGAUAACGAGGCUUAAAGAGAAAUUCAUAUUGCUGAAUUUAUGUACAUUUCCUAGUCGUAUAAGUUACAAUAUUCUCCCUUAUCGAGAUAUUAUAUUCGAUUGAGUAUUAUUUUCUUCCAGUCAAGAGAGUAGAGCUUCUAUACAUACAGUAUUUUCACCACCAUCAAGCUAUAAUCGGUGGGCAAACCCCUAUUGGGCAACCUCUGAUCAGAUGGUAAGUUAUAUACCGAGCCUAUUGUGGCCCAGCGCCUAUGAGCGAGCCCAGUUGGCCGAGAUACAAAGCCUAGUAUGGCCGAGCGCCUAUGAGCGAGGCUACUACGCCAGAGCAGUUAUAUAUAUACCGAGCCAUAUAAGGCCGGACAACUAUUUUACUUACUGUAUUGAGAGAGUUGAUUUAGUAUCAGCAGGUAAGCAUAUCUUUAUAUUAUCUUUGACUCUCAGUUACUUCAGUUAUUAUAUUAUCAGUUCAGUUUUAGCUUUCAGUUAUUUUAUUGCCUUGCAUACUCGGUACAUUAUUUCGUACUGAUGUCCCUUUUUCGGGGGAUGCUGCAUUUCAUGCGUGCAGGUUCAGACAGACAGAUGGGUAGACUCCUCAGUAGGUGUUGCCCGAGUUUAGCUUUAUCGGUAAGCUCCACGUCCUUCGGAGUUGCCAGGUCUAGAAGUUUUGUUUACAUCUUAUGUAUAUAUGUAUAUAGGUUAUGGGUAGGUCGGGGCCCUAUUCCGAUCACAGUACAACCAUCAGUAGUAGGCUUGUAGACAUAUACAUNNNNNNNNNNNNNNNNNNNNNNNNNNNNNNNNNNNNNNNNNNNNNNNNNNNNNNNNNNNNNNNNNNNNNNNNNNNNNNNNNNNNNNNNNGUAGUUAUGACGGCCUUGUCGGUCCAGCUUUAUAUUGAUGCUUAGUCUGCAUUCGCAAGUGUCUUGCAAUGUGGCUCAUGGCCAAAGUAUGACAUUAUAUAUUCGGAGUCUCUUAGUCGCAAGUUGGUAUGCAAGGAUAGGUGAGGCACCGGGUGCUGGUCUCGCCCCCCAAGAUCGGGGCGUGACAAAAGUGGUAACAGAGCAGUUCUAUCCUAGGGAGUCUACAAAGCCGUGUCUAGUAGGGUCUUGUUUAUUGAUGUGUGGUGGACCGCAUUAUAUAAGCAGGGGACUACAGGGCAUUUAGGAGUUGAUUACCCUUCUUUCAAAUCUAAAACGUGCUAUAGAACUGAGUUAUAGGAAAUUUGAGUUAAACUUACGUGUUGGCAUUUGCAUGCACAGAUGACGAUGACUAGGAAGUCUACGGCUAGCCAGAGGAGAGAUACAGCAGGAGGUGGGGGACUAGCAGGGUAACCCCAGUAGAUGGGGCCCAAUCGGAGGCCCAGGGAGAGACCCCUACUCAGCCGUUACCGGCUCCUCCACCACCAGAGGAGAUUCCUAAGGAGACCGCACAUCCAGUUCCCCCUCUGCUUCUAUCGGAUCAGGAAUUGAGGGGUGCGGUGCAUUUGUUGACAUAGUUGGUAGCUACCCAGUAACAGGCUAGGGCAUCCGCUAGUGCAGGAUCUUUUGAGGGGUCUGGGAGUUCAAGGGUCCAAGAGUUUAUUGCUUUGAGUCCCCCAAAGUUCACGGGGACAGAUCAGAGGGAGGACUCGCAGGAUUUCAUAGAUCAGUUUCACAUGAUCUUUCGGGUUAUGCAUGCCACGGAGAAAGAGACAGUUGAGUUAGCCACUUUUCGACUCCGAGAUAUAGCCAUCCUUUGGUACGAGGGAUGGGAAAGGUCCAGGGGACGUGAUGCACCUCCAGCUAUUUGGGAGGAUUUUUCGGAUGCCUUCCUUGACUAGUACUUACCGCGGGAGAUCUGACAGGCUUGAGUCGAUCUAUUUUUACCUCAGGCACGGAAAUAUGAGUGUUCGAGAGUAUAGUUACCAUUUUGACUCAUUGGCCAGAUAUGCACCAUCCAUAUUUGCUACUAUGGGGGACAGGAUUCACAAGUUUAUAGCAGGGUUAGCCCCAGAGUUGACCGAGGCAUGUGCCACCGCUACAUUGCAGGAUAGUAUGGAUAUCUCCCGGAUUCAAGCAUUCGCCCAAAAUAUAGAAAGGGGUAGGCGUCGGCAGCAGGGUACAAAGAGGACUGAGUUGGGAUAGCGUAAGAGGAUGAGAUUUGCCAGGUCUCAGGAGCAGUCUUAGAGUAGUUAUAGUCCCCGGUACUUCGAAUGGCCAACUAGGCCUCUGCCACCUCAGUUACAGGGUUACAGGUAUGACCGUUAUACUCAAUCAGGACUAAAUGAGAGCUCACAUGCAUCGGGUUUGCAGCGACAGCGAGGUUCACGGCAGAUAUGGUCAUUUUCGUUGCGGUGUGACAUCUGUGGUAGAGUACACUUGGGCCAAUGCCGAGUCGGUUCCGAUGCUUGUUAUACAUGUGGACAUCCGGGGCAUAUGAUGUGAGAUUGCCCAAAUAGAGAUUUUGGGGGUAUGGCAUAACAAGCGAAUUCAGUAAUAGGAUCAUCUAUAUCCAUGCAUCCUUCAGGGCGCGAGUCUCAAUCUUCGGCUGGUAGAGGUCGAGGCAGAGGUAGAGGUUCCAGUUCACGUAGUAACCAGAAUCGUAGCUAUGCUUUAGCGGGUCGACAGGACCAGGAAUCUUCACCAGACGUUGUGACGGGUAUGUUGACCAUUUGCUCUCAUGAUGCUUAUGCCUUGAUAGACCCAGGAUCUACUUUAUCGUGUAUUACCCCAUUUGUCAGUGGGAAGUUUGGUAUAGUGCCUGAAAUACUAAGUGAUCAUUUUGCGGUAUCUAUACCGGAUGGAGAAUCGAUUAUUGCUAGAAGGGUUUAUCGAGGUUGUACGGUGUCAGUUUAUGGUAGUCAGACCUCAACCGACCUAGUUGAGCUAGAGAUGUUGGAUUUUGAUGCUAUCAUGGGCAUGGACUGGUUGGCAUCUUGCUAUGCCACAGUUGAUUGUUGAGAAAAGACAGCCAGAUUUCAUUUUCCGGGUGAGCCAGUCCUUGAAUGGGUAGGUAAUACAGCAACACCCGGAGGUAGGUUUAUUUCCUAUCUGAAGGCAAGGAAAAUGAUCGCAAAAGGGUGCAUUUAUCAUAUUGUGCGAGUUAGAGAUGUAGAUGCAGAGAUACCUACACUUCAGUCUAUUCCAGUAGUAAAAGAGUACGCGGAUGUAUUUCCAGAUGAACUUCCAGGUGUUCCUCCAGAGCGAGAGAUUGAUUUUGUUAUCGAUUUUCUUUUGGGAACUCAACCAAUAUCCAUCCCUCCGUAUAGAAUGGCACCUGCCGAAUUGAAGGAGUUGAAGGAGUAGUUAAAAGAUUUGCUGGAGAAAGGUUUUAUUAGGCCCAGUACCUCACCUUGGGGUGCACCGGUACUGUUUGUACGCAAGAAAGACGGCUCGCUGAGGAAGUGUAUCGAUUAUAGGUAGCUGAACAAGGUAACUAUUAAGAAUAAGUACCCACUUCCAAGGAUAGAUGACUUGUUUGAUCAGUUGUAGGGAGCUAGAUGCUUUUCAAAGAUAGAUUUGAGGUCGGGGUACCACUAGGACAGAGUUCGAGAGAAAGAUAUUCCCAAGACAGCCUUCAGGACCCGAUAUGGCCACUUUGAGUUCCUUGUCAUGUCCUUCGGGUUGACGAAUGCACCUGCCGUAUUUAUGGCUUAAUGAAUAGCCUAUUCCGGCCAUUUUUAGAUCUAUCGCGAUAGUAUUUAUUGAUGACAUUUUGGUUUAUUCACGUUCAGAGGAUGAGCAUGCGGACCACCUGCAAGCGGUACUACCACUCCGACAGAGGUUCGUAGCUUUCUAGGUUUAGCAGGAUACUACAGGAGGUUCGUAGAGGGAUUUUCUUCCCUUUUGGCACCAUUAACAAAGUUGACGCAGAAAGCAACUAAGUUUCAGUGGAUGGAGGCUUGCGAGCAGAGUUUCCAUGAGCUUAAGAACAGGUUGACCUCAGCGCCAGUUCUAGCACUUCCAGAGGGUCCAGAUGGUUAUGCCAUGUAUUGCGAUGCCUCAGGUGUCGGGUUAGGAUGUAUCCUGAUGCAACAUGGGAAAGUAAUUGUGAAUGCUUCAAGGUAGUUAAGGAAGCACGAGCGGAAUUAUCUGACCCACGACCUCGAGUUAGCUGCGGUUGUCCAUGCACUUAAGAUAUGGCGGCAUUAUUUAUAUAGUGUUCAUGUUGAUGUAUUUACAGAUCAUAAAAGCCUGCAAUAUAUCUUUAAGCAAAAAGAGUUGAAUUUAUGACAGAGGCGAUGGCUUGAGUUAUUGAAAGAUUACGAUGUUAACAUUCUCUACCAUCCAAGGAAAUCUAAUAUGGUAGCAGAUGCCUUAAGUCGCCGAUCUAUGGGUAGCUUAGCACAUGUAGAGGCCGAAAAAAGACAAUUAACUAGAGAGAUUCAUCAAUUGGCUUGUUUAGGGGGUGAUUCGUAGACUCUGACGAUGGUGGAGUUGUACUCCAAAAUACUGCAAAAUCAUCUCUCACAGCUGAAGUAGAGGAGAGGCAGUACGAGGACCCAGAGUUGGUCGAGUUGAGAGAGCGAGUUCCGCAGCAGAAGAAGUCGUUGUUAGAACUCAAGGGAGAUGGGGUUCUCGGAUACAGGGGUCGUUUGUGUGUUCCAGAAGUAGCAGGGCUACGAGACAGGAUUAUGUCAGAGGCACAUUAUUCGUGGUACUCCAUUCAUCCUGGGUCGACGAAGAUGUAUCAUGACAUUAAAGAUGUGUACUGGUGGAAUGAUAUGAAAAAAGACAUUGCUGAGUUUGUCGCUCAGUGUCCUAGUUGCCAGCAGGUGAAGGUAGAGUACAAGAAGCCUGGAGGGCUAAUGCAGACUAUAGAGAUCCCAACAUGGAAAUGGGAGGCGAAAAACAUGGACUUUAUCAGGGGUUUACCUCAUUCUCAUCAUAAGCUCGAUUCCAUAUGGGUGAUAGUCGAUAGGCUCACAAAAUUAGCUUAUUUCUUACCAGUCAGAUCUACAUAUAUAGCAGAAGAUUAUGCAAAGCUAUAUAUUAAGGAGAUAGUACGGCUACACGGAGUACCAGUAUCUAUUUUAUCUGACCGUGGGGCCCAGUUUACAACACAUUUUUAGAGGUCAUUUCAGAAAGGUCUAGGGAGUUAGGUGAAUCUCAGCAUAGCUUUUUAUCAACAGAUUGAUGGACAAGCUGAGCGCACAAUUCAGACGCUCAAGGAUAUGUUACGAGCAUGUGUGUUGGAUUUUAAAAGAAGUUGGGAUGAACAUCUACCUCUUAUCGAGUUUGCAUAUAAUAACAGUUACCACUCUAGUAUCCAGAUGGCUCCGCACGAGGCUUUGUAUGGGCGUAAGUGCAGAUCUCCUAUAAGGUGGUUUGAUGUUGGAGAAUCUGGGUUACAUGGGCCAGACCUGGUUCAGUAGGUCGUAGAGAAAGUAAAGCUUAUCCGGGAGCGACUGUUGACAGCCCAAAGUCGUCAAAAGUCAUAUUAUGACGUGCGGCGACGAGACUUAGAGUUCGGGGUUAAUGACUGGGUAUUCUUAAAAGUGUCACCUAUGAAGGACGUGAUGAGGUUCGGCGAGAAGGGCAAGCUUAGCCCACGGUAUAUUGGUCCUUAUAGGAUUAUUCGGAGAGUGGGCCAAGUAGCUUAUGAGUUGGAAUUGCCCUUAGAAUUGGAGUCUGUCCAUCCGGUUUAUCACGUAUCCAUGCUACGGAAGUGCAUUGGCGAUCCUACCCGAGUGGUGCCCACAGAUGAUGUACAGAUUAUGGAGGACUUUUCAUACGAGGAAAUUCCAGUUGCCAUCCUAGACCGACAAAUCUGUAAGCUUUGAAAUAAGGAGUUAGCCUCCGUGAAGGUUUUAUGGAGGAGCAAUAAUGUGGAAGAGAUGACGUGGGAAGCGGAGGAAGAAAUGAAGUCUAAAUACCCCCCACCUAUUUCAAACUGAAGAUAUAGCUCGAGGUGAGAUACCUCAGCACAGCUCUAUUCAGGCCAGUAGGUCAUCAGGUAAGCUCUUAUAUUUGACUUUCAGAAUUUAUAAUGGACAGCUGUGUGAAGCCAAGUGUUGCUAUUUAUAAAGAUGGGCCAUGUGUGGCAUGUAUAGUCUAUUUUCUGGCUACGUACAGGUUGGUUUUAGUCUGGUUCACAGAGGAGACUCUGGAAAAAUUUUCCCAAAAUCUCUAAGAAAAAACAUUCGAGGACGAAUGUUUUUAAGGGGGGAAGGAUGUUACAUCUCUCGUUUUUCGUGCGUUAAAGUUUUAUCUUCAGUUAAUUGACGUAGACUCGGGGAUGAGAUUUUCUUGAUAUUAUAAGCAUUAUGCUAUUUCAAACACGUGAUGAGUAAAUUCGUGAAGGAGAGAAGGUAAGCUAAUAGAAGAAAAUGAGUUUCGUCAAAGUUUGGCAAUUUGGGAUAAAAUUCGGUCCAAACUAUAAUACUCGUUAUUUAUGGACUAAUGCUAUACAAGGUACUACAUGACCAUGAUAUUAAGGUGUACACGGUAUGUUAAAAGUGAGUAGUAUUUUAAGUAAGUUGAGAUAAUUCUUAAUUAUGUGGGUAAUUGGUUAAUUAUUGGGUAAAAGGAUAUUACCUAAUUAAUUGGGGAUAUAUUGGAUAAGAAUUAAAAUGGCAUUAUGUGGCAGCACCCCCCUCCCCCCCAUUCAGAUUAAGUGACUCAUAAUCUAGAUUGAAGGUGGCCAAAUAAAAGUUAUACACUUGACACUUACGUGUAAAGAAAUAAUGAGAAGUUUGGCAUUUUGUCUUCAUUUGGCCUUAAGAUAAUCAAGUAAGUAAUCUUAUCAUUUUCUUCCUAUUUCAAACAUUGCAAAACAGACAUUAGCAAUUCCUACAAGUAUUCAUAACAUCUUCAAAUGAGAAUUCAUAACAUCUUCAAAGAGAAUUCAUAACAUCUUCAACCAAUUCCGACAAAUAUUCCAACGAGAUUUCUUAGCAGCUUAGCAACGUGAGAUUUUGCGAUUCUAAGGGAGUACGGUGCAACCUUUUCCAAGAAUAUCAUAUGGAUUUUUCCCUACUCCGGGUAUGUUAAGGCUAAACCCUUCCUUCAUUUUGGCAUGAUCUCAUAAUUACAUGAGUUUGAUAACGAGGCAUAAAGAGAAAUUCAUAUUGCUGAAUUUAUUUACAUUUCCUAGUCUUAUAAGUUACAAUAUUCUCCCUUAUCGGGAUAUCAUAUUCGAUUGAGUAUUGUUUUCUUCCAGUCAAGAGAGCAGAGAAUCUAUAUAUACAGUAUUUUCACCACCAUCGAGCUAUAAUCGGUUGGCAAACCCCUAUUGGGCAACCUCUGAUCAGAUAGUAAGUUAUAUACCGAGCCUACUGUGGUCGAGCGCCUAUGAGCGAGCCCAGUUGGCCGAGAUAUAAAGCCUAGUAUGGUCGAACGCCUAUGAGCGAGCCUUCUACGGCAGAGCAUAUAUAUAUAUAUAUACUGAGCCUUAUAGGGCCGGACAACUAUUUUACUUACUGUAUUGAGAGAGUUGAUUUAGUAUCAGCAGGAAAACAUAUCUUUAAAUUAUCUUUGACUCCCAGUUACUUCAGUUAUUAUAUUAUCAGUUCAGUUUCAGCUUUCAGUUAUUUUAUUGCCUUGCAUAUUCAGGUACAUUAUUUCGUACUGAUGUCCCUUUUUGGGGGGACGCUACAUUUCAUGCGUGCAGGUUCAGACAGACAUAUGGGUAGACCUCCUCAGUAGGUGUUGCCCGAGUUCAGCUUUAUCCGUAAGCUCCACGUCCUUCGGAGUUGCCGGGUCUAGAAGUUUUGUGUAUAUACGUAUAUAGGUUAUGGGUAGGUCAGGGCCCUGUUCCGAUCACAGUACAACCAUUAGUAGAAGCUUGUAGACAUAUCCUAUCAGUUAGUGCAGUAUGUUGGGCUUGUAGGCCUUUUAUGUAUAUUUUGUUGGUUUGCCAGCUGUAGUAGUUAUGACGGCCUUGUCGGCCUAUCUUUAUAUUGAUGUUUAGUCUGCAUUCGCAACUGUCUUGCAAUGUGGCCCAUGGCCAAAGUAUGACAUUAUAUGUUCGGAGUCCCUUAGUCGCAAGUUAGUACGCAAGGAUAGGUGAGGUAUCGGGUGCCGGUCUCGCCCCCCAAGAUCGGGGCGUGACAUGCCCGUGCCCCAGUUGCAGCCCAUCAUGGUAGAAUCUAUGUGAGUCAUCCCAUUCAUUCAACACUUCCAGCUUCCAGCAGUAUUCCGGCCACUCCCAUGUCUCAGGUUUCCUAUUAUGUACCGCCACUGUCUACUGCACCUCCUGCACGGGGUGCUUUCAGUGGUCAGUCCAGUCGAUCAGGCCCGAGCCAGUCUCAACAACCACGUCCUCCGAGAGCUUGUUUUGAGUGUGGUGACACUCUUCAUAUGGAGAGGGACUUCCGCAUACUCAAGAGGGGUGCACCUCCAUAGACUACUCAAGCUCCAAGUAUUCAACAGGGGCCCCAUACUUCUCAGGCUGUGGUUACCGCACCAGUUGCCACUCCACCUGCACAGCCAGCUAUAGGUGGAGGUCGGGCGAGUAGGGAUCGCCCUAGAGGGGGAGGCCAGGCCAGAUGUUAUGCUAUACCGACUAGGACGGAUGCAGUUGCAUCAGACUCAAUCAUCACAUGUAUUGUUCAAGUUUGUCAUAGAGAGGCAUCAGUCUUAUUUGAUCCAGGCUCCACUUAUUCCUAUGUAUCGUCUUACUUUGCUUGGUAUUUGGGUGUAUCCCGUGAUUCUUUGAGUUCUCAUGUGUAUAUGUCCACGCCUGUGGGAGAUUCCAUUAUCGUUGACCGUGCGUAUCGGCCAUGUUUAGUUAUUCUUGGUGGUUUUGAGACCAGAGCUGAUCUAUUGUUGCUCAUUAUGGUAGAUUUUGAUUAUGGACAUGGACUGGUUGUCGCCCUAUCAUGCUAUUCUUGAUUGUCACGCCAAGACGGUGAUGUUGACUAUGCUAGGUUUGCCAUGCUUGGAGUGGAGGGGUGCUUUGGAUUAUGUUCCUAGCAGGGUGGUGUCUUUCCUUAUGGCACAACAGAUGGUUGUGAAAGGGUGUGAUGCAUAUCUAGCCUUUGUGAGGGAUGUUAGUGUUAAUACUCCUACCUUUGAGUCAGUUCCGAUAGUGAGAGACUAUCUAGAUGUAUUUCUAGCGGAUCUUCCAAGCAUGCCGCCUGAUAGGGAUAUCAAUUUUGGUAUUGAUUUUUUCGGACACUCAGCCCAUUUCUAUUCUGUCAUAUCGUAUGGCCCCAGUAGAGCUGAAGGAGUUAAAGUAGCAGUUACAAGAGUUGCUUGAUAAGAGCUUCAUUCGGCCUAGUGUGUCAUAUUGGGGUGAUCUGGUAUUGUUUAUAAAGAAGAAGGAUGAUUCUAUUCGCAUGUGUAUUGAUUAUCGGCAGUCGAACAAGGUUAAAGUUAAGAACAGUAUCCACUACCACACAUUGAUGACCUAUUUGAUCAUCUACAGAGUGCUAGAGUUUUCUCAAAGAUUGGUCUGCGGUCAGGCUAUCAUCAGUUGAAGAUUCAGGAUCCGGAUAUUCUAAAGACUGCCUUCAAGACUCGAUAUGGUCAUUACGAGUUCCUUGUGAUGUAAUUUGGCUUGACCAAUGCCCCAGCAGCAUUCAUGCACUUAAUGUACAGUGUAUUCCAACCCUAUCUUGACUCAUUCAUCAUUGUGUUUACUGACGAUACCUUGGUGUACUCCCGGAGCCUGGAGGAUCAUGAGCAGCACUUGAGGAUUGUGCUUUAUACCUUGAGAGAAAAGAAAUUGUAAGCAAAAUUUUCAAAGUGUGAAUUCUGGCUUGAUUCGGUGGCUUUUGUGGGACCUCUAGUGUCGAGUGAGCGAAUCAAGGUAGAUCCGAAAAUGAUUGUAGUAGUGCAGAGUUGGAUUAGACCGUCUGCAACUACUGAGAUCCAUAGUUUUCUUGGUUUGGCAAGGUAUUACUGUCGAUUCAUGGAGGGCUUCUAAUCUAUUGUUGCACCUAUGACCAGAUUGAACCAGAAAAGUGCUCCGUUCAGGUGGACCAAGGAGUGUGAGGAGAGCAUUCAAAAUCUCAAUAUUGAUUGACUACAACCCCAGUGUUAGUGUUGCCUACAAGUUCGUGAUCUUACACUGUGUAUAGUGAUGCGUCGCGUUUUGGCCUUGGCAAAGUGUUGAUGCAACACGAUAGGGUGAUUGCCUACGUGUCUAGACAAUUGAAAGUACAUGAGAAGAAUUAUCAUGUCCAUGACCUUGAGUUAGUAGCUAUUGUACCUGCCUUGGAGAUUUGGCGGCACUAUUUGUACAGUGUUCCUUGUGAGAUCUAUACUGACCACCGAAAUCUACAGCAUUUGUUCAAACAGAAGGAUCUUAACUUGCAUCAGUGGAAAUGGUUAGAGCUGCUUAAAGACUAUGAUAUCACCAUUCUAUAUUAUCCCUAGAAGGUCGAUGUGGUGGUCGAUGCCUUGAAUUGUAAGGCGGAGAGCUUGGGCAGUUUAGCAUAUCUAUCAGCAGCGGAGAGGCCAUUAGCAUUGGAUGUUCAGGCCUUGGCCGAACAGUUUGUUAGAUUAGAUGUUUCAGAGCCGAGUUGCAUUUUGGCUUGUGUGGUUUCUCGAUCUUCUCUAUAUGAUCGUAACAGAGUGUCCGUAAGACGAUCCCCAUUUUCUUGUCCUCAGGGACACGAUUCGGCACGGUGAUGCCAAGAAGGUCACUAUUGGGGAUGACGAUGUGUUACAGAUGUACGGUCGGCUAUGUGUACCCAAUGUAUAUGGUUUGCGUGAAUUGAUUCUUCAGGAGGCCCACAGUUCGCGGUACUCCAUUUAUUUGAGUACCGCUAAGAUGUAUCAGGACUUGAGGCAGCAUUAUUGAUGGAGGAGGAUGAAGAAAGACAUGGUGGAGUAUGUAGCUCAGUGCCUAAAUUAUCAACAGGUGGAGUAUGAGCACCAGUGGCCAGGUGGAUUGCUUUAAAGGCUAAAGAUUUCCAAGUGGAAAUAGGAGUAAGUUACCAUGGAUUUCAUUGUUGGGCUCCCACAAACUCAGAGGAAGUUUGAUACAAUAUGGGUGAUUGUGGAUAGAUUGACCAAGUCUGAUCAUUUCAUUCUAGUGGUGAUUACUUAUUCUUAAAAGCAGUUAGGUCAGGUCUAUAUUCGCGAGAUUGUUCGACUUCAUGGCGUACAAGUAUCCAUCAUCUCUGACCAGGGUACGCGGUUAACAUCGCGAUUCUGGAGGGCCGUACAACGUGAGUUAGGCACACGGGUUGAGUUGAGUAUAGCAUUCCACCCUCAGACGGAUGGACACUCCGAGUGCACUAUUCAGAUAUUGGAGGGUCGUGCAUGUGUUAUGGAGCUCGGGGGUUCUUGGGAUCAAUUCUUGGUGCUUGUGGAGUUUUCCUACAACAGCAGCUACUAAUCGAGCACUCAGAUGGCUCCGUAUGACGCCUUGUAUGGGAGGCGGUGUCGGUCUCCGGUAGGGGUGGGCAUAAAAUCUGAAAAUCCGAAAACCGUACCGCACCGAAUUAAUUCGGUAUUUUGAUAUCGGUUCUUCAGUUCUUCGGUCUUAAUUCGGUAUAAUUUGUUCGGGAGUUCGCUACUUCGGUACGGUUUCGAUAUUGAACUUUCGAUACUUCGGUAUACCAAAAUACCGAAUUUUUUAACUAAACCUCCCUUCACUAUCCAACCCAUACUUAUCAAUUCCCAACCCAAAGUUUCAACUUGUUAGUUAGUACCCCUCACCAGUAGCCAAAUAAGACUAAGCCCAUCUUAGUCCCUUACCCUUACUCCCUUUUCCUUUGUCUCUUAUUUUGGUCUGAGAGCUUUAGCAGUAAAGUGGAAUCUAAUUGCUUUCUGACCGAAUUUCAUUUAAUUUGAUCAGCCGCGGGUAUUUCACCCCCAAUGUUAAAAGCUGCUUCAGGUGUAUUAUAAAACUCCACUUUAUACAUCAAGCAACUUUUGUUCUCUCUUACAUUGACAAAAUAGUUCAUGACAAAUAGUACUUGACAAGUUAUUUAACCUAAGCAAAAAAGAUAAGCACUCCCAUAAAAGUAGUUGGAAUGAUUAAUUAGGACAACAUGACUAGCCUAUUCAAUUUUCAAGCAAAACUAUUCGAGAUGGAUUCUACGCCAACUUCUGUCCAUACCGUAAUGUUUCUUCGGAAUUGCAAAAAUCUUAGAAGUCCAAGGUCACUCAGCCGAAUUGUUUUUUGUUUGUUGCCAUAAGCCAUAACUAGGAGUCACAGUAGAUUAUAUAACAAAACGGUUUGUUGUAUGUUAGUGUUACUUCUUGAAUUUGUUUCUUUCUGUUGCCAGAACUAUGCAACUGGACAGUAUAGACUUCAUUAUAUUAGAAUUUCUCAUAUAUUUAUGUAAUUUCUAAUUAAUUAGAAUUCACUACUUACUCGUUCAAGACUUGGUGUGAUACCGAAACCGUACCGAAACAAACAAGAAAAUACUGAACCGUACCGAAUUACUUUGGUACGGUAUUUGGUAUGCACAAUUGAUAAACUAAAUACCGAAAUACCGUACCACAAUUCUUAAAUACCGUACCGAACUACCGAACGGCCACCCCUAGUCUUCGGUGGGUUGGUUUGAGUCGGGCGAGGCUAGACUAUUUGGUACUAACCUAGUUCAGGAUGCUUUGAAAAAAGAUAAAUUUAUUCAAGAUCGGCUUCGCACAGCCCAAUCUAGACAGAAGAAUUAUGUGGACCGGAAGGUUCGCGAUGUUAUGUUCAUAGUUGGGGAGUGGGCCUUGCUCCGGGUUUUACCCAUGAAGGGUGUUAUGAGGUUCGAAAAGAAAGGUAAGUUAAGCCCUAGGUAUAUCGGACCUUUUCAGAUUCUUAAGAGGAUUGGAGAGGUAGACUACAAGCUUGCACUACCACCAAGUCUAGCUGCAGUUAUCCAAUAUUCCAUGUUUCUAUGCUCCGGAAGUACCACGGUGAUCCAUCAUGUGUUAGAUUAUAGCUUAGUCCAGUUGGACAAGUAUUUGUCCUAUGUUGAGGAGCCGGUAACCAUUUUGGACAGGCAGGUCCGAAAGUUGAGGUCGAAGAACAUUGCAUCAGUGAAGGUUCACUGGAGGGGUCAACCAGUCGAGGAGGCGAAUUGAGAGACCGAGCAUGAUAUAUGUAGUCGUUAUCCUCAUCUUUUCACCACUUCAGGUAUGUCUCUAUACUCGUUCAAGGACGAACGUUUGAUUUAAGAGGGGGAGGAUGUAACGACCCAGCCAGUCGUUUUGAGUAUUUUAUCUCCAAUUCCCUAUUUAUUGCCUCAUCUAUGUUUUAUUAUGGUUAUGUAAUUUGCCGGGGUGUUUGGUUUUGAUUUCGGGUGAGUUUCAGAGUGUAAUGGGACACAUAGUCAUAAGUUGGAGGCUUAAGUUGAAAUAGUUGACCGUAGUUUAACUUUUAUGUAGAUGACUCCAGAUUGAAUUUUUCAAGGUUCCAAUAGCUCCAUACGGUGAUUUUGGACUUAGGAGCAUGUCUGGAUGUUGAUUUGGAGGUUCGUAGGUCGUUUCAGAUUGAUUUAGCGAAAGUUAGAAAGUUAAAGGUUUAGAAGGUUGGAAAGUUUGAUGGGGAGUUAACAUUAUUGAUAUCGGGGUCCGAUUAUGGUUUCGAAAGUUGGAAUAGGUCCAUCAUAUCAUUUAUGACUUGUGUGUAAAAUUUGAAGUCAAUCGGAGUUGUUUUGGUAUGAAUUGGCAGUAGUUUUUAAAAUCAGAAAUUCAUAGUUUUAAUAGGCUUGAAUUGGGUUGCGAUUCGUGAAAUCAAUGUUGUUUGAUGUGAUUUUGGCCUCGAGUAGGUCUGUUAUGUAUUUUGGAACUUUUUGGUAUAUUCAGACGGGGUCACGUGGGCCCCGGGUGUGAUUCGGAUUGAAUCCGGAACCAAAUUGGACUUAGACUUUUUGCUGAAGUUCCAGCCCUUCUGGUAUCAUUGCACCUGCGGAGGGAUUAGCCGCAGGUGCGGACUCGCGGAUGCGAGUGGUGAAGCGCAUAAGAGAAGAGGGGCAGCCCAGGUCUGGGCUCGUAGGUUCGAACACCUAGGCGCAGGUGCGCCUCCGCAGGAGCGAACCUUGCUUUCGCAGAAGAGGAAUUUGGGGGAAGGCCUUGGGCAGGACCGCAGGUGCGGUCGUUUUCUCCGCAGAAGCGGGCUCGCAGUGCGAGUAAGUGGUCCGCAGCAGCGGAAUCUCAGGACAUAAGUCGGAACCGCACCUGCGAUGGUUUUUUCGUAGGUGCGGCGUCACAGGUGCGACUGAGUGACCGCAGAUGCGGAAUCACUAUGCAGAAAAGGGCUAAGUUCGAGGGUUUGAUUUCAUUAGUCAAAGUUUGGACCUAGAGAACUCAUUUUGUGGCGAUUGUUUGAGUGAUUUUCAUGAAAUUCAUAGUGGUAAGAGAUUAUAACUCGGUUUUGGUUAUAUUACACGAAUCCAUUGUUACUUUCAUCAUUUAUUUAGUGAUUUGAGUUAGAAAUUUGGGAAACAUUUGUGAUAACUUCUUAGGCUAAAUUUUGGGCAAUUGAAAGGCGAUUUGAGGUCGGAUUUGAGUAAUUCUUAUAUGAUUAGACUCGUUAUCGAAUAUAUAUUCGGAUUUUAUAAUUUUGGUCGGGUAUCGAGACGGGGGCCCGGUUGAAUUUUUGAGUUGACUAUUUAUUUUUUUUUAAUGAUCGUAACUUUAUUGUUCGGAAUAGUUUUCUAUAGUUUAUAUUUAUGGAAUGAAGUUGCUUUGGCUAGAUUCGAGCCGUUCGUAGUUGGAUAAUCGAGGGAAAGGCUUACUUUGUAUAGGGGAAUUACCCCUUAGGACUGGUGUUGGUUUGCGUUAACUGUGAUAUCUGAAAGCCGUGUGCACAAGGUGACAAGUGUGUACACGAGUUAAAUGUGAAAAUUUACCGGUUUUAGCUAUGUAUAUUACUUUCAUGCCAUAAUUGAGUUACCUUAACAUGUUAUAAUCAUCAUCGUUAUUCUAUCUUCACAUGCUCUACUUGUCUUAUCCCUUACUUUUUAAUUGCCUCUACAUGUUUAGUUGAAGUAUUGCUUCCUCUAUUCCUUAAUCAUUAUUUAACCAUUGAGUUCUUUACUUGAAGUUUUUAUUUUUAGAAUAUCUUGUUGUUGAAAUUGUUAUUGAGUUAUAAUGGCCAUGAUUUACAUUGAGGCAAAGUUAUAAAGUUGUGAAAUACUAUCCUUUUUGAGUUAUUCACUUCCGGUUGUUAUUGCGAGACUCUUGUGCAUAUUGUGGUUGAGCCAUGGGCUAUUUAUUAUGAAAAUACUAGUGUUGUGGGUUUUCUUGGCAAGUUGUGAUAUAGGGCACUUAAGGUGCAAUUUGUGAUAUGUUGUGAUAUUGAUAAACAUGUUGUGGUAUAAGGUUUUUGGGUUGAAACGCAUGCAGUGAGAUAAGGUGGGCUUGAUACGCGUGUUGCUAGUAGGAGAACUGCUUGAAGCCACGCGGUAUGAUAAGGUGAGCUAAAACGCGGGAAGCUAUUUCGAAAAAAUUAAUUUUCAAAACUAAAUGCAAGACUCCCACGGUGAUAUAAAGAAAGAUUAUGAAUUGUGUUGUGAUUUGAUACUACGAGGCGGUACCUCAGUAGUGACUCUUGUGAAUACUUUUCGAUUACUUCACUUGUGUUUUGGUUGUUCUUUGUUUCCGUGGCAUAACAUUCCUUGUUUUCUUCCAUGAUACAUUGUUUGCCUUAGUUCAGUGUAGCCAAUAUUGGUGUAUUACUUGUUUCAUUUCCAUUGUUAUUAUUACGUUGUUAAUUACUCGUUCAGUUUCUUAUUUAUUUGAGUAGGGCCUUGACCUGACCUCGUCACUACUCUACCGAUGUUAGGCUUGGCACUUAUUGGGUACCGUUGUGGUGUACUCAUGCUACGCUUCUGCACAUCUUUUUGUUCAGAUCCAGGUACCUCUUAUCAGUUUAGACAAUAGUGAGACGAGCUUAGCUUCGGUGAUUUCAAGGUAUACAUGUCGGCGUAAGCAUGCCUCGGAGUCACCCUCUAUCUAGUUUAUUUUAUUUUUCUUUUCCUUUUUAUAGACAUUGAUAUAUAGGGAUGUUCAGUACUAUCUUAUAGAGCUUGUGACUUAUUUUCGUCGGAUUUUAGAAAGGGUAUUCUAUUGAGCUACGAAGUUUUCUUUUAUGUUAAUUGUUGAGUAUUUGAAAGUUUCUUCAUUAUUUUAGUCAAAUUCCGAAUGUAUGUUAUGCUUACCUAGUCUUAGAGAUUAGGUGCCAUCACGACAUCCAACGGAGGAAAAUUGGGGUCGUGACAGACCUCCUCAAAUUUUAUGAGCAUACAAUACCCAAAAUAUCGACGACUCUCGGAGUGCUCCAAAUCACCCAACACAAUAUGUUUAUCCCCAUCUUCUUUCAAGAGUUUAUGGAAGUAUGUCUGCCUUCUUCGUCUAAUUUGUUCUCUUCAAUCAAAACUCUGAUUCCUCAUCUUUGAUGCACUUCACUUGAUCCAAAUCAUGAGCCUUAUUUUCUCUCACCUUGUACAGCAUGUACAUCUUUUUGUCCUCACCUUUGACCCCAAGUGCUUCAUACAAACGUCAAAACGCUCCAAUCUUAGCCGCAAUAACUGCUAACUUCGCCUCCUUCUUAGCCCUGCUAUACCACUCCAUGUUCAUCCUCUUCUCCACCUCGUCUAUGCUCUCCACUAGCUUCAAAAGCACCGCUUUCUUAGCUUUUGCUUUUCUGGGAACCUCUUCACUCCACCACCAAUUCCCUUUAUGCCCUCUAGUGUAACUCUUUGAGACUCCUAACACCACUCUCGCAGCUUCUUUAAUACUACUCGCGUCCCCACUGCUCUUCCCGGUCCUCAUAGCCAGCAAUUUCUCUCCCAACUCCUGAGCUUUGUCUUUAGUCAAGGUCCCCGCCUGAUAAUAUUUUUAGUCAUUAACCUAAGCGAUCCCAAUUUAAAAUGCUUAAUAAACCAAUGUCAUUGCAGUUUAUGUUGACAAAAUUUUCAAAUUCAAGAGUAGCAAUUUUUAUGAAUAAUACUUGGAGCGAGACAGCGUAUACCUUAGUUUGAUAGUAUUAGUUACUGGUACCGAUGUUAGUACUUUACUUUCACACUUGAUUAUUGUUUAUGCAGAUCAAGUUACACGACAAAGCAAAAGGUCAACUAAUUGUGUCUAUUGAAAAAAGAGAAGAAGAAACGGGGUCCAAGCUCCAUGAUUCAACUCAUGUAGUGGUGGAAUUUAAAGGUCGAAAGUAUGUGGGGUCCUUUCCUUUUUCUCUAUACCAAAAAAUGUACUAACUAUUUCAUUUUCGUUAUAUCCAUCGUUGUUUAUAUUGCAAUAAUAAAUACAUGAUACCGUCUUUUAUAUAUUCACUAAUAUUAUUUAACUAUAAAAAAUAAUAAUUUGAUGCAUGAGAUAUUUCGCAUUCAUGUAGGGUCCGAAAGAGAACCGCACCUUAAGGGGUGUGAUAGUUUAUCAUGUGUUCAAUUAUAAUAAAUUAUAUAUAAUUUAUCACUUAAUUAACCAUAAUAAAUCGAUUUAAUUUUAUGUAUUCAUGAAAUGUGAUAAGUUUUUAUCCCUUUAUAUUGCAUUUUUGGAGAAAAGGUGCUGCUAUUAUGAAGAGUACAGCUUAUAUUAUAUGUAUCCACAACAUCAAAAAAAAUUCUUUUAAACUAUCAGAACAUUCUACAUAUAUGUAACUUUAUAAAUUUGAAAAUGAGAUAAAUUAACUACUAUAACAUGAAAAACAAUUGCUAGGAGGAACUUUCCCCAAACCAAAAAACAAAACAAUCCUUAUUUGAAUUCUCAUUUCAUACGUAAAAUAAUUCUGACCAUGGUGAGAUUUGAGCACACCGUAAUUGAAAGUGGUAUUGCUUUUUCUUUGUGAGUGAGACUGACAAGUGAAAGUUUACCAGACAAAAUAAAGGAGAGGCCAAUGGUCAUGCCAGAAUAUCUUAGUAAGGAAGGAGAUGGAGAGUCCAAUUAUAAUAAGGGUCCUCCCCAUGGAUGGAAGUUUCCCUCGUAGAAUCCUUUUAACUUUUUUAUUUUCCCCAUGUGGAGUCAUUAACUAAUAAACCCAUGUUUUUUCAAAUAUAAAUUUUCUCAAAUAUUACAACAACAAUAAUUACUACACUUUAUUAAUUUUAAAGUUUCGACUGCCGAUUACAUAAGUUCUCACUAUCAGUAAAUUUUAUACUUGGCAGAAUUCUUCUUUUUGUAAAUUGUCAAGUUUUACGUUGUUUGUUAGCUUUGAAAACUCAAUUCCGAUGUCGUUUAUUCAAAAAUCAAACUUUGAUCAAUUCUAGCAACUUAAACUUUUAAAAAUGGAACUAAGUAUUCAAAUUCACUCCCAAAACUUUUCGAAAUCAAACCAACCAUCCUCGCAAAUUACAAAACCAACAUAUGGAAAGCAUCAAAUAGGAUAGCGGGGCUCAAAUACACAAAAUAACUGAUCAAAUCAUUACAUUCUGCGUCAUUGUUUACCCUAAAAUUUGGAUAACAAUUAAACAUAUAUUGUGAUUUUAAGAAUAUGUGAUUUCGUCCAAUACCAAUUGAUAAACGAAAAAAUAAAUAGAUGUAUUAGGCUGUAAAAUAAAUCAAACUAGUGUGUAAGCGAAGCCUCGACCUCGAAUCAAAGUAACCUCGAGGUGAUAUGGUAAGAACAAUAAAGAAUAAAGCAACUCUGAUGAACAGUAAGUAGAGCAAUAAGCAAGAAAGAAAUGAUUGUAUAUAUUUUUCUCACUGAGCCAUGAUGAUUACAAAUGAAUGGAAUUCCUCUUUAUAUAGUAGAGGAAUCCUAAUUAAAAUAUAUUUCUAAUUAUAGUAGGAAAUCAUGUCAACGGCUGAUUAACCGUUAUAGACUUGAUUCGAUCCGAGAUUUACGCCACGAUCCUCGAUCAAUCGCGGAUAUCUCGCCCUUUCCGUUAUAAAGCUAUGCCGAUAUUACUCAAAGUCUGUCUCUCUCUGGCCUCGAUUGAUGUCGACCUCAAUCUGAAAAGAGGCUUUGAUUUCGGACUCGACGUCCUAGCUCUUAGAUGUAACAUUCUUAUCCCGACUAAAUAGUGAAAUCGGGUACCCGAUUUCUACCGUAUACAGAUAGUCCCCUCGUUUCUUAGAAUAAAAUGAUAAGAAACGACUUGAGCCUCGAUUUUCUUAUGACCUCGAUAAACAGUGAUGUCAUCCCCAAGACGUAAGCGAUGGAAGUGACCAAAACGUCCCGUCGGUAUAGAUUCCCAAACCAUUAAUGCGCGUCAGUGGGCGGUCGGCCACUAGCGUCGUCGAACCGUCACCGUAGUUCUAUAAAUAUGGACUCUUUUGUUGAAACAAAACUUUUACUUCCAUUCUCAUCAAUCCUUCUAAGUUUCAGACUCUCUCCAUCUCUUCUCUUUCAUCACUCGUUGAGUUAGCCUUGUUAGUUUUAAAACACCAAACUUCAACACUUUCUGCUUUCUUCUGCUUGAAUCAAUGGCAAAAACUUCCAAAACCGUUCCACAAAGGAGAAAGCUUCCUCUUCUUCUUCCCGGCCGGCCAGUGAUAAAGCGCCGAUGGAACCGCUCCCUCAUGAGUAUGUUCCCGGCCCAUAUGUCUUAAAAUCCAACUUCAAAGUAGAGAACCUUUCUGUAACACCCCGAAAAAUUUUGAAGUACUUAAGUGCAAAGCCCGAUAAAAUUUGCAAAGAAAAUAAUGUUUCAUGGUGCCGGACUAGGCUUACGUGUUUGAGGAUUUUAGAAAUUUUUCGCGGCAAGGGCUCGGACUUUUUGGGUUGAACAACGCACCGAAAAGUAAAAAAAAAAUUUUGACGAAAAAGUGCAUUUCUGCGGUCCAUUAUGCGACCGCAGAAUCACUCUGCGGACCGCAUAAUAGACGCAGAGUGAGGCAGUUGAUUGGGUCAGUUGGAAGCAACUAUGCGGUCGACUAUGCGACCGCAUAACUGUUAUGCGGUGCAUUAUGCGACCUCAUAAUAGUUAUGCAGACCGUAUAGUGACCGCAUACACAGGAAGUUCUUUUGGCUAUUUUGUAACCAAAUAUGCAACCGAUAUGCGGUCCGUAUAUCGGUUAUGCGAUCACAUACCUUGUUCUGGAGCUCCAUUUUUGGGUUUUUAAAACCCGACCCUAUUUCGUUAAAUACACUCUUUGGGCCAUUUUUGAGACAUAAUCUGAUAUUUUAGAGUGAGAGAGAGUGCCCUAGAGUGAGAAGGUGUUGUUCAAUAAAUUUUCUUCAAUUCUUGCUCACGUUUUGGAAGAUUAAGAAGGGAAGCUCACUAAGUCUUCAUCCUAGAGGUAUGAUUCUACACCCUAAACCCUUAUUUCGAAAUUUUCUGAAAAUGGGUAACUAGCAAGAUAAAUUUCUGGGCAUGAGAGUUGUUUAUUCUACAUGCAUGUAUUAAAGGGUGUAGGAAGAUUGUUGAGCUAAAAAUGGUACAGAUUGGGUUGUGGGAUGAUGAAAUCCUUCAUAAAAAUGACAUUGAAACCUUAUGCACACCUAGUGUUUGAUAAAAUGCUCAAGCGAGCUAGAACCAUGAUCAUCUUCCUAAUUUUAGUUCAAUUUGUUAUAUUUCUAUAAUAGAUUGAAGUUGCUAAGAAUUCCGAAAUAUUUAGAGUGUAAGAAAGCUCAAGUGAGGUAUGUUGGCUAAACUCUUCUCUUAGAAUUGAAUCCCGCGAUAUUCAUGUAAAUUAUGUAGGUCCCAAGUGAUUUAUUAUGAAAUUGGCUAUUCCGAGUAAGAUUGGGUUGGAAGAUAUAUGUUCAACAAGCAUCCCAAAUGCUCUAUUCAUGUUAUGUUACCAAUUGAAGAUGUGUCAAAAUAUAGGUUGUGCAUUAAUAAUGUUUCGACUUUAAGUCAAGUUCAAAUGAAGGCUAUUANNNNNNNNNNNNNNNNNNNNNNNGAAAUUGAUAAUGUGAGCAUGAAAUACUGAAUAUGGCCAACGUGCCAAGAAUAAUCUUAUAAUUAUGGCCACUAGUGCCAAUGAAAUGAUAAGAUGUGAAAGUAUUAUGAAAUGCGAUGAUUGAUACAAAAGGGUUGAUGUCUCAAAUAAGACGGCUUAGCCGGUCGGGUCGUGAUCGGACACCAUGCCGCGCACACAUGGUGGUGAUUGUGCUGGAAAUUGUAAUUGAAAUGGUAAUUGAAAUUGUAAUUGAAAUCGUAAUCUUACUCCGUGUUAAAGACGGUGGUAUUAAUAUUGAGAGAAAUUAUGGUUGAUGUCUCUAAUGAGAUGGCCUAGCCGAUCGGGUCGUGAUCGGACUCCGUGCUAAGAGUACGGUGGUACCAGUAUUGUGAAUAAUGGUAUUGUGGACAAUGGUAUAUAGAUACUAAACAUUUCCCAAUGUGAGAUAUGAAAAUUAAUUUGAACACUGUCUUGAUCCUAAAUUGAGGUUUGAUGUUGAUUAAGGCUUUCAUUGAUAUUAUGAUAAUCUUAUUUGUAUUAUUUGUCAUUCUAUUGAGAGAGUGUUUAGUUAUACAUACUAGUUCUAUUCGACAGUACUAACGUCCCUUUUGUCGGGGAAGCUGCAUCUUUCAAUGGAUGCAGGUGGUUCCACAGCAGAAGAUAUUGGUCAGUGAUAGUAGUGCACCUUCUUCCCAGCUGACUUGGUGAGCCCCACUUCAUUCCGAGGUCAUGAAUCUUUUGUACUUUGUGUAUUCUAUUUGAGGUAUAGCCGGGGCCUUGUUGCCGGCAUUAUCAUUGUACUCUUCUUUAUCUAUAGAGGCUCCGUAGACAUAAUGUGGGUUGUGUAUUGGUGCUGGAGAAAGACAAACUAUGUUAUGUUGUGGACGUAUUACUUGUCCAUUUGAGACUUUAAAAUUGAUGAAACUAUUGGAAAUGAAUUGGUAUUGUAGACAUGAACACAUUUUUGCCUAAUUAAUGAUAAUAUGUAUUAUCUCCAUUCAUGGAUAAGUUUGGGUAAAAUAAAAUCUAACAGGCUUGCUCGGUCGGGUUCACUCGGUUGAGCGCCGGUCGCGCUCCUCGAUUUUGGGGCGUGACACUUUCAUUGGUCCCUGGCCGAUGUGAGCACGUGUCGAGAUAUAUCUGCUCGAUAACAGCGGGAUAUCUCGAGGAUGUGAAGAGGGAUUGUAAUUAGGGGGCCGAAGUUGUGGUACAUAUCCCCGCUCCUGAAGAGAGUAUUACCACCCACGUAGAGGGGUUUCUAAGUGUUUACACUUACCCCUUCACAUUGGGUCCCCUCGACCCAGUUAUCAUAAACUUCUGCAAGAGGUACCAGGUCACCCUCGGCCAAGUUCACCCCUCUUUCUGGCGUAUCGUGAUCAUGCUCCUAUUCUUUUCCAGCAAGGUCGGGGGGCUGCCGUUCACUCUCAGCCAUCUUAUGCGAUUAUAUCGACCCCGACUCUUACGAGGGUUGAUCAAGCUCCAGCGCCGAGCAACCAAGGCUUUAUUCUCGAGCGUCGAUGAGGACAAGGACCGGGGUUGGAUGAGCUGAUUUGUUCAAGUGAGAACCUGCGACCUCAUCCCAAAGGAAAAAUUGCCGUCCCCCGAGAGGUGCAACCCCGAGCGUAAGUAACAUCUUACUCAUUAGUCUUCAUAUUCCCAUUUUUUGACUUAUAUAAUGUCUUUAUUUGUCAUGGAACGGUUGCCUGGAUGCCUCGAGCGGUUCCUGACCUCGAGGAAUGGGUUCGGAAGUUGGCCUCGACUUCCUCCUAUGCCGAGCGCUGCUGGUGUGAAGGCAAAGGGCAAAUGGGAGGCAAAGAAUCAUGGUGAGCGUUUUUUUCUUAUUUCUGAGGUGCUAAUCAUAUUUCAUUUUUUGACUAAGUUUCCUUUUGUGUAGGCCUGAACAAGGAUGCGAUUUUAAGGCCUCCGAGCGGCGAGGAAAAGGCCAAGUCCCCGGUUUUGAAAUCGGGGAAAGGCAAGAAGAGGAAGGGGGUCUCAUUGUCCGAGGACCCCAAACCCAAAGCUCGAAGGACCAGACGGAAGGUCAUUUCUCUCACCAUGGACUCGGUCCGAAGUUUGAGAGAAGAAGAAGAAGAAGAAGAAGAAGAAGAAGAAGAAGAAGUUGACGCCUCGACGUUGGUGGCUCGACCCAAGAAGACUGUCGAGGCCGCCAAACCUUCAAAACCGGAGGUGGUUGCUGAGAUCAAGACUCAUGAUGAGGAGGCUUCCAAGAAAAGUUCGGGUGUUGACCCCGAAUCGCCUGAGGUCGAGAUUUUCCCUCGACCAUCCACAAACAUACCAGAGGGGGCAGUUCUGAGACCCCGAGAGCCGAUCAGAGCGCCCCGAGUGACUCGCUCGGGGCAGUGAUAGCAGGUCAUUCACCUUCUCUGCCGGCUUACUCCGAGGAAGCGAUAAGAGAGGCUCGGGCCAUGAGGACCCCCGACAUAGGCAGAGUCCCUAGUGAAGAGGAUCCCUUUCGGGAUUGCUUUACCGGGUUCGAUGACACCUCUGAACUUAACGAUGCGUCCACCCUUUUUGAAGAGGCCAACCGUCUUCUAUCUCGAGUAAGUAUUAAUUGUUAUAGUUCUCUUUUUCUUUUCCAUCUUUUAGUGUAACUUAAUUUCUUCCCAUAUAGGCUUUUUCCAAGUCUCGGGCCGAUCUGGCUGUGAGGCCAAGCUCCAGAAGACUUCAGAGGAGAGAAAUACUCCCAAGCUCCUUUGUGGACAAAAGGAUGAAGAGCUCAGGGACAUUCGAGCAGAUUUGGCCAAGGCUCAUAAUGAGGAGGCCGAGCUGAACGAGAAGGUAACUGUCAUUUUGAUCAAAUACGGACUUGAUCCAAGGGUGAAGACUAACAUUUCGAUGUCUCGGUUGCAGCAAAAAAUUGAGAAGAUCGAGCUGUUACAGGGGGAAGUCGAUCAAGUUACACCGGUGGAAAGAAGGCAUGGACUACCUUGCUACGGAGAAAGAGGCUGCUUUGGCCCAACUAUCAUCGGCCGAAGUUCAACUUAGGAGUGUUAAGGAGAAGAAUUCGGCUCAGACCAAAAGGAUCGAUGAGCUCAAGGGUGAACUUGCUAAGGUCCCAACAAAGGCCAAGAAGGCGAAGACUACGGCCGACAAAUCGGUGGCCAUGUAUCUGGAUGAUGCCUAGGCUGCCGAAGCACAGCUAAGGGAGGCCCUUGAUCGAGUUCAGUGGACUACCGACCUUGCCAAGCACCAAUCUCGAAGGGAGACCCUCGAGUAAAUCCAUGCUCGAGGUUUUGACCUCUCUGAGGACUUAGCACAGGCAAAGGUGCAUGAAGCUGAUGCCAGGUUGCUUGCCUCCUCCGUUGAUGACGAUGAUGAUGAAGGCAGCCAAGGCCGGUCCGAUAAUGGCGAGGGGACCGAAGAAGAGGCUGCCCACGAGGAAGAAGUCAACCCCGGUUAUAGUUAGGACUUUUGUACAUAGUUUUCCUUUUUUCUUCUUUCUUCUGUGUAAGACCUUUGUCGGUCUUCGUACAUAUUUUUGUUCAAGUAUAUAAAGAUUUUCCCUUUGAAUUCCUUCUCAAAUUCUAUCUUCAAUCUUGCUUUGUGCCUUGUAAAAUUUUGGCACAUUUUGUGUUUUUUGCAUAAUAUGUUCGAGACUUCGAUUUUGAUCAAAGUCACAAUAGUAUUGUUUUUAUAGUCGAGUUCGUGUAAGACUCGAACUCGAAGCAAUAGAACCCUUAGGUUUGUAUUGAGUAAUAAUGGAUCCUUGAUCUGUAGUCAAGUAAGUUUUUAUUCGAACUCGAGAUAGUGGAACCCAUAGGUUCGUAUCGAGUAAUAAUGUAUUCUCGAACUCUAAGUGCAUUGGCCCUUAGGCUCUUUGUAUCGGGACGAUAUGACCUUUUCCUUUUUUCGGCUUAAAGACUUUUGUAAAAUUUUGUUAUGCCUUAGCAUGUAUUUUUUACCCAUUGGGUUUUUUGAGGGUUUGAAAUUGAUUGAAACCCCUUUACCUUUUGUGCCUUGGCACAAAUUUUUAUUUGAAUAAUUUGAUACCUCUUAAGGUUUUUCGAGGGCUGAUAUUAUCAAAGCCCUUUGAUUAUUUCGUCGAGGGUAGCCUUUUUUAACCGGUUUUCAAAAAAUUAGAAGGCCUAUUUUUAUUGCGGGAUUCGGACGUCUCCGAGCCGCGUUAAUUUGGCUGUAGCCUUUGGGUAUGUCUCUUGGGAUUAUUUUCCAAUAACACUUCAAACUUGUUCGAAGUGUUAGUCCCCGAGAAUGAUGGCAUUGGCCUAUAAAUCGAGGAAUGCCUCUUUGAGGUCUUAUGGUUUCGCAUUUAGAUAAUUCAAACAUGUUGAUUUUCAAUGACAGUCCCCAAGUAGGGGGUCGAUCGUUCGAGGUGUAAUUGCACUUCGGCCCUUGAGCCAUUUUUCAUAGAAAAUCAUAAGUAUGGAGCUCGUAAAGUAGAAUUUUUUUUUUGAAGCACCAGAUAUUUGAUAAGGAAAAGUACUUCUUUGAAUAGUUCAUACAUGCGUACAUGUUUUGCCAUUCGACCGUUUGGCCCAUUACAAAGUUUUCCUAUCGAGGCAAUUUUGACAUGAAGUAUUUUUCCUUGAAAAUAAAUUAUCCGAGGGUGAUGCCCCCCAGUAUUCGAGGUUGAAUGUAAGGAGACCUAAGAUACUCUAAGUCAGCACGAACAAUGGUUGUCUCAUUAAAAACCUUGCCGGAAAAACCCAUUUGGGAUAAAAACAGGUCGAAGGAAAAAAGAGUGCAACGCAUGCUUUAGGGUCCUAAUAUCUUCCUGCUUGAUGAUAACUCCGAUAUUUUUGCCCGAACACCUGAAAAUAAGUUAGCAUAAAAUGUAAAUAAAAAAGGAGAAAGUUAUACCUUAAUAGUAAUAUCGCUUGAGGAGUGAGAUGUUCCAAUUGUUUGGCAGUUGCUCGCCAUUUAUUGUGCCUAGCUUGUAAGAUCCCUUUCCGACGAUAUGGAGGACUUGAUAAGGUCCUUCCCAAUUAGGGCUGAGUUUUCCUUCAUUAGGGUCUCGAGUGUUGAUGGUGACUUCCCUCAGGAUCAAGUCCCCGAUUCUGAAGUGGCGAAGGUUGGUCCUUUGAUUAUAAUACCUUUCAAUGCGUUGUUUUUGAGCGGCCAUUCGAACGAGGGCAGCUUCUCAUUUUUCAUCUAAUAGUUCGAGGCUAGUAUUCAUAGCCUCGUGAUUUGAUUCUUCCGUUGUAUAUCGAAAUCUGGUGCUGGGUUCCCCCACUUCGACUUGAAUCAAGGCUUCAGAGCUAUAUACUAAGGAGAAUGGUGUUGCCCCCAUACUGGACUUCGACGUCGUUCGAUAUGCCCAAAGGACUUCGGGUAGAAUUUCUCUCCAUUUUCCCUUGGUGUCGUUCAACCUUUUCUUCAAAUUCUGAAUGAUGGUUUUGUUCAUCGAUUCGGCUUGCCCAUUUCCACUAGGAUGAUAUGGUGUCGAUAAGAUUCUCUUUAUUUUGUGAUCUUUGAGAAACUUCGUUACCUUGUUGCUGAUGAAUUUCUUUCCAUUUUCGCAUACAAUAUCGACAGGUAUCCCAAAUCAACAUAUGAUGUGAUCCCAUAUGAAGUCUAUAACUUCUUUUUCUCUGACUUUCUCGAAGGCCUGUGCUUUAACCCAUUUAGAAAAAUAGUCAGUCAUAAAUAAAAUGAAUUUAGCUUUACCUGGGGUCGAUGGUAGAGGGCCGACGAUAUCCAUCCCCCAUUUCAUAAAUGGCCAUGGGGAUAGGACCGAAUGAAGUUAUUCUCCGGGCUGGUGGAUCAUUGGUGCGUACCUUUGACACUUAUCACAUUUUCGAACAAACUCCUUAGUAUCAUUUUCCAUACUAUCCCAAUAAUAUCCUGCUCUGAUGAUUUUAUGAACUAGUGAUUCGGUACCGGAGUGGUUCCCACAAGUACCUUCAUGAACUUCUCAUAGGACAUAAUCGGUGUUCCCUAGUCCCAAACAUACUGCUAAUAGUCCGUCGAACGUUCUUCUGUACAAUGUUCUAUCUUCAGCCAAUAUGAAUCGAGCAAAUUUUGUUCGUAGAGCCCUCGAUUCUUUAGGGUCCGAUUAGAGUUUUCCGUUUUUUAAAUACUCGAUAUAUUUAUACCUCCAGUCCCAAGUUAAGCUUGUGGAGUUUAUCUCAGCGUGACCUUCCUCGAUUACAGAUUUUGAGAGUUGAACAACAGUCCCCGAGCCGAUUUCGUUGUCCUCGACUGAUGAUCCCAAAUUUGCAAGGGCACCGGCUUCACGAUUCUGCUCUCGAGGUACAUGCUGCAAAGUUCAUUCUUUAAAACGGUGUAAAGUCACCUGCAGCUUGAUCAAAUACCUUUGCAUUAUAUCCUCUCGAGCCCCGAAUGUUUUGUUUACUUGGUUUACUAUUAGCAGGGAGUCGCAUUUGGCUUCGAUGACUUUCGCUCCCAAGCUUUUAGCUAGUUCGAGACCUACAAUCAUGGCCUCGUACUCGGCCUCAUUGUUAGUCAACUUAGAAGUUUUGAUGGAUUGUCUAAUAGUAUCGCCCGUGGGCGGCUUCAAAACGAUGCCUAGCCCGGACCCCUUCACAUACCGUCCAUAAAAAGGGUCCACAUCCCCGAUGAUGUACCCGAUUUCAAUAAAAGUUCCUUUGAGGGUAGGAGUGUAGUCGGCCACGAAGUCUGCCAAAAUUUGAGACUUGAUAGCCGUUCGGGGUUGAUAUUCGAUAUCAUACCCACAAAGUUUGACGGCCCAUUUGGCCAAUCGGCCCGACAGUUCGGGCUUAUGAAAAACAUUACGAAGUGGGUAAGUGGUCAAUACAUAUAUGGGGUGACAUUGAAAAUAUGGUUUUAGCUUCCUAGAGGCGCUUAUUAAAGCAAGUGCCAACUUUUCUAAGUGUGGAUAUCUAGUUUCUGUUUCACCUAGAGUUCGACUUACGUAAUAAAUAGGAAAUUGCGUACCUUGCUCUUCUCGAACUAGGACACCACUUAUCGUAAUUUUCGAGACUGCCAAAUAUAAGUAGAGUUUUUCAUCUGCCUUUGGAGUAUGGAGCAAAGGUGGGCUCGAGAGGUAUCGUUUCAAUUCUUCUAACGCAUAUUGGCAUUCCGUAGUCCAGGCGAAAUCGUUCUUCUUUUUGAGUAUAGAAAAGAACUUGUGGCUUCGAUCCGACGAUCUCGAGAUGAAUGGGUCUAAGGCAGCUAUCCGCCCCGUCAGCCUUUGUACGGCUUUAACGCUGUCUACGACAGUGAUGUCUUUGAUAGCCUUGAUUUUAUCGGGGUUGAUCUCGAUCCCUCGAUUCAACACCAUGAAGCCAACGAAUUUGCCCUAACCGACCCCGAAAGCACAUUUCUCGGGGUUGAGUUUCAUGUUGUAUUUCCUUAAUAUCUUGAAUGUUUCCUGCAAAUGUAUCAAAUGGUCCUCUGCGCGCACGAACUUAACUAGCAUGUCAUCAAUAUAUACUUCCAUUUACUUACCUAUUUGGUCUUCGAAUAUUUUAUUUACUAGGCGUUGGUAGUCAGCUCCUGUGUUUUUUAGCCCAAAUGGCAUUACGUUAUAACAAUAUGUUCCAUACUUGAUGAUAAAUGAAGUCUUUUCUUGGUCUUCCGGGUUCAUUUGAAUUUGAUUGUACCCGGAAUAGGCGUCGAGAAAACUAAGGAUCUCGUGGCCGGCCGUGGCGUCGAUCAUGCGAUCGAUGUUAGGCAAUGGAAAAGAAUCUUUGGUGCAUGCCUUGUUCAAAUCCUUAUAAUUCACACAAAUCCUAAGUUUGUUCCCUUUUUUAGGGACUACGACUACAUUUACUAACCAUUCGGGAUAUUUUACCUCCCGAAUGGACCCUAUUUUGAAAAUUUUAGUUACCUCAUCCUUGAUGAAUGCAUGCUUUACCUCAGACUGCGGCCUUCUCUUUUGCUUCACUGGCCUGAACAUUGGGUCCAGGCUCAAUAGAUGUGUUGUUAUCUCUGGUGGGAUCCCUGUCAUGUCUAAGUGGGACCAAGCAAAAAAAAUUAUGUUAUCGAUAAGGAAUUUAAUAAGCUUUUUCCUGAGUUCGGGGGUUAACCCCAUCCCCAGGUAUACCUUUCGCUCGGGUAGGUAGUCGAUCAAUAUAAACUGUUCCAGCUCUUCGACCGUUGAUUUGGUGGUGUCGAAUUCUUCGGGAACGACAAAGGUUCGAGGGGUCAAACAAUCUUCAUCUUCUUCUCCCUCUAUUUCUUGAUUCCCUGAUUCAGUCGAGGCUGGUGGCUGUGAUUGCUAUUUGGCUUCUUGUUUCCCUUUGAUGUUCGAUCCUUUCAAUGUUGACGUCGCCGAUAUUGGUAUUACCUUAUCAACCGCGAACAUAUCCUUUGCAGCAUGUUGCUCCCCGUACAAUAUUUUUACCCCGUCCAACAUCGAGAAUUUUAUCAUUUGGUGGAGAGUUGAAGGGACUGCCCUUAUAUUGUGAAUCCAUGGCCUCCCGAGUAGGGCAUUGUACCUCAUAUCGCCCUCGAUCACGUGGAAUUUGGUAUCUUGGAUAGUUCCAGCCAUGUUCACUGGUAGGAUGAUCUCUCCUUUAGUUGUCUCGUUGGCCAUAUUUAAACCGUUCAAGACCCGAGCUGCGGGCAUGAUUUGAUCUUGUAGGCCGAGCUGCUCCACGACCCUUGAUCGGAUGAUAUUUGCCGAGCUACCUGGAUCCACUAAAACACGCUUAACUUGAACUUUAUUUAACAAGAUAGAAAUUACCAAAGCGUCGUUGUGAGGUUGAGAAAUUCCUUCUGCUUCCUCGUCGUUGAAUGAUACGGCUCCUUCUGGCACAUAAUCUCGGGUCCGUUUUUCCCUGGUAAUUGAUACCUUAGUGCGUUUGAAUAUGGGCCUUUGUGAAAUAUCGACACUGCCGACGAUCAUAUGGAUUACAUGUUGCGGCUCCUCCUGUUCAUUUUUUCUGUUGGCGUCCCUUUCUCUGAAAUGAUUCUUGGCUCGAUCACUUAGGAACUCUCGAAGGUGGCCUUCGUUGAAUAGAUGGGCUACCUCCUCCCUUAACUGUCUGCAAUCUUCGGUCCUGUGACCAUGCGUGCCAUGAUAUUUACACAUCAAAUUGGGGUUUCGUUGGGAAGGAUCAGUCUGGAUGGGUCUAGGCAAUCUAGUAUCUUUGAUUCUUCCAAUUGCCGAUACAAUGCCCGAAGCGUCGAUACUAAAAUUAUAUUUUGACAACCGAGGUGCCUCUGUAUGAUCGGUAUAUUUAUCAAAACCACUUUUGCUCAUAAGUCCCCAAGAAUUCUGUCAUCGAUCACUUCUUCGAUCAUUUCGGGCGGAAUUGCGUCACGGGCUGCUGUUUCGGCGAUCUACAAUGUACGACGGAUAUCGGUCUUUGUUCAACCGUGGCUCUCUAUCGACGUCCCUAUGAUUUUUAGUUGCUGACCUGUUUGGAUACACUGAACCGGAAGGAGUUCUUAAUUGUUCAUCUUCAACCCUGAUCUUCGAUUGGUACCGAUUGUAUACAUCGGCCCAAGUCACCGUUGGAUAUUCGAUCAAAUUUUGCUUCAGUUGACGUGACUCUACCGAACUUCGUUCAUUCAAUCCCUGAGUGAAAGCUUGAACGGCCCAAUCAUCCAUGACCUGUGGCAACUCUAUGCGUUCCAUUUGAAAUCGGGAUACUAACUCCCUCAGCAUUUCAUUAUCCUUCUAUUUUACCUUGAAAAGGUCCGAUUUCCUUGUCGCAACCUUUAUGGCCCCGGCAUGUGCCUUUAUGAAAGAAUCUGCUAACAUGGCAAAUGAGUCAAUGGAAUUUGGUGGUAGAUUGUGGUACCAAAUCAUUGCCCCCUUCGAUAAUGUCUCUCUGAACUUUUUCAUUAAAACAUAUUCGAUCUCAUCAUCUUCCAAAUUGUUACCUUUGAUGGCGCAUGUAUAGGAGGUGACAUGCUCGUUAGGAUGGGUGGUCCCAUUGUACUUAGGUAUGUCCGGCAUACGAAACUUUUUUGGAAUGGGCUUCGGAGCCGCACUUGGGGGAAACGGCUUAUGUACAAAUUUUUUUGAAUCCAUCCCUUUCAAAAUUGACGGUGCCCGCGGUAUAUGAUCAACUCGAGAUGUGUAUGUCUCCAUUUUCUUAUCAUUAGCUUCAAUUUUCUUUUAUCCCAACUCGAUUCUUUUGGUGAGCUCCUCGAGCAUUUUUAUUAUUGCAGGAUCGGUCCCCGAUUCAUUAUUAUUCGACCUCUCUGGUACUGGCUCGGCACGACGGGUGGCUUCUAGUUCGACCCCACUCAGAGUUCUAUGCUGAUUUUGCAGCUGUGCAAUAGCGGCUUGCUGAGCCUGUAGCAUUUAAAAUAUUACCUGGAGAUUAACUCCUCCAUCUCCUCUACCCUGUGCACCUUGGCCACUAGAUCGGUCUUCUCUACGUACACUCCUUUCGGGGUCUGGGCCCAGGUCUACAUUAAAAGCAACGUGCGAACUGACGUCGACUGGGUUGGCAACCGGUGCUCCCCCGAGAUCAGCUUGUGGCACUUCGACCCCUGGUGCAAUUACAUUGUCAUUCUCCCCGUGAAAUCCGAGGCCAUUGUCACCAUGUUAGGCGCAUUUUGCAAGUUUGACAUGUUUUAACCUGAAAGCAAAAAUACUUGACAAGAACAAGCGUAAAAUAGUGUGUGUUAUCGGAUUGAGUACUGAAUAAUCACUAUUAUACUUAGCCCCACGGUGGGCGCCGAACUGUUUACCCUAAAAUUUGGAUAACAAUUAAACUUAAAUUGUGGUUCUAAGGAUAUGUGAUUUCCUCCAAUACUAAUUGAUAAACGGGAAAAUAAAUAUAUGUAUUAGGCUGUAAAAUAAAUCAAACCAGUGUGUAAGCGAAGCCUCGACCUCGAAUUAAAGUAACCUCGAGGUGAUAUGGUAAGAACAAAAAGGAAUAGAGCAACUCUGAUGAACAGUAAGUAGAGCAAUAAGAAUGAAAGAAACGAUUGCAUAUAUUUUUCUCAGUGAGCCAUGAUGAUUACAAAUGAAUGGAAUUCCUCUUUAUAUAGUAGAGGAGUCCUAAUUAAAGUAUAUUUCUAAUUACAGUAGGAAAUCAUGUCAACAGCUGAUUAACCGCUAUAGACUUGAUUUGAUCCGAGAUUUAGUCCACGAUCCUCGAUCAAUCGUGAAUUUCUCGCCCUUUCCGUUAGAAAGCUAUGACGAUAUUCAAAGUCUGUCUCUCUCUGGCCUCGAUUGAUGUCAACCUCGAUCUGAAAAGAGGCUUCGAUUUCAGACUCGACGUCCUAGCUCUUCGAUGUAGCAUUCCUAUCUCGACCCAAGUAGUGAAAUCGGGUAGCCCCGAUUUCUACCAUAUACAGUCAUAAAAUUAGGAAGACAUGAAACCGAUGCGGAAACCGAAUGCACAGCUGAUGCAAUGAUGGGAAAUAACCAAGUUAAAAAUGUAGAACUUCAUGAUGAAGCAUAUGACAAAAUCUAAUAAAGAGUUAGACUAUGUCCGACUACUGUAAUCGAAUAGGGCCCAUUCGGGAGGUUAAGUACCCGGAUUGGUUAGCAAAUGUAGUAGUAGACCCUAAAAAGGGAAAUAAAUUAAAAUUGCGUGUAGACUAUAAAGACUUGAAUAAGGCAUUCCCCAAGGACUCUUUCCCUUUGCCCAACAUCGAUCGCAUGAUCGAUGCGACCCGUCCACGAGAUCCUCAGUUUUCUCGAUGCCUAUUCCGGGUACAACAAAAUUCGAAUGGACCCGGACGAUCAGGAAAGAACGUCCUUCGUCACUAAGUACGACACCUAUUGCUAUAACGUAAUGCCAUUCGGAAUAAAAAAUGCAUGUGCCACUUACCAACAUCUAGUAAAUCGAUGUUCGAAGAACAAAUAUGAAAAUCAAUGGAGGUUUACAUUGACAUUAUGUUAGUUAAGUCCCCGCGAGCAGAGGACCAUUUGAAACAUUUGCAGGAAACCAUCAACAUAUUAAAGAAAUAUAAUAUGAAGCUGAACCCGGAGAAAUGCACAUUUGGAGCCCGGUCCGGGAAAUUCCUCGGAUUCAUGUGUCUAACUGGGGAAUCGAGAUUAAUCCCGAUAAGAUCAAGGUCAUUGAGGACAUCACCAUUGUGGACAGUGUCAAGGCCAUUUCAAAGGUUAUCCGGACACGUAGUUGCUUUGGGUCGAUUCAUCUCAAGGUCCUCCGACAAGCGCCAUCGGUUCUUCUCACUAUUUAAAAAGAAGAAUAACUUCUCAUGGACCCCGGAGUGCCAGCAAGCCUUGGGGGAACUCAAGUGAUACCUCUCGAGCCCACCUUUUCUUCAUACUCCGAAGGCAGACGAACAGUUGUACCUGUACUUAGCGGUAUCCGAGAUAGAGGUAAGUGGAGUCUUGGUCCGGGAAGAGGAAGGCAUGCAAUUUCCUAUCUUUUAUGUUAGCAGAACUCUAGGCGAGGUCGAAACUAGGUAUUCUCACCUAGAAAAAUUGGCGAUCGCUUUUCUAAGCGCUUCUAGGAAGCUAAAACUGUAUAUUCAAUGCCAUCCCAUUUGUGUUGUAACUACUUAAUCAUUGAGAAACAUAAUGUAUAAACCCGAGCUGUCGGGAUGAUUGGCCAAAUGGGUCGUGGAGAUCAGCGGGUAUGAUACCGAAUAUCGACCCCAAACCGCCAUCAAAUCUCAAAUUUUGACGGACUACAUGGCCGACUUUACGCCGGCCCUAAUACCUGAGGUCGAAAGGGAGUUGUUGUUGAACUCGGGGACUUUCUCGAGAAUCUGGACCCUCUUUACAGACGGUGCCUCAAACGCAAAGGGGUCCGGACAUGGCAUCGUGUUGAAGCCACUGAUAAUUAAUGUAGUUAGACAAUCUAUUAGGACGGUAAAGUUGACUAACAACGAGCCCGAGUAUGAGGCCAUGAUUGCAGGUCUCGAACAGGAUAAGUACGACUCCUUCCUUGUGGAAUCAAUGGGACAUUAGAAGUCCGAAAGGAACGAAUGCAAAGAUGCCUGGAUAAUUUGCAGGUAACGCUACAUCGGUUCAAGGAGUGGACUCUGCAACAUGUACCUCGAGAUCAAAACAGCAAAGCAGAUGUUCUUGCUAAUUUGGGAUUGUCGGUUGAUGACGACAAAUUCAACUUGGGAACGAUCGUGCAACUCAUGAAAUCAGUAGUGGAGGAAGGCCAUGCCGAGAUAAACUUGACAAGCUUAACCUGGGACUGGAGAAACAAGUAUAUAGAUUACCUAAUGAGUGGGAAGCUGCCCUCGGAUCUUAAGGAAUCGAGGGCUCUGUGCACAAAUGCAGCCAGGUUCAGCCUAUCCGAAGACAGCACCUUAAUCAAGAAAACGUUCGAUGGCCCACUCACCAUAUGUCUGGGACCGGGAGAUACCGAAUAUGUUUUGAGGCAAGUUCACGAAGGCACCUACGAGAACCAUUCGGGUGCCGAAUCGUUGGUUCGUAAGGUAACUAGAGCCGGAUACUACUGGAUUGACAUGAAAAAAGACACAAAGGAGUUCGUACGAAGGUGCGACAGAUGUCAGAGGCACGCACCGAUGAUUCACCAUCCCGGGGAGCUACUACGUUCGGUCUUGUCACCCUUUCCAUUCAUGAAAAAUGGAGAAUAAACAUCGUCGGUCCUCUGCCAUGGGCACCCGAUAAGGCUCAAUUUAUAUUAUUUAUGACUCACUAUUUUUCUAAGUUGGUGGAAGCCCAGGCAUUUGAGAAAUUCAGGGAGAAAGAAAUUGAUUUCAUUUGUGACCACAUAAUAUGCCGAUUCAGAAUGUCGGCCGAGAUCGUGUGCGACAAUGCGAAGCAGUUCAACGGCAGUAAGGUGAGCAAAUUUCCCGAAGACCAUAAGAUCAAAAGGAUCCUAUCAACACCCUAUCACCCUAGUGGGAAAAGGCAGGCGGAGUCUACGAACAAAACCAUAUGCCAAAACCUUAAGAAAAGGUUGACCGACGCUAAAGGUAAAUGGAGGGAAAUUUUGCCCAAAGUAUUAUGGGCAUGCCGUACAACCUCAAAAUCCAGUACAUGGGCCAUCCCGUUCUCAUUGGUCUACGGUGCCAAAGCAUUAAUACCUGUCGAAGUAGGAGAACCGAGUCUCAAGUUCUGAUAUGCGACUAAAGAAUCAAACAAUGAGGCCAUGAGUAUGAGCCUGGAACUAUUGGACGAGAGGCGCGAGGCUGCCCUCAUCCGGUUGGCUGCCCACAAGCAACGGAUCGAAAGGUAUUACAAUCGGAGAGCCAACCUCUGUCAGUUCAAUAUCGAAGACUUGGCGUUAAUAAAGGUGAGAAUAAACACUCGGAACCUGAAAGAAGAGAAACUGGGGACGAAUUGUGAAGGUCCAUAUCGAAUUAUCAAGAUCGUCGGCAAAGGAUCGUACAAACUCGAAGCGAUGAAUGGCGAGCGGCUACCAAACAACUAGAACAUAACUCACUUAAAACAAUACUACUGCUAAGGUACGACCCCAUUCAUUACUUUUCUUCACAUAUAUUAUGAAUUGGAUUAACACUUGCAGGUAACAGCUAAGGAAUGGUGCAAUUUUUAGGCCUGAAAGCACGUGUUGCACUCUUUUUCCCUUGAGCCGGUUUUGUCCCAAAUGGGUUUUUCGGUAAGGUUUUUAAUGAGGCAAUAGUGGAUCGUGUGAAACAUAGAAUUGAAGAUCGGUUAUGCACCGGAGUCGAGGAUCGCAUAAACAAUAUCCAAGCCCUUUAUACGAUCGGCCUCGAAUACUGGGGGCCAUCACCCUCGGAUAAUGAUUUUAGCAAGGAAGGAAACAUUGUGCUCGAACAGCCUAGGCUCGAUGGAUAGGAUUUGUUGUAAAGGCCAAACGGUCAAAUGAACCGUGCCCACAUAGACCACUUAAGCCAUAACACGAAGUUUGUAGACAUUUACAAUCUUGUAUGUUGCACACAGAAAUGAAAGAAUGUUUCUACCUUGCAGAUACAUAUUUCGUCUCCUAAACAUUACUAUAUUUUUUUCCUUAAAGACAUCGAGCCCAAGGUCCACCUCUAUCUGGAACCAAGAGAUCACCCCCACUCGAGGAUUAUGUCCAAGAUUAACUCGGACGGCUCGGGUUGUCAAAACCUGGGGGCACAAAAACCUAUUAGGCAGCGCUCGAACCUUAAAGGCAAUGGCCACCCCUACUCGGGGACUGUCGUCCUGGGUAAGACCGGAUGGCUGGGUAGCAAGCCUAUUGGGUAGAACCCGAACUGAAAAGGCUACGGCCAUCCUAAAAAUGGCUCGGAGACGUCCGAUGUCCGUAACCAAAACAUAAGGCCUUAAAAAUUUGCAAACCGGUUCAAAGGAUACCCUCGAAAAAAUUAUAAUCUAAACAAAUUCUAAGUAAGCACUUCAGGGAAGGCUUCAGAUCAUACUAAACCCCCACGAGUCAUAAGCAAAAUUACAUCGAAAACAAGCCUUGUUCAAACUUCCGAAUAAGACCGUAUUAUUACGCGCUAAGGCAUUCGAAAUCUUUGCAAUCGUAAAGAAAAAGCAACAAGAAACAAACUUGAAAAAUAGUCGAAGGGAAAAAAGAGGAGCCUUGUAUAUAUAUAUAAAUAAAGAUUUUUACAAAGGCCAAACGGUCUCAAUAAAAAUAUAAAAUACCAAAACGAAGAAAAAUCUACAAGGAACCUAAGCCUGAUCUUCGCCAGAGCCCGCCUCAUCAGCGGAACUAUCGGGGUCUUCUCCGUCCUUGGAUCCGCCAAAACCCUCGGAGCCUUCCUCGUCCUCGUGAUAUGCUACAUUCUUGGCCUAGCCCUCGAUCCUCUUAACAUUUUAGACCUCGGCCGAUAGAUCGAAACCCCGGGCAUGAACAUCCUCGAGAGCCUCCCUUCGGGACUGCCACUUUACGUAUUCAACAAUGUCUUUUAGGCGGUCCUGGACUGCCUCAGCAUCAGCUUUGUACUGGGCCACUAUCUCUUCAGCAUCGGCCCUCGUUAUUUCUGCCACUAACUUGGACACUUUAAGCUCCUUGGCAAGAGUAUCUCGUUCGGCAACAAUCGAGCCCAGUUGGGAUUGGAGGUCUUCGAUAUUUAGAGAUCGAGCCUCAGCUUUCUCCCACGCCGCUCGAAGUUGAGCCUCCGCCGAGGCCAGUUGCUCCCAGGAAGACUCCUUUUCUGAAGUCAAGCGAUCCAUCUUGCUUUUCCACUCUUCGACCUUGGCCUUAAAUACACCCAUCUCGGCUUAGAGUUGGUCAAGCUUAUGUUGGACCUGCGUGUUUUGACUGUUAGUCUCUAUGUCUAGCUCGUCAUCACUAACUUCAAAAAUCUUUACCCGUUCCACCAGGUUGGCAUGUUCUUUUUAAGUCGCGUCCAACUCGGCUCAGAGGCUCUUGAUUUCUCCUUCACGUUGCUCGCUGAGAAGCUUGUACAUGUCGCUCUUCUCAGCAAGCUCUUUGACUUUUGCCUCGAGUUGGCUAAGCUCAUCCCGGUAUCGAAGAAAGGUUUCAUGGUGAAACACCAAGGCCUGCAAAAUGGAGAAAGCAAAAGGCAUUAGAGUCCUUAAAACCUGAAUCCGAAGAUAAAAAAGAGUGAUAAGAGCUUACCCAACUCAGCUCCUGUUGUGCUUCGUUGAACAAGCAUUUGCGCAUCCACCUCAUUCAUUCUUUCCCGGUCUUCUUCGGUUACCAGGCACCGGAGGUAACUAGCUAUCUCAAUAGGUGCGAAAAGAACUCGGGAAUCCUCGGAAUGUAACAACUACUGAUCACUUCCGACCAGGAUCCGUGAUCGGGGCAGGGAACCGGUUAAUCAGCCUCGGGCUCAAGUUCGGCUCGCCAACAUCCAAGAAUGAACUUUUCCUCGACACCGCAAAGUCACCUAACCCGGUGACAUCUUCUUGAAUGGUUGAGUCCAUGCCAUCAACGAAGCAUCAAAGGGAUCGCUCGCUCCGUGGACCCCUUCGUUCGACCAUUCCUUCAUCGUUCGGGCUUCAUCAAACAUUGACUCUGUAAACGAGGGUAACCCUAAAAUUUCUAUAACAUCGUGCGGGGCAAAACUGGUGUCUCCAGAAGUCUCGGCCAUCGCUGCUGCACCAGCCUCAAAUAAUUGAGGAGGACUAGCCUCCAUUGUUUACCCCUCGGCUGCCACCUGCUCCUCAGGGACAGACGGCUCACGGGCCACAAAGAGUUCGUCCUCUUCGGGCUCGUCUCUGAGCCAUAAAAGUAGGUCUGAGUUAGGCACUCGGGAGCUGGAACUUUCCUUUGGCUUAUGAGCCAACCUUCUCCUUAUUUUCUUUUUCUCCGAACUCGGGGCCCUCUUCCUUUUUUUCUCUCCAGUUGUGGCUCCGGGCUGCCCCAAAGUAGGAAGAUCAGUAGGUAGAUCCUCGCCCCCUACCAAGGGCCUAAGCUCGAUGGUCUUAGGCAAGCCUGCAAAAGCAAGAAAAGAAGCAAUGAAGACUUAGUAUUGAAAACAGAAAGUCUAAUGUUGCCUAGUCCCUCCCAGUGACCCUUUGAGAGCUCGCGCCACGAGCGCUCGGCAUAAGGCAUCUACGAACAAAUGCCCCUGAUCCAUUCCUUGAGCUGAGGAAUGGCAUUUGGGACUCGAGCAAGGGCUGCACCAUAGCAAAUACCGAUAAGAUAAGGCAAGGCAAAACACAAAAUCAAUGUUCAAAAGGAAGUUACACUUACGCGAUACGUUCCAUUUCUCGGGGAAUGGCCUCCACUCGACUAGUAUCAAAUCAGCGGUCUUCACUUGGACAGAGCAUCCUUGCCAACCCCUAUCACGAUCCUCAUCGAUACUUGAAAAUGGUGCUUUGUUGGCCCGACGUACAAGCUUUAUCAGUCCCUCCCGGAAGAUUCGGGGACUGUAUAAGAAGAUUAGAUAAUCAAUGGUGAACAUGCACACAUCGAUUUUGUUCAUAAAAAAUCGGAGGAGGAUCACGAUCCUCCAUAGGGAUGGGUGGAUUGGUCGAGGCAUACAUUGUAUCUCUUAUAGAAGUCCACGAUGAUCGGGUGUACUGGGCCAUAAGGGAUAAGUAUCAACACUCAGAUAUCCCUCAUCAUGUGUAGUGAUAUCGUCAUCGAGCCCGGGAAUCACCACAUCCUUAUCCACCCAGCCGCAGUUCGAUAGGAAGAAUGGAUUUGGUAAUAGAGCAGAUGUACCGUGACACAGCCUCGCAUCGGUCUUGAACUAAAUAAGGUUUUUCAAUCUUAAAGUCAUCAUUGACCAACACACCCCCCGUGGACGAACAUUUUCAAGGGGGCUCGGCUGCUGGUUCAUCGACGGUCGCGCCUGGGGCAGUCUCCUCUACAUCAGUGGUCGGUUGAGAAGAAGAAUGAGCAUCUUUCUGGGGAACGCUCUUUGAAGUCUUUUCUAUUUCUUUUAUAUGGAUAAAAAGGUAUAAAGCUAUGAAGGAGAAUGAGGAGAUAGAGGAUGAUAACUGGCUAAUAAGCACACUGGCUUAAGUAAGGGGUAAGAGAAAGGUUGUAACUUGAAGAACGAAGGUAAGAAUAUUGAGGGAUGAAAGAAGACGGUAAUAUCAAGGUUCCUAGUGAAGUUCUUUGGAAAUGCCUAGAGGUGAAAGGUGUGUCGGUAGCUUACAUCAGGUUGAUAAAAAACAUGUAUGAUGGAGCUAAGACCCGGGUUAGGACUAUGCCUGGUGACUCGGGGCAUUUUCCGAUUGUUAUGGGGUUGCACCAAGGAUCUGCGCUCAGCCCGUUCUUACUUGCCGUGGUGAUGGAUGCACUCACACACCAUAUUUAAGGGAAGGUUCCAUGGUGUAUGUUCUUCGCUAAUGAUAUAGGUAUGAAUGAAAGUGAGGCGGCGUUAACGAGAGGUUGGAGGUUUGAAGACAUGCCCUUGAAUCUAGAGGUUUCAAGUUGAGUAGGACUAAGACAGAAUAUCUAGAGUGUAAGUUCAGCGACAUGACAGGGGAAGCAGACUUGGACGUGAGGCUUGACUCACAAGUCAUCCCCAAGAAAGAAAGUUUCAAGUACCUUGGAUCAAUUAUCCAGGGGGUGAGAAGAUAGACGAGGAUGUCACAUACCGUAUAGGGGUGGUGUGGAUAAAAGCAUCUGGAGUCCUAUAUGACAGGAAUAUGCCAUCGAAACUUAAGGGCAAGUUAUAUAAAGCAAUGGUUAGACCAGCCAUGUUAUAUGGGGAUGAGUGUUAGCCAGUCAAGAAUUUCCAUAUCCAGAAAAUGAAAGUAACAAAGAUGAGGAUGUCGAAAUGGAUGUGUGGGUACACUAGGCUGGAUAAGAUUAGGAAUGAAAAUAUUUGAGAGAAGGUGGGUGUGGCUCCCAUUGACGACAAAAUGCGGGAAGUGAGGCUUAGAUGGUUUGGGCACAUGCAGAGGAGAAGUUAAGAUGCCCCGGUUAGGAGAUCUGAGCGGUAGUCUUUGGCGGGUAUGAUAAGAGGUAGAGGGCGGCCUAAAAAGUAAUAGGGUGAGGUGAUCAGGCAGGACAUGACGCGACUUUAGAUUUUCGAGGAUAUGGCUCUUGAUAGGAAGGUGUGGAGGUUGAGCAUUAGAGUUGAAGGUGAGGAGGGAGUCGAGCGCUUUUCAUCUUUGUGUCGGGGGUGGGGCUAGUUUGUUAGGCUUUUCUCUUGGACUGCUAGAGGUGUAUGUUGUGUCCAUAGUAUUUUUCCGUUUUUCAUAGUAAUGUGGUAUUAUUAUUGGUUGUUGUUAUUGCUUUUCCAUAGAUUUUUUAUUUCUUACGAUGCUAAUAUUAUUUCUCUGAUUUUUGUUGCUGUCACGAAUGCUAUUGUCUAUUUUCGUCUUCUUGAUCUUAGGGUUCCUCGGAAGCAGCCUCUCUACCCCUCCGAGGUAAGGAUAAGGUCUGCGUAUAUUCUACCAUCCCCAGACCCCAUUUGUGAGAUUUAAUCGGAUUGUUGUUGUUGUUGACAUGUAACUAUUUUAUAUAGGAGUUUAUGUACAAAUAAACGACUUUAUAAAAAGCAUCAGCUUUAUUUUAGACAUAACCGAAAUGUUACAAUAUCUCUGAAGCAAAGUGAUAAAGUAAAAAAAAAAAAAAAAAAGAAACAAUCUACUUCAAAAAUUAAAAGAAAAAAUAAAACUAAAACCUAAAAAAGAAAAAAGAAAAGUCUAUUUUUAUAGCCUAUAUAUACCACUACAUUUCUGGUUCUGCCAUUCCAAGUUCACAAAACAACGAAGAAGACUCACUAAUCAAAAGCUCUCUUCUUUUUUUAUUACUCUAUUUCCUUCAUCUUCAUUUCCUUCUAAUUUGCUUCCCUAUUCGAGAUGAACAUUGUUAUAAAUAAUUCUGCCCUUUUCAGAACUAUGGUUUUACUCCAAAAUCACUUCUUCCCUUUGUGUGAGAUGCUUUCUUUCAUGUAAUUUUUAACGGGCUUGGCUAAGGUUGAAUUUGCUUGUUGCUCGAAUUCAAUUGUUAGCCACAAUCCCUCUCAUCUUUCACUUAGCCUUGAACCAACCAAUUCUCAUCAGAAAGUUGGAAAAAAAUGGAGUCUUUCAAUUUCAAGAACAUCAAAGCAGAGAAAGCAAACGCAAUUCUUAGGUACAAAAGGCUUCAAAGGAUCACAACGCUGUUCCGUGUCAUGGAGAUUUGCAUAUUUUUUGUCAUAAUCUCGAGAUUUUCCACUCAAUUGGCAUUUGUUUCCAAGCUUUUUAGUGAGUAUUUCAGGAAACUCCCGCUCGCCCUCAUUAGUCCCCGGUUCAUCUUCGUGCUUGGAAAUGUGAUUGUCAUCGUUUUGUUCUUGAAAUCUAGAGUCUCAUAUGCUAAAGAUAAUUCAUCAAUCAUAACCGAUUUCCAUGACGAGUAUAUGAAAGAAUGUGCAAAGCGCAUAACCAAUUACAGUGAACAGAGCAUAAGCAAUUGCAGAGAACAGAGUAUAAAUAACUACAGCGAACAGAGUAUGAAACAGGGGAAACAGUGCAUUCUUGGAGAGAGAGAAGUUGGAAGGAAAAUUCGAAAGAGCCGUUCAGAAAAUUUGCUGUGUGUCCCCCAGCAUGAGGAGACUAGAAGAGAACUGAGGCGAUCGGCAACGGUGGUCUGCCGAAGAAAUGUGGAUGAUGAGAUGAGUAGUGAAGAUUUCAGGCGAACAGUGGAGGAUUUCAUCGCCAGGCAACAGAGAUUGUUGAGGGAAGAAGAAGAGUUUUCAGCUGAUGUUUCUCCUAAUUUCAUAAGCUAGUUUUUGUUCCAUUUCUCGUUGAAUUUUAUUUUCUUAGGUAAAUGGAGAAAGGUACAACAAUCAUCUUUUUUCUUUAUGACCGCGAAGUAUGAUCCUUCUCUCCCAACGGGAAAAUUUUUAUUGCCUGUGAUAUUUAUACUAAUAAAUCAGUAAAUAUAUGACAUCUGCUCAAAUAUGGGGAAAAAAUUCAUUUAAUUACUAUUAAUAUACGCAUCGUCAUAUCAUAUUAUCAUUUAACCAAGAUAAGUUAACAUUAUUUUACUAAACAUCAAUUUUCAACUUCCUUAGCUCGAUAGUUUUCUUUCAUAGUGAACAAGAAACAGAAAAAUCAAAGUGGCUAAGAGUUUAAACUGGUAAUAGUACACUUCUGUUGGAUUAUAUAUGACAGCGGACAGUAUCAUAUUCACAUAUAAAUUAAAUAAUUAGUAUAUACGGAGAUUAUUCGAGUUACCUCUUGAAGCAUGAACAAAGCAUUAAUAUGGGUCUCCAAUUUCAAAGUAGCAAGACUGCGACCUCAGGAAAACGUUCCACAGUCUUCUAUUGUGUUAUCCAAAUAAUAUCCGGAAAGAGAAAAUUUUGGGUGGGCGAAAUUUCAAGGAAAAACGAGUGCAAAAAACGGUCAGUAUGAAAAGGUUUCCUUUAUUUGCUAUUAUUUAGGCAAGUAGGGACCACAGAAUUUAAUUGAAAAGGCUCCCUAUUAUGAAAUUAAUUUCGAAAUCUACCAUAAUAAAUUAUGAAUUAUUUCACUAAAAAUUCGUAAUUGCACUCCUUAGUUCAAUUUCAAAAUUUUUUCAUAAAACCUUAUUUAACUCCCCGUGUUAAGAUUCAGAUACUAAUCAAUUAAAUUAAAUUACUGACAAUUUAAUUUAUUGAUUACUUUCCUCAGACUUUUGCUUAACUGAUUUCAUGUGUCACAUACAAAAUUCACCGGUCAGACUUACACAUGAAAAUUUAUAAGCCUUCAUAAAGGAGUAUCAUCAAUCUCAAAAGCCGAGACAUGAAUUCUAUCAACUAAUUAUUAUUUCGCCAAUGUAUAUCAUUAUUGUCUAAUUACCAGUCUUAUUGACCCACGAAAGAAUCUCGCUUUUUAAUAAAUCAAAAUAAUAAAUAACACACACAACUAAUAAUAGUUAUAUCAAGAUUAAGAGUAAAAGUACAUUGAAUGAACUAGAGAAAUUAUUUUAAUAAGUCAGUAUAAAAUACUUAUCUCUGGUUGAUCCAUUCAGUACAUACAAAAUAUACUAACACAAGAAGUCGGAAUUAAAUCAUUCCCAUAAUCAAGAUAAAUUAUAUUUAAUCUUGUGCAACAACCAUGGUUUGUCCAAUUCAAUCAUUAGGUUGUGAACAUAAACUUUAUAGCUUAUAAGAAUCAAUGAUUUAAUCUUCCGUGUAUAAGCUAAAUCAUCUAUUAUAUAAGCAAUGGACACACGGACAAAUACAUGAUCUAUUUAAAAUAAAACUUUAUUGAAUAGAACAAAUAAAUAAAUAAUUAUUCCAUAAAGAAUACUAUAACAAUACGCAUGGUUUAUAGUAUAUCCUAACAACUUCAAUUAUCAUUUCUUGCAAGGUCGGCUCUAACAUUAUUAGAGGCAAGGCUUAUGCAUUAACCCCCAAAUUUGGGGGCUCCAUUUUUAAAAAAUAAUAGGUUUAUAACUAUUUAAAAAAUAAUAUUUAGUACUUUUAAUGUAAAAGUAGAGUUUUUAAUAUAAAAUAAAAGAAAGUUCGUUAUAUAUAUAUAUAUAAAUAAAUUAAUAAUAUGAUGUCAUGACCCAAAACUUAACUUGUCGUGAUGGCGCCUAACAUGGUACUAGGCAAGCUGACAACUCAGACAUUCCCAACACUUUCAAAUGAAAAAUGUACUGAAACAAGUUUAAAUAAUUAAAACCCUCAUAAACUCGAUACAAGAUCAUAUCUCAAUAUGGAAGUUCCCAAAACCAGGGUGUCAUUGAGUACAUGAGCAUCUAUACAACACAAGUCUAAAAUACUAUCUAAGAAAAACUGAAACUGAAUGAAUAAACUGAAAGAUAGGGAGGAGAGUCACGUCUGCGGAUGCCAAAGCAGCUAUCUCGAUGAUCUCGAAAUGUCUGCACUCUGUGAAUAAGCAAAUACCUUGACCGAAAACAGUUGGAUCUGCACACGGGGUGCAGGGUGUAGCGUGAGUACAACCAACUCCAUAAGUAACAAAUCAAAUCUUUGUACUGAAAGUAGUGACGGACUCGAAUAUUACAGCCCACAUAAAGAAUUAACAAUACGGUAAUUCACGAAAAAUAUGAGAGUGAUAUCUCAGAAAUUCAUAAUCUACAGAUAAUGGUACAAGAAUUUAGGCAUGCUUUCAGGUUUUGCAAUAAACUCAACACCGAACAGGGCAGAUCCAGCCCAAAUACAAAUAAAUCAGGGCAGAUCCCUAAUUUAUCUUAAUCGCGAUCGCGAAAAUUGCUUCGCGAUCGCGGAGCACAAUUUAACUACCCAGAUAUUCGACCUUACGCGAACGCGUCAAUCCUCACGCAAACGCGAAGGACUGCUUUCCUUAACCUACGCAAUCGCGUCCAUCUUCAGGCGAUUGCGAAGAGCAAACCCUUGACCUCAGGUGCUGCCUCUUAUACUCUACGCGAACGCAACCUUAGUCGUGCGGUCGUGAUUCACUGCAUCCUACAACUACGCGAUCGCAGCCCCUAUCUCACGAACACGUAGAGCAAAGACCUCCACUACCCAAUUAAGCCUACGCGAUCACGAACCUGUCCACGUAAUCGUGUAUAAGAAAACCAGAAUAAUGCACCAGAAAAUUUCAACAAAUCUCCAAGUCCAAAAAUUGAUCUGUUAACCAUCCGAAACUCACCCGAGGUCCGCGGGACCUUAACUAAAUAUACCAACAAGUCCUAAAAUUAGUCGAGACUUCAAAUCACAUCAAACAAUGCUAAAAUCACGAAUCGCGCAUCGAUUCAAGCCUAAUGAACUUUUAAACUUCUAACUUCUACAUUCGAUGCCGAAACCUAUCAAAUCACGUCCGAUUGACCUCAAAUUUUGCACACAAGUCACAAAUGAUAAAACAAACCUACUCCAACUUCCGAAACCCCGUUUCGAUCCCGGUAACUACAAAGUUAACUCUCGGUCAAACUUCUAAAUUUUUAACUUUCGCCAUUUCAAGAUUAACUCAACUACGAACCUCCAAACCACUAUCCAGACACACUCAGUCCAAAAUCACCCAACGAAGCUAACAAAACCAUCAAAACUCCAUUUUGAAGUCAUUUACAUAUAAGUCAACAUCGGUUUAACCUUUUCAACUAAAGCUCCCAACCUUGAGACUAAGUGUCUCAACUCAUUCUGAAACAUCCCCGGAACCGAACCAACUACCCUGACAUGUCACAUAGCAAUUAUUAAGCAUAAAAUGAGCAGUAAAUGGGGGAACGGGACCACAACUCAAAAUAACCGGUCGGGUCGUUACAUAUGACUUGCUUAAAAUGGGUAGAUAAAUAGUUUUCCCAACCUUCCAAUUUUUUACUUUUUACUCCUUCAAUAGAUAACGUGUAAAAAUUUUAGUCUCCCUUUCUUAAUUUGUUCAAGUCAAUCUUUCGUUUACCCAAUGUCUUUGUUUACCUUCAUUAUGGAUGACAAUUGAAUUUAUGUGCGGUUUUAACGAUAUAUGGAAUAAUUCAAUACAAGCGAUUAAUAACGUUAGAUUGGCAAAUUAAAGAUAGAACAAAUGGCCAAACCAGUAGUAGUAUUGAGUCCGAGCUCGGUUAUGAGAUUAACAAUUAGCGUGCCUUCGGUUCGGAGCCAAAUACUUAUGAAGAACUAUGAGCAAAAAUAAGAACUUUGAAUAACUUUUAGAAGCAGAGAAAACAAAUGUAUAUUGCAUUGGUAUGCGUGUUACAGUAUGCCUCUUGAAUAAAAACUAUCUCUUUUAUAUAGUAGAAGAGUUUCAUCCCUAGUACAAUUUUGUGAAAGGUUAAAGAUCUUCUUUUUCGUUAAUUACUGAUCUGUUGCCGAUACGGGCCGAGAUUCACGCCGUGAUACCCAGUCUCGCACGGAUAUCACAGCCCUUCACUAGCCGUGUGCAACUUCUUUGUAGUAUUUUCUAGAGUCAUGGGCUCGAACAGGGCCUGGGGUUGUGGUGUCGAUAGCUUUGAGGGCAGGUGUUUUGUUCGGGCAUUGAUACAAGAGGUUCCUAGCUUUGAUUUCGAUUCCUUAUAGUUACGUCCUUGCUUCGUUUGUCCCAUCGAGAAAUAGGGGUGCUCAUUAGCCCUUGAUUUACCCAUAUACAGAUAGUCCCCUUGUUUCUUAGAGAGUAGGUUUGCUGAAGCGAUGAGAAACGAUAGAUGUUCUCUAGUUCCUUCCUCUAUACGUUACAACUGAAAUGACGAAGAAAUCAAAACGUCCCAUCAGUCGCGUCAUUCGAAUUUCGAACACGUGUCAACCAUCGGCUAGUUGCCUUCGAAUGUGAAGCGUCGCGUACUUCCCCUAUAAAAGCUUCUAUCCUCUAUUCUUUUUCCACUUUCCGAUCAAGUUUCCACCUUCAAAUUUUCCAGCUAUCACCAACUUCUUUCAAACCUUCAUAUCUUCAUCCUUGAUCUUCAAAUUCUUAUAGUUGUUCUUAGGUUCUUACCCUGCUUUUCUUCAAAUCUUCAUACACUGCUCUUUAGAUUUCAAAGUUGUUCUUUCAAAUCUUUGUGUUUUUUCUUUAGAUUUUCAAACUUUUCUAGAUAGCAAUGGCUAAAACAUCUAAAGCAGUACCUCAGCAGGUUGCCUCUUCAUCUUCCCAACUGGCCGUUAGUACCGAGGCGGUCGCUCCCAAAAUAGUUUUUCCUUGAGACGGCUGCUCCCAGAGUGGCUACCACCGAACCGGCCCCCGAGGCCCCCUUAAAAAGCUUUAUUCCCGGGGGCUGUUCAAUUGCGAAUGACUUCAAGGUCAAGAAACCCUCAUCCAAACAAGACCGGGGUAAAGGUGCAUCGAGGUAUAUAUGCUCUGUUACCGAACAUGUCCUUCCCGUGGUCCGAGAGGACUGUAAAUGGGAAGGUAAGGACGUAGUAGUCCCCAGGCCCAAGGAUUCUAUUACUACCCACGUGGAGGGGUAUUUAAGUCUUUACACUUACCCCUUCACACUAGGCCUAGCAGACCCGGUUGUUUUGGAUUUUUGCAAAAGGUACAUGGUGUGCCAUGGGAAAAUCCACCCAUCUCUUUUGAGGAUCAUAAUCCUCCUCCAUUAUUUUAUGGACAACACCGAGUCUCGUCGGUUUACCCUCGACCACCUACUCUGUUUAUACAGUCCCCAAAUUUUUCGAGGGCGACUAAUCAAGAUUACUCGUCAGGCCAGCAAGGCCCCCUUUUCGAGCAUUGAUGAAGACCGAAACUGGCAGGAAUGCUUCGUUCGGAUGAAGACUGAUGAUCUGAUCCCUCCCGAGUUCAUGCCAUUCCACAAAAAGUGGAAUGCAUCUUGUAAGUGCGGUUAUUCCUUAAGUGUAAAUUUUUCUUCAUUUUAUUUCUCAUCAUUCGUAUUUGGUUAUGCAGCUGUUGCCCGGGUUCCAAAUGCGGUCCCCCGGCCUAAGGUGUAGAUCGAGGGCAUCUGCAAGUAGAUGUCAUACUUCGAGCGCUCAUGGUGCAAGCUUUCGAAGAGCCGAUGUGAGGCCCAUUCUCAUGGUAAGGUUCUCCUUUGAAUAGCUAUUAACUUGUUCUUAACUCACAUCAUAUUGACCUUUCUUUUUCCUUUUAUAGGUUUGCCUAAGACCACCGAACUUAGGCCUUUGGAAGGGCUUGAGGACAUGUCCUUGUCCAUUAAUCCAUCUAUUACGGGACAGCCCGGGGCUACCGCGGGGAAAAGAAGAAGAGGAAAAGAAAAUCUUCGGGCUCCUCGGGUUUCGAGGUGACCAAAAAGAAGAGGGUGGCUCGUAAGCCCAAAAAGAGUACCAGCUCUGGGGUUCCAGAUUCCGACUCGCUUCUCAGGCUCAGGAAUGAGUCGAAAGAAGACGAUAUUUUUGUUGCCCAUGGAUCGACUCCUCCCAGGGAGCAGGCCACAGCUGUGGGGAUGGACCGUGAGACCAACCACCCUCUGACUCAAGAGAUCCAGAUGGAGACAGGGGCUGAGACCCCCGAGAAGCUGGUUGCACCAAAGAAAGCGACCGGUGUAAUAGAAAUCAUGGGAAUGCCUUCUUACACCGAGUCCAUGCUUGAGGGGGCCCAAGCAGGAAAAGAGAAAUCAAAUGAAGGAGUCCACGGUGCACACGAUCCACUUCAUUCCUUCUUCAAUGGUGUGGAUUGUCUAUUUUGGAAGAUUUUUCAAGGCUGGGCGACCUGGAAGUCCCGAAGAAUGAUAUAUCUUCGGAGGCUGGUGGGCCGAGUUCAAGCCCAAAGCUGGUUGAACGGUUUCCCGCUUAGAGUGUUGACCUUGGUCACAAGAGAGCGGUUAUUCUCACUGUCUCGGAGGAUGCCCAAGUUCUAUCUACUCCCGUGAGGGUAGCCAGGUACGUCUGAUGCCUGGUGACCGAAGAUGACUGGGCAAAAAUGAACGAGGUGGAUGUGCCGUGUCUUUCCAAUGAGGCGGCAGGCGCAGUACCGGGUAAGGCAUCAUUAUAUUUUCUUGAAUUUUACUUAGGUUUUGAUAUCUCUCAUGACUUUCAUCAUUUUGCAGGCCUCGGUACUUCACCACGAGAGCUUCCUCCUGUAUCGUGUCGAGGUUAAUAAACUCAAACUUGAGCUCAAAGAGCAGGUUCAAAAGAAGGAUACGUACAAGCUCAUCAGCGAGAAACAAGACAGUGUCGUCAAGGACUUUUAGGCCGAGCUGGAUAGGGCUCAGAAGGAAGCAUUGACCCUAAGGCGGGAACAUGCCGACCUGAUCGAAAAGGUAAAGGACUUUGAGGCUAUAAAUGAGGAACUAGUCAUAGUGGAUAACAACAAAACCUCACAGGUCUAACAGAAGAUCGACCAGAUCGACCAGCUCCGAAUCAAGAUAAAUGAGGUCCAAGCCAUGGCCGACGGGUGGAAGAGCAAAAUGGACCUACUGGCUUCAGAGAAGGAAACCACCCAAGCAAAGCUUACAUCGGUAGAAGUUCAACUUUGGGUGGCGAAGAAGAAAGCCAACAAGCGGUCCCAGCUGAAUGACAAUCUCCGAGCACAAUGGAGCUCAGCUCUAGUAGAGCGGGACGCCCUCGGUAUAGAAGACAAAGCAGUAAAGUCCAAGUUGGACACAACCUGCGCCGAUGCCGAAGCGAUGGUGGCCCUGUACAAGGCCGAUGUCAAAGCAGCUGAGGCCCCCCGAACACCAAUGCCGAAUAUAUGAGGCGAUUAUCUCAAAGGGAAACCCUUGAAGAGAUUCAUGCCCGAGGCUUUGACAUGUCGGCCGAGAUCAAGGAAGCAAAAAAUUUUAAGGCCAAGGCGAAGAAACUUUCCGAGCCCGAAGGUGCUAAAGACUCUAAGGGUUCUGAUGGAUCCGAAAGUUCUGACGAUUUUGGCGACUAAUCAGGCCCCAGUGAAGAUCAGGCAUGAAUGCCUUAGAACCUUUUUAGUUUUUGUCUUAUGUAUAUUUUUUGUUUAUAUUGAGGCCAUUUUUGUUAGGCCUUUGUAAAUACAUUCUGGAAUAUAUAAAAUCUCCCUUUCUGGCAAUUUUGAGUCUCUACCUUUUUAGCAUCUUUUCAUAAUUUCUAUUCUUGCAAAUAUUUCUAAUGCCUUAGCAUAGAAUCAAAUGUAGUAAUAAAUCGUUCAAUUUCGGACGUCUGAACAGAGCCUGACUUUGAUGCAACUUUAUUUGCUCGAGGCUUUGAAAACUCGGAGUGACCAAAAAAUUUUAAGUGAUUUUAGACAAUGAUUUUGUCGAGGGUAACCUUUCAACAGGUUUUGAAUUUUUAUGAAGGCCUUAUGUUUUUAUUACGAUCUUCGGACGUCUCUUAUCCUUUUUUAGGGUGGUUGUAGCCUUUGUGUUUAGGCACUACCUAAUAGAUUUUGUGCCUUCAGGAUUUGGUAGCCCGAGUUGCCUGAAGACUAUUAGUAUGACAGUCCCCGAGUAGGGGUAGCCCUUGGGCUUAAUAGUCUCCGAAUAGGAUUAAGAUAUAUGUAUUAAGAGGCAAAAAUAUGUGAUAGCAAUGUGGAAACCUUCUUUCAUUUCUGUGUGUAAAGUACAUGAUCGAAAGCGGGCAAAAUCUUGUAUCACGGCUAAGGUGGCUAUGUGGGCACGGUUCACUUGACAUUUGGCCUGUACAAUAAAUCCUAACCACCGAGCCUAAGCUAUUCAAGUAUAAUGUUUCCUUCUUUCCUUGCUAAGAACCUUAACUCGAGGGUGAUUGCCCUUGUAUUCGAGGUCGUUCUUGAGAGGACUCGGAUAUUGUUGAUGCGCCCAUUGACUUCGAUUUAAGACCAGCCUACAAAUCUAAGAUAGCACGAUUUGCUGUUGCCUUGUUAAAAAACUUGCCGAAAAAACCAUCUGGGACAAAAUUGGUUCGAGAAAAAAAAGAGUGCAACGCAUGCUUUCGAUCCCAAUUGUAACAUUCUACCUUGGUCAUUGCCUGCAAGUGUUAGUCCGAUUCAUAAUAUUAUUAAAAAGUAAAUGAGAUUGUACCUUAGCAGUAGUGCCACUUUAAGUGCGUCACGUUCCAAUUGUUCCGUAGCUGCACACUAUUUGCUGCGGUAAUUCUGACGACUCAAUAUGGUCCUUCCCAAUUCGGCCCCAGCUUUCCCUCAUUCGGGUUCCGGGUGUGUAGUGUUACUUUCCUUAACACCAAGUCCCCGAUCUUGAAGUGUCAUAGAUUGGCUCUUCGGUUGUCAUAUCUUUCUAUCCGAUGUUUCUGGGCGGCCAACCGGACUAGGGCGCCCUCACGCCUAUCAUCCAACAGUUCCAGUCUCGUGCUUAGGGCCUCACCAUUUGAUUCCUCAGUCACAUAUCGGAACUUGAGGCUCGGUUCUCCCACUUUGACUGGUAUCAACACUUCGGCACCACUGACCAAUGAAAACGGGGUGGCCCCGGUACUAGACUUCGAAGUUUUACGCUAUGCCUACAAGAUUUCGGGCAAUAUUUCUUUCCAUUUCCCGUUGGCAUCAGUCAACCUCUUUUGUAGGUUUUGAAGUAUGGUCGUGUUUGUUGAUUCCGAUUGUCCGUUCCCACUAGGGUAAUAUGGUGUCGAUAGUAUAUUAAUAAUCUUAUGGUCUUCGAAAAACUUAUUUACCUUUCUGCCGAUGAAUUGCUUCUCAUUAUCACAUACGAUCUCGGUGGUAUCCUGAACCAGCAUAUUAUGUGGUCCCAAAUGAAGUCAAUGACUUCUUUUUCCCAGAAUUUCUUGAACGCUUGAGCCGAACCUAUUUAGAAGAAUAAUAGUUCAUUAACAGUAUGAAUUGAACCUUACCAGGAGCCCACGGCAAGGACCAAUGAUGUCCAUUCUCUACUUCAUGAAUGGCCAUGGGGACAAAACCGAAUAUAGUAGCUCUCCGGGUUGAUGGAUCAUCGAUGUGUGUCUCUAACAGUCGUCGCAUCUUUGUACGAAGUCCUUUGCAUCUUUUGCUAUAUCGAUCCAGUAAUAGCUGGCCCUGAUUAUCUUCCGAACCAAAGAUUCUGCCCCUGAAUGGUUUUCGCAAGUGCCUUCAUGAACUUCUCUAAAGACAUAUUCGGUAUCUCCUGGCCCCAAUCAUAUGGCGAGCGGGCCAUGGAAUGUUCUUCUGAACAGAGUCCCUUCAGACUGGCUAAACCCAACCUCUUUCGUGCAUAGAGCUCUAGAUUCUUUAGGAUUAGAGGGAAAUUUAUCAGUCUUCAAAUAAUCUAUGUAUUUGUUUCUCCAAUCCCAAGAUAAACUUGUUGAUUUUAAUUCGGCAUGUCCUUCUUCUACUACCGAUUCCAUGAGUUGUACUACUGUUCUUGAACUGAAUUCAUCGUCAUCAAUCGAUGACCCCAAGUUAGUUAGAGUAUCGGCUUCACUAUUUUGAUCUCGGGGCACGUGUUAUAGGGUCCAUUCCAUUAAUUGAUGAAGCGUUACCUGCAAUUGUCUAAAUACCUUUGCAUUUGUACCUCUUUUACUUCGGACGUCCCAUUGUCCCUUCGGACUGGCGCCAAUUUUUGGAGGUGAGGAUACCUUUUUUCGGCCUAGCCUAGAGUUCUACUAACAUAGUAAAUAGGAAAUUGCAUACCUUCCUCUUCUCGGACUAAGACUCCAUUUACCACCACCUCGGGUACUGCCAAGUAAAGGUACAACUGCUCAUCCGCCUUUAGAGUAUGGAGCAGGGGUGGACUCUAAAGGUACCGUUUGAGUUCUUCAAAGCUAGUUAGCACUCUAGAGUACAAGAAAAGUUAUUCUUCUUCUUCAGUAAUGAUACCAAUGGCUUUUGUCUGAGGACCUCGAUAUGAACUAGACCAGGGCGACCAUGCACCCAGUUAGCCUUUGAACGGCCUUGACACUGUUCACCAUGGUGAUGUCUUCUAUAUCUUUGAUUUUAUCGGGGUUGAUCUCGGUCCCUCAAUUGGACACCAUGAACCCAUGAAAUUUUUCGGACCAGACCCCAAAUGUGCAUUUUUCGGGGUUCAACUUCCUAUUAUAUCUCUUCAAUAUGUCAAAGGUUUCCUGAAAAUGUUUCAAAUAGUCCUUUUCUCGAAGGGACUUAACUAACAUAUCGUCACUAUAAACUUCCAUCGAUUCUCCUAUCUGUUCUUUGAACAUCCAAUUUACAAGGCGUUGAUAAGUGGCACUGGCAUUCUUUAGUUCGAACGGCAAUACAUUAUAACAAUAAGUGUCAAAUUUAGUGAUAAAGGAAGUUUUUCUUGAUUGCUCGGGUCCAUCUAGAUUUGGUUGUACCUAGAAUAGGCGUCGAGAAAGUGGAGUAUCUCGUGCCCGGUUGUCGCAUCGAUCAUACGAUUGAUGUUAGGCAAAGGAAAAGAGUCCUUAGGGCAUGCCUUAUUCAAGUCUUUUUAAUCUACGCACAUACUUAAUUUAUUUUCCUUUUUAGGCACUACCACUAUGUUAGCUAACCUGUCCGGGUAUUUAACUUCCCAAAUGAAACUUAUUUUAAGGAGUUUAAAUACCUCGUCUUUGAUGAAGGCAUGCUUGACUUCGGACUGAGGCCUCCUCUUUUGUUUAACCAACAGAACUUCUGAUCCAAAUUCAGCUUGUGAGUGGUUAUCUCCAACGGGAUCCCUGUCAUAUCAAGAUGGGACCAGGCAAAACAAGAUAUGUUAGUUUAAAAGAAACUAAUGAGUUCUUUCCUCAUCUUGGGGGUCAACCCCGUGCCCAGGUAUACAUUUCAAUCCGUCAGGUGUUCGGUCAAUAUAACUUGCUCCAGUUCUUUGACCGUAGAUUUAGUGGUGUCGAUAUCAUCAGGAGAUAUGAACGAUCUAAGAACUCCGUAAUCAUCUUCCUCAUUGACUUCUAGUUCCUCCGGUCCGAUCGGGACCGGCAUCGAUGAUUGCUAUUUAACUUUGGCCUUUCUGGUCGGCUCCCUGCUUUUUAAUGUCCAAAAGGCAGGUACUGGGUUUACUUCAUUGACUGCAAACAAAUCCUUUACAACCGGCUGCUCUCCGUCCAAUGUCUUGAUCCCUCCCGAUGUAGGUAACUUUAAUGCAUGUUACAAGGUUGAAAGUAUCGCCCUCAUGUUGUGAACCCAUGGUCUUCCCAAUAGAGCAUUAUAUCUCAUAUCCCCUUAGAUCACAUAGAAUUUUGUUUCCUGAAUGGUCCCGACGGUGUUCAACGGUAGGGUUAUCUCCCCUUUAGUAGUUUCACAUGCCAUGUUAAAUUCGUUCAACACCCGGACUGCUGGCACUAUAUGGUCUUAUAAACCCUGCUCUACAACCCUUGAUCUAAUGAUGUUGGCCGAGCUACAUGGAUCAAUCAACACACAUUUAACUCAAGAUUUAUUUAUAAGUACACAUAUUACCAGUGCUCCAUUAUACAGUUGUACGAUGCCUUUGGCAUCCUCAUCGUUGAACGAAAUGGUUCCUUCCGGGAUAUAGUCUCGGGUUCGUUUUUCCCUUGUGAUGGAUACCUUAGUGUGCUUUAGUAUUAGUCCCUGGGGACAUCGAAUCCUCCAAUGAUCAUGUUGAUGAUGUGUUGAGGUUCUUCUUGUUCGGUCUGUUUGUUGGAGUCCUUGUUCCUGAAGUGAUUUUUGGCUCGAUCACUCAGAAAUUACCGGAGAUGCCCGUUACUAAAUAACCAGGACACUUCUUCUCUUAAUUGUUGGCAGUCCUCGGUUCUAAGGCCAUGAGUGCCAUGAUACUUACACAUCAAGUUAGGGUCUCUCUGGGUAGGGUCAGACUGCAAUGGUUGAGGCCACUUGGUAUCCUUGAUGCGCCCGAUGGCAGAUAUGAUACUGGCUGCAUCGAUAUUAAUGUUAUAUCCCGUUAACCUUGGUGCCUCCCUGGCCCGAGUGGCCUGUCGAAACCGUUUUUACUCAUGAGUCCCGGCUAUUGUGGCCUCAAUCAUUCCUCUAUUUGUUUCUCGUAGUGUUAAGCCUAGAUCCGUUACCUCUUCGAUCUCCGUUAUACAGUUGAUACCGGUAUCUGUUCGGUCUUGGUUCAUGAUCGAUGACUCUCUUAGACCUGUCAUUAGUUCUGAUGGGAUAACCAGACUCGGAGGGGCCCCCAAGUUGAUCGUCCUCGACUCUAAUUUUUGACUGGCACCUGCUACAGACGUCGGCCUACGUUACCGCCAGGUAUUGUAUCAAAUUCUAUUUCAACUGCUGUGAAGCCAAGGAGCUUCAGGGGGUUGAGUCCUUGAGUGAAUGCCUGAACGACCCAAUCAUCCGCAACCAGAGGCAGGUCCAUCCGUUCCAUUUGAAACCUCGAUACGAAUUCCCUGAGCAUUUCGUUGUUUCUUUGUUUUACCUUGAAAAGGCCUUAUUUUCUGGUCUCGGCCUUGAUGGCCCCGGCAUGCACUUUCACAAAGGCAUCUGUAAGCAUAGCAAGCGAAUCAAUAGAAUUUGGGGGUAAGUUGUGAUACCAUAUCAUUGCUCCCUUUGACAGGGUUUCUUUAAACUGUUUUAAUAAAACUGACUCGAUUUUGUCAUCUUCUAAGUUAUUUCCCUUUAUGGCCCACAUGUACGAUAUUACGUGCUCAUUUGGAUCUAUGAUUCCAUUAUACUUCGGAAUAUCGGGCAUACGAAACUUCUUCGGAAUUGGCUUCGGUGUCGCGCUAGGAGGAAAAGGCUUUUGGACAAAUUUCUUGGAGUCCAGACCUUUCAAUAUCGGGGGCGCUCCUGGGAUUUGAUCAACUCUGGAGUUAUAGGUCUCCAUUUGUUUGCCAUUGGCCUCAAUUUUCUUCUCCCCCGAUUUCACACACUUUGUCAGUUCCUUAAGCAUUUUUAUUCUUUCGGGGUUGGCCCCGGGCUCAGCUUCACCCGGCCUUUCUGUGACUUGCUCAUUUCUUUGGGUGUUUUCAUGGGAUGGUUCGGGCUAAAAUCUGCUGGGGGUGUGGCUUUGAUUCUGCAGUUGUGCUAUCGCCACCUAUUGGGCAUGAAACAUUUCGAAGAUCGUCCGCAUAUUGAUUCAGUCUCCUUCACCUUCGGGCGUACCUCAAGUCGUUGGUUGGGCUCUCCGCGAAUGUUGUUUUUCGGGUCGGUCGACAGGUUAGCAUCGAUGGUAACAUGUGAGUUGGCAUCUAUCGGGUCUGCAACUGGGACUCCGUUGGGAUCAGCAGGGGGCACCUCGUUUCUAGGUACUACAUUGUUAUUUUCGCAAUGAUGGACAGACUCAUCAUCAACGUUUAAGUGAGCAGACUGAGAGUUUGACAUUCUUAGGUAGAUCUAAAAUUAAAAUCUCAAAGAACAAGCGCAAAAUAGAGUGUGUUAUGAAAAAUUAUAUCAAACUACCACUACUAUCCUUAGCCCCAUGGUGGGGGCCAAAUUUUUUACCCUUAAAAAUAGAUAACAGUUAAAUUUAUACACAAUUUUAAGGAUAUGUGGACUAAUUAACUACAAGUGUCUAAUAACGUUAGAUGAGAAAAUUAAAGAUAGAAUAAACAACCAAAUCAGUAGUAGUAUUGAGCUCGGUUAUGAGCUUAACAAUUAGCAUGCAUUCGAUUCGGAGCCAAAUAUUUAUGAAGAACAAUGAGCUAAAAUAAGAACUUUGAAUAACUUUUCGAAGCAGAGAAAAGAAAUGUAUGUUGCCUUGCUAUGCCUGUUUUAGUGUGUCUCUUGAAUAAAAAUUAUCUCCUUUAUAUAGUAGGAGAGUAUCAUCCCUAGUACAAUUCUAAAAAAGGUAAAAAAUCUUCUUUUUCAUUAAUUACUGAUCUGCUGCCGAUACAGGCCGAGAUUCACAUCGUAAUACCCGGUCUGGCGCGGAUAUCACGGCCCUUCGCUAGCUGUGUGCACUGCUUUGUAGUAUUUUUCAGAGUCAUGGGGCUCGAACAGGGCCCGGGGCAUGGUCUCGAUAGCUUCGAGGGUAGGUGUUUUGUUCGGGCCUUGAUACGAGAGGUUCCCAAGUUCGAUUUCGAUUCCUUGUAGUUAUGUCCUUGCUUCGUUUGUCCCACCGAAAAAUCGGGGUGCUCAUUAGCCCUGGUUACCCGUAUACACUCUUCAUAUUCAAAACCCUACAUAUUUUUUGUCUUUCUCUUUAAUAUUCUUACUCACAUUCUUUCUCCAAGAUUUUAUUAGUUUAAGUGUUCGACAAUACUUUUAAACUUCCAAUAGCUCUAUACUUCUAUUGCUCUAUAAUAACUUAUUUAAAAUUAACAAUAUCUCAAGAAAGACUAAAUGAGUUGAGUAUAGUAUCAAUUGAAAAAAGAAUUAUUUGAAAAAAUAUUUAUAAAAAUAUUAUUAACAAUUUUAUACCUUAUAAAGCUAGAAGAAUAUUUCAAACAAAAAUAUAUACAAUAAAUUCUUUUUAAAAAUUUAUGCCUCAUAUUAAAUUUUGACCCCGCAUAUACUUGAGCGGCCCCUAAUUUCUUGGCGUUGAGCUAUCUGCAUGGAAGCCAACUCCCAUGUCGCUUACUACUACGAUGACCCUUACUUGAUUUCUGCUCCGUUACAUAUUCACAAGAUCUAAUCAUAUCUUAUAAUUACCUACACUAUCUUGACUAUGACAAUACGUAAAAGAUUUGUAUCAUACUUUAUAUUCAUAAUACGUAGGAAGCUAACUCAAUCCAAAAAGUAUUAAAAUCUCAUGUUGAGUCAUUAUGGUUUUAGUAUUCUCAAAAGAAUAAUUCUUUUUCAAGGAAGAUUAGACAUAUCGCGUGUGGACAAUAGAAGCAAGGUGAUGAUGGCUACUCACUUCAUGCAUUCACACGUAUUAUUAGCAUAGUUCCAUGACCUUUUUGGAUCCUAAAAAAGUUUCAUAACCUUUUUACUAUUGAUAUUAUUGUUAUUUGUUUUGCCAUUAUUUUAAGAUAAAAUAACCAAAGUAAAUAUAGUUGUGGAAUAUAGGUAUAUAAUAUAAAAUCAUGCUACUGUUUUAGUAGUAAACCAGUAAUAUGAGUAUUGAAUAUCUUAGAUGUAUAAGAAAGCAUAAAGAAGUAUAUGGGCAAAAGCAGAUGUAGAAAUUGACUUGGUUUUGCCAGCCUUUGUCCUUUCUUCAAUUUCCAAAGAAGCACCUCUACCUUUUAAUGCACUUAACUAUUUUGAUAUUUCAACAAAUCGUCUCUACCCUACUUUUAUUCCUAAAUCCUAACUAAGACACAUGAUCUUAGAGUUUUUUUUGCAAAAUUUCUUUCCUGAAGGACAAUGUCGGAUGGGAUAGGAUAGAUCAUAAAAAAUAAAAAAUAAUAAACAAAAUUAUAGCUAUUGUCGUUUGUAGAGCUUAAUAAGUAAAAGCUGAAUCGGGAUUUAAGCUUUAUGGUUUUUAAAUUUUAGGAUAGUAUCAUCCGGUGUUAGUAAAUGGGUUUUGAAUUUAAUAUUUAGAUAUACUUAGUGAAUUUCAUAAUACAAAUACAUGAUUUGAACUAAAGCUAUUGAGUUUAACUUAACUAGUACAUCGACUUCUAGCUCCACUCCUGUCAAUAAAAGGUUGAGACCAAAAUGUUAAAUAUAUUUGAGGAAACAAUCGAAAAAUAUGAACGCAUGUUCAUAUCUAUCACUAAAUUAGAUAAAAUACUUUUUUUUUUAGUAUGUUCCAAAAUAAGUGACACAUUUCUAAAUUUAGAAAUAAUUCAACUUUAAACUAUUCAUUUUACUCAUUUUACUCUUAAUGAGAAGCUUUUAUAACCACACAAAUAUCAUGGCCCCACAAAGUUUUUACCCCUUAAGUUUUUAAGGUCAUAAGUUUCAAAAGUCUUUUCUUUUUUGUUAAACUUCAUGCAGAAUGAAACUAACUCAUCUAAAUUGAAAUGGAUGGAGUACUAUUUAGCAAUAUGUAUCUGAUACCAUCUACAUCGAUGUUCACCACCAAAAUUAUUAAAAAGAUCUCUCUUACUAUUAAGACAUAGAGGAAUAUAACUGGAACACCCUCUGAAUAUAGUCGCAAGAAGUUAUUUUAUUUUAUUUUUCUUGUUUAUCCAAAGUGAGACAAAGAAAUAAAAAAAUCGUAGCUGCUUCUAAUUUCACCUAACUAAUAGUGUUCCGAACCUAUUUUCUUUUUGGUACAUUUCAAAAAGAAUGAACUUUUUCUAAAUUUAGAAACAAUUUAGUUUAAACUUCAAAUUAUACCUUUAAUGAGAAGUUUUUAUAACCAAACAAUUACUCUGGAUUUCUUUUAACUUAUUUAGGACCACAAAUUUCAAAAGUCUUUACUUUUUUUUAAACUCCGUGUCCACUCAAACUGCAUCACAUAAAUUGAAACGGGAGUACUGUUUUAGUUAAAUGGAUUUUCGUAACCUUUUAAAAGCAUUCCACUAUCUCAUACGUAUUGUUUUAUUCGACCUAACAAUCUUAUGUUCAUAGGUUGGCCGCUUUUAGAUGUCUAUUUCCUUUUCUUUCUUCUUUUCACCAACCCAUUGCUGUCUUACUUCCAAUUUCCAAAAGUGGAAACUCCUGUAGAAGUAACAAGUGCCCCCAAGAGAGUUGAAUUUUUCCCCGAUUAGCCCUUAACUCCUAAAGUGCGCAAAUAUUAAUUUAUUUUAGGAACAGAAAGACAAAGAAUCUUGAAUAAUAAUGCUUAAUUGGUAAGUAUUACUCUGACAUUUCUCCUUCCUUUACCACUUGCAAAUCAAGAGAGAACGUACUUAACUCACAGCUACCAAGCUUCAGAAGGGUUAAUUAAUAGUCUUAACCGUGUACUUAUAAGACCACAAACUGAACACAAUUAACAUAAAUAAUCUGCCACACCUCCUUUUUCCCGCAGGAUAGGGAUAGCGGAGUUUUUCCAAUUUAAGUGACAUUAAUCGAAUUGAGAUUAUUUGUUUAUUUUCAGAGUCGUCACUCGAAAUUAUUUAUUUACGGUGUUCCGAGUCACCAUUUAUUUUAAAAUCUCAAAUCGAGGAAGUUUUGACUCUGUUUUAAAGUCUGCAAAAACCAAAAAAUCGGGUAAGGAAUUCUGUUAACCCGGGAGAAGGUGUGAGGCACUCCCGAGUUUCGUGAUUCUAGCAUGGUCGCUUAACCAUUAAUAAUUGGCCUAAUUAUCUGAUUUAUUAUAAGUUUUAAACCUAUUGUGCAUUUUUAACCUUUUACCGCUUAUAAUUAUUUAUGGAAUUAUUUUGGAACAAGUCACGAUGUCGUACACUUGUCGUUUUGGUACACGUCGCAAACCGCGACACAUGAAAUGCACCCGCAAUUUACGACGUGUUUAUUUUAAUUAUUGUUUGAAGUUAUGGUCGGGUCACAUGAAAUCCACACCCGAAUGGGAUUUACGUAUUACGACUAUGCCACGGGAACCGUACCCAUAGUUUUGAUGAUUUAAUUACGCGCCUAAAGCAAACUACAAUGUUUAUGGAUUGUUAAUAUCUAGGUUUGAGAUAAAAACAUGAAGGUCAUUUGUUUUGGAUGGACUGCAGAUAUUCUCGCCUAAGUCCGCUGGGGGUGAUGAAUUGGUAAAAAGGAAAAACUCUUAUUAAGGAUUUCAACAUGGCCCAAGUAUAUAGGAUGGGCCUAAGACAGAUUCCAAAUUUGUAGGGCAUGGACUGAAGUUAUACUAAAAAAAGAUUCAUAGAAUCUUCAAUUUAUAAAUACAUCGUACUCAAAAAACCCUUCAGGGUCUGGCCCAAUUAUAUUAGCUUGACUAAAAUGAAACUGGCCAUCAUGACUAGCCCAAUAGCACAGGAAGAUUACAUUGCACAAAGAAGCAUUAAUUAAUAAUUUAAUAAGCAUGAGAAUUAGGAAAAAAAAAACUACUAGUUAACAGUUUAAUUAAUUACAAGUACUAAAGAGUUCGCAAGAAUUUCACACGAUGCUAAAUGUAGUAGGAUUUACAAAGUUUUUCCCUAAUAUUAAUCUACAUGCCAUUAAUGAAUUAAAAUAAACCGUGACAACCACUGUAAUUAUCACUUAAUAUAUCUAAACACAUAUUUCCAAAACUCAAUACAAUGGAGCUUAAGGUUACAACAAACUGUCCAUUAAUCAAAUUUUCCUAACAAGACAAAAAAAAAAACUAAAUGAAAUUGUCUAAAACUUUAUUAGAGCUGGUUCUAUUUCAGCUGAGCCCUCUCCCAUAGAAUCAAUCUCCUGGAUCUUACUCCAUUUGCCAGAUUCUCACCUUACAUGUUCCUGAUGCAAUCAUGACUUACUCUGAUUUACACAUGGGUUGCUGUGGGCUGAUUCCAUGUCCUUAACUCAAACAAUGCUCAAUGGUCACUACUCAAAAUGCCGUAAAUUUCAUAAUAACAAUUAGUUCAAUUGAAUGCAAAUAAACCAAGUCUAGAUCCAACUUUAUAAAGGUUAUGCAGAUUUAACUCAUUUCAAUCAUGAACUAAGCUUAUACAAAUAUCAUUUAGCUUGAAAUCAAUUAGCUAUACCUUAACUAACUAAAAAAAACACAGCAACAGAAUCAAUAAGCACAGCUAAACAGAAUUCACAGUAGCAUUUGAAAUAGAAUUCCAGCUUUCAUUAAAUAUCAAGUUCAACAUUUGAGGUUUCAGAAUAUACCUAGAUGCAGAAAACAGCACUUAACAAGACCAAAUAAAGGUCAGAAAACCAGAAGGGCAAAGCUCAGCAAUCCAAAAACAGCAGCAGCAAACAAAUAAUAACAAAGAACAGCUCCAGAAUCAAACUUCAAACUUGAGAUAUCUUAGGAAUUCUAUGUGUGUUUUUUCUACUAUUAAUGCAGGAAUUGAAAAGGAAAAUGCAAGAGUUUUCUAUUGAGAAUGCAGAGAAUUCAAUGUGUUUUCAAAUAAAUCAGUGUGUGUGUUAUGAAAGAAUGUGAGUGCCUUUAUAUAGAGCAGGGAUGUAAAGGGAUAGGAAUGAGAGGUAUUCCCUUAAAAUCAGGAAAUAGGCAUCUUCCAAAACAGAAAAAUGGACAGCUGUCCAAUUUCUGGCACCUUCCUAAAACAGAAAAUAGACAACUGUCUAAUUUCUGGAUAUUUCACUCUUAUCCUUAUCUUUUUUCUAAUCAGCUUGGGACAUCUGUCCCUGUUCUAGAAACUUCCUAUCUAUUUUACCUUAUUCCAAUUAUUUUAUUACACUUUAGUCCCUACCAUUAUCUUCUAGAACCUUCCAGACACUUCUAGAUUUAGACUCCCUGAUUUUAAUUUUCAAUUAACUCCCUUAAGGUUUCUAUUAUUACCCCUUCAACCCUUUUAAUUCCAAUUGACAUUCAACAUCAGCAACCAAACAAUCAAAAACCAACUCAAAGAUCAAAUGAAAAUAGAAACAAACGACUAAUUCACCUAACUACAUUACUAAACUAAUUAAAUCAAUUAAAUUAAUCUAAAUAAUAUGCGAUUAAACUAAAUAUCAUGCAAUUAACUUAAAUAAACCUAUUUUAAUUGAACUAAUCAAAUAACAAAUUAAACACCUAAAAUCAGUGAUUCAGAGAAGAAAAAAAUAUAGAAAAGAGAAAUGAGGGUAUACCUAAAUCGGAUUGACUUGACAAAAGAGGUCUAGUUGCCAAAACUUCUUUUGCCAAGAUACCCGUCUGGAACGUGAAUCCCUGACAGGAGAUCUUGGCAGGAGGAUCUUUGAACAAACUAGUUAAGGGCUGAGGUUUGAUUAGAAGAAAAAAUCAGAAAAGGGGAAAAUCUAGGAGUUUGGCUUUUUUAGAUCUGAAAUUGAAGGGAUUUGGUGAGGGAUUUGGGAAAACUAACGGUAUAUUUGGGUUGAGGGUGAAGAGGGGAUUGUAGGGUAGGAUUUUGAGGCGGUUUGGAGAUCGAUCGCCGCCGUGGGCGAUUUCUGGCGGCGGUUUAGGGCGGCUAUUAGAGAGAGGUGAGAGAUGAAGGGUGAGGGGUUUAAGGUAUGAUUUUGGGUGUAUUUGGAGUGUCGCCGUCACCGUAGGCAGUUUUCGGUGUGCAGCGACAUCGGAGGAUUUUGUGGCGGCUAGUAAGUUGGGGGGAGAUGGAGAGUGAGGGAGUGGAGGGG
Molecule: long non-coding RNA, 89106 nt
Filed under: Nicotiana tabacum (common tobacco)
Lineage: Eukaryota; Viridiplantae; Streptophyta; Magnoliopsida; Solanales; Solanaceae
Description: long non-coding RNA (NTAB_LNC000015)
Source: RNAcentral